GAUGUUGUAGCUUCUAAGCUACAGUUGUUGUGGAAAAAAAACUGUAAUUAUAAAAUAAAAGUUAGUAAUAUAUAGUAAAUGUGAAUUUUAAAUAAUAAUUUUGAUAAAAUUAUUAAAAAUAUAAUAAAUUUUUCAUUAUACAAGUGAAAAAUCAUAUUAAUAUAGCUCUCAAACUACAGCAACUAGUGUUUACCAAACACUUUAGAACUGCAGUUGUCCAACCUCAAUCCCAAACGCAUCCUAUAUCAAGCAGAUCAACAACAAUUUUAUGCACCAUGUUGAAAGUUUUCUCAUCUAGGACUGGCAAGCACCAGAAUGGCUGGAUCAUCAACAACAAUUUAUGAGCCACUGUGUCUUGGUUUCACUGAAUUGCUGGAUGAUUAGCUUGGUCUUGAAGCUGAAAUUUUCACCUAGAACUGAGAAAAUAGUUAAAUGAAAUAAUGACAUACAAUAAAGUCAACAAAAUACAAGGACAAAUAAACUUAUUUAGUAAUGUCGCAAUUAUAUUUAUUGCCAUGCUAUCACUUUCAUUGCAGACAUCAUCACCAUAAUACUAGCAGUCUAGCACUAAUAGCCAGAAUAAUAAUAAUAAUAAUAAUAGUAGCACGAUUUUUGAAAUUUCUGUAGAGUAAGAUCUAAAAAUGCCAAAAAUAUCAUAUGAAAAAAAAAAAGGUCCAAGAAUUCAAGGAAAGAAAACUCAUUAACAAAGAACCUAACUUUUUAAUCAUGUUUAAUAAACUAAGUUCUUAUGAUUUUCCAUUAUUAAGACAAUUGGUUUCUGCUUUCUAAUGUUUCAAAGCAUACCAAGAAAUAUUAACAAUUACCAAAUCAGUAAGCAGCACAAUUACUUGAUAAGACGUUUGACUUGUCUAACCCAAAAUUGUACCCAAUUCUACACUCUACUAUAAAGCUAAUGAAGCCGAACUUACUUUGACCAAACAACACUAUUAGCUCAGUUAAAGGAAACCACAACUGAAUAAAGAUCAGCUGAAAUAACUAAAUUGAAAAAAGUUCAUAAAACUAAAACUAACUUAUAAUAGUCUAUUAAAGACAUACAAAACAGGAAGAUAAAUAAACAUAGGUCUAUUUUCUUGACACUGCCAAGUUUUGGUUUCAAAAUCACCAUAUUGCAAUAAUAAAUUGUUGUGAUUCCUAAGAUACAAUAUGUAGCAGCUUAUAUGCUGGCAAUCAUAGUCAAAGAAGAUGGUUGUCAAACGUCCUCGCAAAUCAAGAAGCUAAUAAAGACCAGGUCGCGCAACAUUAACAUAUAUCAGUUCUUUGAUAUAAAGAUAUUGAAUGUUAUACACUUCUAAUCCCAAGUCCUGAAACAUAAAACAAAAGUUCACUUCACACAUUCAUAAGGCUAAAGUACUAGAGAAAUGGAGAAUAGACAUGGAUAUGGGUCAAUAAACUAUUAAGCUAAUUAAUGCACACGACGGAAUCUGUUAGAACUAGUUAAAUAGCCCUUACAGAGAACUAGCAGAAGCAUCCAAUUUCCUAAAAGGAGAUAACAGCAAUACUCAUAAAAUAGCUUCACUUACCAUUAAGCAAUAUGCUAGUAUUAACUCGCGAGAUAACAACUGAUGAUUGAUUCAGUUGCACUUACAUAUGCCUAAAGUUUUAACUUUCAAAUUGAUUGCUCCUUGCUCCUUUAUCUAGAAACAUAUUUGACGGUGAUUAAUCCUGACCUCUACCAUGCCAUUCAAUUUUCAUAUUCUCAUAAUCGUAAAUUCAUUUUUAGGAAUAUCAACUCCAUUAUUAAGAGCCCAAACUUGAUCAAACAGAACUAUUAGCUCAUAACUUCAUCAAUUGGAUAAAUAAAGUCACAAUAACAAUGCCGGCGGCUGCUUCAAUACAUCAUCAACAAACCCAUUUUCAUUUAAUCAACAAAAAACCCCGACAGCAUUUUCAACACAUCAACAAACCCAUUUUCAUUUUAAUUGAUAAAACAACGCCAGCAGCAGAGCAACUUCAUCAAAACAUCAACAAACCCAUUUUCAUUUUGUGAAUAUUAUUAGAGUGUAUAUUUUCUUAUUUUCUACCUUUAAUUUAACAAAGUUGGAUAUCUCUUAUAGAGAAAUUAUUAAUUAAUUUUUGUCUUCAUUCAAGAUUGCCCCGUAGAUCGAACCAGCGUCAGUUAACAGACGCUACCGUUGUUCUUAACUAAUAUGGAAGCAGCUUUAUUUGGAGGAUAUGCUGUACUUAUGAUUUAGCUCACGUCAUUAACAAAGAAUUUAGUGGUCCAAGUUUUUGCAGUAGAGUAACUAAACAGCAGUGAUGACCCAGUCAAGUCAAUGUAUAAAUAUUGAAAUGACUAUUAAGGCCUGAGAACCGACCUCAAUUACCUCAAAGUUUUCAAAAAGAAAUUGGACCACCAAAAAAUUUCCCACUAAUAACUACCGAUUGCAACUUGUAGAUCGCAAUUUAUAGACAGAUUUAUAUUUUUUUAAAAAAGUGUUCCAAGUCCUCUCUGAGGUUCUCACUCGGUUCUACAUGUAAUGUAAGAUAGAAAGAUUCCAAUCAAAAUUUUGAUUCUUGUUCAAACAUAACUACGAUAUCCACGAAGUCUGUGUUGCCACAAGUAGGGAUGGGCAUGGGUUGGUUUGGGUUGGAUUUUAAGUCAACCCAAAUCAAACCAUAAAAAUUUAGAUCCAACCCAAACCAAACCAAACCAUUUGAGUUUGGUUUGGGUUUGGUUUGAAUUUUAUUAUCAAAAUAAUUUUUAUUUUAAUAAAAUUUAAUUAUAUCAAAAUUAUAAUAAUUAUUAAUUGUUAUUAAUUAUUAAAUUGAUAUUAAAAUAUAAAAAAUAUAGUGGAUAAAAAUUAUAAAUUUUACAAUAACUUAAUCCUUAAAUUAAAGAAUACUAGAAAAUCAAAAUAAAGUUUAAUCACAAAAAUUAUUAUUUCUCAAUAAAUAAGAACGUACACUUUAAUAAUAAACUUUCACAAACAUGACAUUAACAAUCUAAUAAUAAAUUUUGCCACUUUGUUAUUUAUUUAAUUAUGCAAUAUUUGUUUUUAUUUAUCGUUUUGGCAGUUUUGCGUUAUGUUGUCUACUUAUAUGUUUAAUUUUAGGGAGAUUGCCAGUUUCCCCCCUACAGUAAUCAACAUAUAUUAUUUUUCCCCCUUCUGCUUUUAUAAAAACUCCUCUAAUAAUAUAAGUUUACAAUAUUACCCUUAUUUUCAACUACUCUUUUAUUUAUAUUUAUUCUAAAUUAAAUAAAUCACAUGAAUAGAAACUAAAUAAAAAAUAAAGCAUUAAAAAUAAGAAAUAUUUGUUUUGAUAUGAACAAAAAAAUUAAUAAUAAAAUUUUUUUAUACUUAUUUAUUUUUUGAAAAUUUUCUUAUAAUAAAUAUAUAAGAAAAUUAUUAGUCAAAUGAUAAAAAAAAUUAUUAUAAGAAAACUUGAUUGAAAAAUAAAAAUUUAUUAUAAGAUAAAUAAUAAAAUAUUUUACCUAUACUUUUUACAUUUAAUUUUAAAAUAUUACAAAAUAUUUAUUAUAAGAAAAUGUUCACAAAAUAAAUAAUUACAAGAAAAAAUUUUAUUAUUAAUUUUUCUACUCAUAUCAAAAUAUAUAUUUCUUGUUUUAAUACUUAAUAUGGGCAUUACAUUCAAUUAUUAACCAAAAAUUACUCGACAUCUAGCAUAUCGGACCCAGUCCAAGCCGAGUUAUUAUUGAUCAUUAAUAGAGUCUCCUGCUCUUUCUAUGAUGAUCUUUCCAUGUGGGAGNNNNNNNNNNNNNNNNNNNNNNNNNNNNNNNNNNNNNNNNNNNNNNNNNNNNNNNNNNNNNNNNNNNNNNNNNNNNNNNNNNNNNNNNNNNNNNNNNNNNNNNNNNNNNNNNNNNNNNNNNNNNNNNNNNNNNNNNNNNNNNNNNNNNNNNNNNNNNNNNNNNNNNNNNNNNNNNNNNNNNNNNNNNNNNNNNNNNNNNNNNNNNNNNNNNNNNNNNNNNNNNNNNNNNNNNNNNNNNNNNNNNNNNNNNNNNNNNNNNNNNNNNNNNNNNNNNNNNNNNNNNNNNNNNNNNNNNNNNNNNNNNNNNNNNNNNNNNNNNNNNNNNNNNNNNNNNNNNNNNNNNNNNNNNNNNNNNNNNNNNNNNNNNNNNNNNNNNNNNNNNNNNNNNNNNNNNNNNNNNNNNNNNNNNNNNNNNNNNNNNNNNNNNNNNNNNNNNNNNNNNNNNNNNNNNNNNNNNNNNNNNNNNNNNNNNNNNNNNNNNNNNNNNNNNNNNNNNNNNNNNNNNNNNNNNNNNNNNNNNNNNNNNNNNNNNNNNNNNNNNNNNNNNNNNNNNNNNNNNNNNNNNNNNNNNNNNNNNNNNNNNNNNNNNNNNNNNNNNNNNNNNNNNNNNNNNNNNNNNNNNNNNNNNNNNNNNNNNNNNNNNNNNNNNNNNNNNNNNNNNNNNNNNNNNNNNNNNNNNNNNNNNNNNNNNNNNNNNNNNNNNNNNNNNNNNNNNNNNNNNUUAUUUUUCUUACAUUUACAUUAUCUUUGGUGGGACUCCACUUUUUAUCGAAGAUUUUUUUGUGUCUCGUUGCCAGGUGUUUAGGUUGUCAUUUUCUCUUUUCUUUCUCAAAAACUUUUUUUUUUUUUAACCAUUGAUUCGGUGACUUCAUGAAUCCGACGGUUUCCCUUUUUUUUUUGCAUAUAUAUAUAUAUAUAUCUCUCUACUGAUGCAUCGAUGCAUCUAAUCUAGUGUACAUUGAUGUUGUGGUCAAAUGAAAGAUCGUGUAACAUUGCCUACAAGAUUUUAUAAUCAUAAUCUUCUUCAUAUGUUCAUAGAGAUCUUGAAGUUUCAGGUGCAAGUCAUUGUUUUUCAAGGUCCCAUCACUUUACAACAUUAUUUAACUACUUCGAAAGGGAAUUUGAGCCUAUGCAGGCGGAACAAGCCAAAUUCGGCUACAGGCACUGACCUGAAGGUCAAUAUGAUCUUCCAAUCUAAAUAAGCAUUGACCUCACUCCAAGAUAGAUCAUUAAUUAGGGUGUUUAUAUGUAUUUAACCUGUGAGCGAGAUCUAAAUCUAAAUAGUAGAAAUCAAUGGAUGCACUUUCGCUUUUGUUAAUCUGUUGCAAGUUACUAAUCUUUUCUGAAUUCUCAUUUGCAUCAGAUGUCCUUACUUCGUCUCAGUCUCUUAGUGAUGGAAACACCUUAAUAUCAAAAGGUGGAAGCUUUGAGCUUGGUUUCUUCAGUCCCGGUAGUUCCGAGAAUCAUUAUGUGGGAAUUUGGUACAAAAGUAUACCAGUUAAAAUAGUUGUUUGGGUUGCAAACCGCCUCAAACCCAUCAAUGAUUCUUCUGGCUUGUUAACGAUAAACAGGACAGGCAAUCCUGUUUUAACAAGCCUGAGCAUGGGCAUAGUUUGGUCAGCAAGCUUGAGCAAAGAAGUGCAGCAGACUCCAGUGGUAUUACAGCUACUGGAUUCAGGAAAUCUUAUCCUCAGAGGUGAACAAGAUGGUGAUUCUGAAAAUUAUUUUUGGCAAAGCUUUGAUUAUCCUUCUGAUACAUUGCUACCAGGAAUGAAGCUCGGAUGGGAUUUAAAGACUGGUCUUGAGCGGCGCGUAACAUCAUGGAAGAGCUCAAAUGACCCGUCUCCUGGAGACCUUAUUUGGAAAAUUGAACGACAAGGAAAUCCUGAGCUAGUCAUGUGGAAGGGAUCAACAAAGUUCUAUAGGACUGGCCCAUGGAAUGGCGUCACAUUCAGUGCUUCAUCAAUAAAGCUUAACCCAAUCUUUAACUCAAGCUUUGUCUCUAAUGAGGAUGAGCUCUACUACACAUACAUCCUCGUAGAUAAAGCUGUUUUCUCAAGGACUCUCGUGAACCAAACACUCUCUUUACGUCAACGAUUCGUGUGGAGUAAAGCAACUCAAAGUUGGGAGCUGUAUACAAGUGUGCCAAGAGAUCAGUGUGACACUUACAAUCUCUGUGGUGCCUAUGGCAUUUGCAGCAUUAGCAAAUCGCCUGUUUGCCAUUGUUUAAAAGGUUUCAAACCUAAAUCAGAGGUUUAUGUGGAACGGUCUCAAGGGUGCGUACGUACUAAGCCGUUAAACUACUCUCGACGUGAUGGUUUUGUCAAAUUUAAUGAUCUGAAAUUACCAGAUUCUACUUCCUCUUGGGUUAGCAAAAGUAUGAAUCUCAAUGAAUGCGAGGAGAAAUGCUUAGACAACUCUUCUUGUAUGGCAUACACAAAUUCAGAUAUCAGAGGAGAAGGCAGUGGCUGUGCCAUGUCGUUUGGUGAUCUGAUUGACAUCAGAUACUUCCAAGAUAGUGGGCAGGACUUGUAUAUUCGAAUGUCUGCUUCAGAGCUAGGUAUCCAUAUACUUAUUUAUGUCAUUCCAUUAUGAGAACUUAGGAGUACCACUCCAGUUAGACUAGUUCCACAAUUUUAUUGUGCAAUUUAGUAUUGAGUUCUGAUUGAGAAGCUCCUUUUGCAUAAAGCAGUUUCUCGGUAUAGCUUCUAUGCAUAGAAUUUUGCUGCUAUUUGAAUCCUUUUUUCUUAGCUAUAUGAUUAUUGACCUGCUUUGCUGUAUCUGAAUACGCUGAUCAAGAAGCGAAAGGUGAGCCUACGACAAAGAUAGUGGUGAUAGUCAUUUCUAGUGCUGCUCUGCUAGUUGUGGUGCUUAUAGCUGGCUACUUGAUUCACAAACGCAGGAGAAAUAUAGCAGGUAUAAUAGCACUCCACUUUCCUUCACAAAUUUAUAGCCAUUUGCUUGCAUUUUUAUGAUAGCCGUUUCCUUUCAAUCAAUAUUUAUAUGAGUUCAAUUUUUCUGUAUCAAAUCUUCAAUAAAAUCUUUCACCAAGUAGAAUAAGUUUUUAUAUGCAGCAAUAACUGUACGUUUGUUUCAAGAUGAAGAGUUAACAGUGCAUAUCAUUUAUUUACUUGCAUUUAGUGUUAUAUUAAUACAUGCCUCUUUUUCACCUAUGGUUCUCUAUUUACUUGCACUUUCAUAUUGACUGGAAAAUAGCUUUAAUACAAAUUUACAGAUAAAGAACCUUCUCAUCAAGAAGAUGAAAAUUGUAGUUACUAGUUAGUAGUUUGUCCAUUAUACGUACUGCAUAUGCGCUUUGAGCUAAUAUUGUCCAAUAUUUCGGAGAAAACAGAAAAUGAUCAUAUUCAAAACAUAGACUUGGAGCUACCAUUGUUUGAGUUAGCUACAAUUGUUAGUGCCACCAAUAACUUUUCAAUCAACAAGAAGCUUGGACAAGGUGGCUUUGGACCCGUUUACAAGGUAAACUUGAAACUUGCUAGUCAAAAAUACUUAUUUUACUUGGUAACUAAAUUCACGUAUAUGGCUUGACAGGGCACGCUAGUGGCUGGACAGGAAAUUGCUGUGAAGAGGCUUUCGAAGAUUUCUGAGCAAGGAUUGAAGGAGUUAAAGAAUGAAGUUAUACUAUUUUCCAAAUUACAGCACAGAAAUCUUGUAAAGCUUCUUGGCUGCUGCAUUCAGGGAGAGGAGAAAUUGUUGAUUUAUGAAUUCAUGCCCAACAAAAGCCUGGACUCUUUCAUUUUUGGUCUGGGUCCCUAUAACCUUAAAAUAUUCGGCUAGCUUGUGCCUUGAUUAUAGACGUUUCUUAUGUAUUUUCAGAAAAUUUUGUACUAACCUUAAUGUGGUAAUUUGUAGAUCAAGAAAGAUGUAAGAUAUUGGAUUGGUCCAAGCGUUUCCACAUUAUUUGUGGGACUGCCAUGGGUGUUAUGUACCUGCAUCAAGAUUCUAGAUUGAGGAUUAUACAUCGAGAUCUCAAAGCAAGUAAUGUGCUACUCGACCAAGAUAUGAACCGAAAAAUUUCGAAUUUUGGUUUGGCUAGAGCUUUUGGUGGAGACGAGACAGAAGGAAACACAAACAGAGUAGUUGGAACAUAGUAAGUACUUUUUGUCAUGUGAUCUUUACGAUUCACUUGCACUGAUUAAUGAAAAUUAACUUAUAUAUUUCACUCUUUUGAAGUGGUUAUAUGGCACCGGAAUACGCUAGUGAUGGGCAAUUCUCAGUAAAAUCCGAUAUCUUCAGCUUUGGAAUUUUAUUGCUGGAGAUAAUAAGUGGAAAGAAAAAUAGAGGAUUUUAUCAUUCCGACAACAAGCUUAACCUUAUAGGACAUGUAAGUAAAAUGCAUACGGCAUUUUCUAACAUAGUUUGAACUAAUAAACUAUAGAUGAUAAAAGAGAUUUAAUAUGUUGUAGGCAUGGAAGUUGUGGAACGAAGGCAUGCCUUCACAAUUAAUCGAUUCGUGUAUUCAAGGCUCAUUCAAUCUUGCUGAAGUGAUACGAUGCAUCCACAUCGAUUUGUUAUGCGUGCAACAGCAUCCAAAGGACAGGCCAAGCAUGCCCUCAGUGAUUUUGAUGUUGGGCAGCGAGACUGUGUUGCCUCAGCCAAAGCAACCCGGUUACUUGGCGGACAUGAAUUCUACCAGACUAGAUUCUUCAUCAAGCAUGCCUGAAUCAUCUUCAACUAAUACAAUUACGAUCUCUGAGUUAGAGGGUCGGUAGAGAAUCUAUUUGUGGUAUCAAGUCUUAUUCUACAUUGUCAAGUGCAAAAGCAGUAAUGUCUCAACCAAAUGGAAAGUUCACAUAAAUGAUUGGAUAAAAAAUUAUGAGGAUCCUCCAAUGAUUGCAUGUUGUGGAUCUAAAUAGAAUGUUGACUAAUGUUUAUAUAGAAAUUGUAAAUUAGGGUACCGUGAGCAGUGUUGGAUCCAAAAAAAAUGAUUAACCGAGAAUUAAGUUAAAUAAAAGCAGUUAUAAUUUUUUUAAUAUCAAAUAUUUGCUAAUACAUUUAUGAGAAUAUCUUUGGUGCUUUUGGAGUAUUUUUAUCUAUUCACUAUUUAUCAUGUGUGUGUAUAUGUCAUCAUGAUUUGUAGAAGCAUACACAUGACAAAGAGUGAAUGAAAAAGGAGAAGCUCUCUAAGAGCACCAAGAUUUUUCCUACAUUUUGAAAACCUUGUGCAAUAUACUCAUUAUCAAUACUAUUAAGUACAUCCUUUUCUACAUAAACAACAAAAUUAAUAUUCAUUCAUUCAUCUCUCAUCGGAUUUCAAAGUUGAUUGUUCAUGAACUUAAUUGUGGAAAAUGUUCUCUCUACUGUGGCUGUGGGAACCAGAAGAAUUAAAGCUAAGUGUCAUCAACGAAUAUACUAAUUCUGUAACUAAUACGCUUUCAUCUUUUUUAGUCUCAAAGUAUUCUUUUAGCAAAUCACUAAUUCCCUUCAUUCUUGCAAACCCGCCUACUUGUUCUUUUCCGAAUAUAACCCAAUCCCUAAUUUUCUUUUAAGAACAAGAAAGAUAAAAAUUUGUAAUUGAAGGAGUGGAUAAUUAUUAUUUUUAAUAAAUUUGAAUACAUUUUUUGCAAUAGAAAAAUGGUUGUGGGUUAUUAUUAUUCUUAAAUAAAGUGUGAGUUUUAUAAUUCAAGUUAAAAUUUAAAUUUUAUAGGUUUAUGAAAGUAUAGAGACUAUUUUAAUAUAUUGAUGAAGGUUAAUUAGAAACCCAAAUAAUUUUCUCUUUUAUUUUUAUUUUUAUUUUUUAGGUAGCUUGAGACUACUUUAUUUUUAUUUUUAUUUUUAUUUUUUUAAUUUAAUAUUUACUCUCUGCUCAGAAGUUGCUAUAUCCUUGCUUGGUAAGAUGCUCUGUUCAGGCUUCAAUGUUGUUGGCUUGAAUUGGCAACUGAACUCGAAUCAAUUCUCAUGCAUGGGUUGGGGAAUUUGCUCAACUUAUAAUUGGUAGGUUUAUGCCUUUGGGAUCAAACUCAUUUCGCCUCUCCAAGAAUCUGCAAAAUUAAUUGGUGUUAUCAUGUCGGCGCUGCUUAUAAUUAGUAGUGCUUGCAUUGCCCUGAAUUCAGGCAUUGCUUGAGUAGAGUUGGGCUUGCUGAUUCAUUUUAGUGACAAAUGAAAACAUUAAAAAAAAAAAAUCAGGACUUGUUCGUCCAAAUUUACAGAUAUUUUGUUCUUUAAUUAAUUUUAUUAUAAUAAACAAUAGGAUAGCAGUGUUGUUUAACCAGUUGCUUACACCUUGGCAAUAUAGCUUUGUGUUUUUUUUUUUUUUAAUAGUCUGUGAGAUGGCCAGUGAUAUAUACGUCUUUUUAAAAUUUUCAAUUAUUGGGGCAACGAACAUGUUAAAUAAUUUGCGGUGGAAAAGGCACCAAUAUUGACUCAAUAUGUCGAAUUUCUAGAAAAUUUUAACAUCAAAUGCCUUGUUUCCAUUGUUGUAAGUAUAAGUCAAAUUUCUUGCAAAUUUUCUAUGGGUGUGAUGAUUUUUUUUUUUUUUUUGAGUGCAAACGGCUCACCCUUCACAUAUUCAUAGAGAUGUCAAAUUCUCUAUCUUCACCAUGAUUCUAGAUUGAGGAUUAUACAUAGAGAUCUCAAAGUAAGUAAUGUGUUACUUGAUAAUGAGAUGAACCCAAAAAUUUUAGAUUUGUGUGAGAUGACAUUGUUCACAUUAUUUUUUUAAUUUCUUUAAUUAAAAUAACAAAACUAAGUAAAAAUGUAUAAUAUUUAAUAAAAUUAAAAAUUCAAGUAUGUUGCCGCUAGUGCUGAUGAACUACUAGCGAAAGUUCGACGGCGGCUAGCCACAUGUGGCUACUGCAUGACAUCAUGUUUUACCCUAAAAUUUGGUAUCAUUAAAAUUCUCAUUGUCGAGGCUUCACAGUAGUGCCAAAACCUUGACUGUAGAUCGAUGGUGAAUGAAAAUUCAUUUGCCGAUGAUAGUUGACCAUUGCAUAGCCCUAAUAAUAAUUAUUCUAAUGGUAUCAAAAUAUAGUUCAAAUGGUACUAAAGUAGGAUGGUCAACGGUGAAUUUUUUUUAUUUUGAUUAUAAAAUUUAAAAUUAUUAAUUGAAUAUAAAUAAUAAUAGAAUAUAAAUGAAACUUUGAUUAUAAUUUAAUAUAAAUAUUAAAAUAGAAAUUAUUAUUUUAAAUAAUACAAUGCAAGCUACAUCAAACACCAUAUUGUAUUACAGCUUAAUACAAUAUAAUAUAAUACAAUACAAUAUGUCAAACGCAACUAUAAAAAAAAAGUCAAAAUCACAAGAUUUAUUUGGUGGGCCUUACCUGCAUUAUCCUCAGUUUACUUUUUGAGUCAAAUAAACAAUAGGCGCCAGAGACUUUUUUGUUCAUCAUGCUAUUACUUUCGGUUUACAUACAACUACAUUGAUCUUGGUAAAGAGGACAGUUUACUUUUUGCGUCAAAUACUAUGUUGGGAUUAAUUUUUUUAUAAAAUUAGUCUAUUCCAUUGUCUUUAACUGCAUCCAAACAUACCCCAAUGGUUAACUAUGAGAAAAUUUUAAUAAAGACUUGCAAUUUGUUUCCUUGGAAUUGGAAUGGACAAAAAUUGCAAUGAGCUGAAAUCAGAACAAGCGGGAAUUGAUCACAUGAGGAAUAAGAAUCAAAGUAAGUUGUAUACUUGAAUCGAAAUCAACAAUAUUCCAAUUGAUGUAUUUACUUAUGUCUUGUAAUCCAAAUGAGUUAUCACAAGUCAUAAAAAUGUCCUUAGUUCCACUCUUGCUAGACGUCAUGAUGAUAUACGUUUCAUCCAUCUGGUAAGCGAAGGAGUUAUUACAAGUUAAAAAAAAUGUCCUUAAUUACAAUUAUGUAUUUUUCUAUGUAAAAUAAAUAAGCAAACAUUUUUAAAGAAAACAUUGGCAUAUUUAUUAUAAUAUUGAGUGUAAUACAACGAGUUUUUGAGUAAACUAGUUGUUGUUGUUGUUAUUUUAUAUUGAUAAUAACUACUAUUAAUAUUAUUAUUGUAGGGAAAUUAAAGCCCUAACUUCCUAUUAAUUUAAUUCCCUCUUAUUACUAUAAGGGGAACCAAAGUUCAAAUACCAAGUUUUUGUUGUUGGCAGGACUCAACUUUCUAGGUAUAGGUUCUCCCAUUAGAUUACAAAGUCGGCUUGUGUUAUUGUUACUACUAAUACUAUUUUUAUUAUAAUUGUUUAUUUUCUUAUUAGUAUAAUUAAUAUUAUUAAGAUUAUUUAAUUAUGUAAUAGGAAUAAAAUCAAAAUUUCAAAAAUUAAGGGAUGGUAAAAUAAUUAGUUCAGAAAAUGAAAAUCGUAUUCCCACCUUCCCAUAGAAAUGAGAUUCUCAUUUCCACUUUCAAAAUUUGGUGGGUCUCAGAAAUUUCAUUCACAUUCUCAAAUAUCAAAUAAGCAAGUAAACAAUGAAAUCAUUUCCAUUCCUCCAUUCUUGACUCCUAUUCCAAGAAGUUAAUAACCUUUAAUAGAACGUUCAAAUGAAAAGACUAGCCAGGCCCUGAGAACUGACAUCGAUCAAUUAUCUCUUCCGUGUUAGAAUUAUACGUUAUUUGUUUUGUCUUUUUUUUUUAAUUCAUAUAUUGUUGAAAAGUCAAAAUUGGUGAUUUGUUUAUUCAAAUUGGUUGAAAAAGAAGAGGUGAGCCACAUGCAUAAUUGACUUUUGGAGGAGUUAGGAACCGCAUGCAUGAUUUCUUUAAAAAAUGAAGAAUUUUUACAGCUUUAUGAAGACUUAUUUGAUGCAAUUGAAGAGUUUUUCAAAAGGUAGAAAUGGUGGCCAAAAUCAUUGAAAUAAUUGCAUGCAAAUUGGAUGUUAGGUGCAAGCUUGGUGCCUAUAAAUAGAGGGCAUUUCUUCAUUCCAUUUCAUCCCAAAAAUUUGAGAGUUUAAGAGAAAUUGCAAGUGAAGUAAUUUUAGAGUUCUGAGAGUGUGAGCAAUUGGAGAGUGUGUGUGAGAGUACUGGGUGUAUUUGGAUUUUUGGAAAGUGAGGUUUCUCUACUCAAAUUUGUACUCUAAUAAUUGUCAGUAAUACAAUUAUUUUUCUCCUGUUCCCGUAGACGUAGUCAUACUGCCGAACCACGUAAAAUUCUGUGUCCUUUAUUUUUCUGUGAUUAUUUGGUGCGCUUGAUUUUGCAUUCCGCGCACAACAUAUAUGAUUACUCUUAAAUCUCAAAAAGCAAAAAAAAAAUCCCAUUAAUAAAGAUCCAUUGCAACUUGUAGACAAAUACAAAACAGAAAAAUUAGUAUUCCUAGUCCUCUGCCACGCUAAGAGACUAUCAUUUUUCUUACCUAUGAUCGAAGCUUCAUUUGGAGGAUAUGCUGUAAAAAUGAUUUAGCUCAUGUGAUUAAUUAAUAUAUACGAUCAUAAUUAAUUUCCAGCUUCUGGGGAAGUUAAAAUCCUUAUUUUUCCAUUUGUGUUUUAAGCAUGAUUUUUUACAAUUUUAUAUUUAAGUUUAAUAAAUUGAAUAGUACGUGUGUAUCAUUUCAUUAUGUUUAUGUUUAUGUAUCUAUCUUUAAUUUUAAGGAAGCUAUAUAUAUUAACUCAUAUUUCCAACAUGAGUUUCUUGCAGUAGGGUUCGAAUAGGAUGACGAUGGGAGCAAGAAGACAUGAUUUUUAUUAGAGCAUAUUCGACUGAUUUCUAAAAUUAUACCAAUAUAAAUUCAUUAUUAGUUAGAUGAGAAAUAAGAAAUUUAAUUCUAUAAAUUAACUAAUGUACAACAAAUUAUUUACAAGGAUGACCCAAGUAAACUAUCAGUCAAAGUCAAUGAAUAUAUGCUCGUGGCAAUGUAUAUUCUAUAAAUUAACUCGUGUCACCGUUUCGUCACUAUUAUUUUUUCGGCUCAAUUAUGAUUGUUGAGUACAUAAAGGCACCAGGUCGGCCAUGCUACUGGUUCCGCCCCGGCACGGAUCGUUUCAGCUAUAUGGUACGAGCAGAACACGGGGUUAAACAAGAGGCGACCCGAGAUGAAUGCGACCAGGAAAACAUACCGACCAGAAGUAUACACCGAGCCGAUACUCAUCCUCAAGAAAGCAGGAACACGAUCUCACAAAAUCGCGGUAGUUGCGCUUCUCCCAGAACGGUUGAAGGACACGCGAGAUCCACGACUGCCCGCAAUCUAACAGUUAGAGUCCCAUGAGGGGCUACCACCACCCGAAAAAGGAGGGAUAAGGGGCAAACGAAAAACGUGGGACAAAGGGCGGCUAUAAAAGAGAAAGACAUCGAAGAAGACAAAAAAGAGAAAAGAGAAGAGAGGGAAAACGCUGCCAAAUUGUAACGAGACUAUUUUCUUACAGAUCUCGAACAAACUUCUUGAACCCAAAUUAUAUUGUUUUUCCGUAAACACCUUGUGCUAACUUAGGCAUCGGAGAGUUUACGCCGGCAAAACCACCGGCGUCUCUGAUCCAUUUUUGGUGAACGCAGGUCUAGUGAGAGAAAGGAGGGUGAUCCCGGCCUUAGUGGUUCGAGCAACAGUCGAUAACUUAAGCGUUGGUGAAAGGAUCUGGUCGGUCCAAGGACGAGCAGAUCUCAGCAUCAACAUUUUGGCGCCGUCUGUGGGGAGCUGAAUAAAAAGCUACCACCAAGUUAGUAAUUACCUGAGAAGUAGCGAACGAUUGGAUAUGGAUGCGUCAAGAAAGGAUACUUUAAGGGAGGAUAAUGAAAUGGUGGAGACAAUCACUCUACGGGAGAUUGCAAAUGAAGCCCGAGAGAGGAUGAUGCAAGAUAGACUGGAGCGGAUGGAGAAACAAAUGGAGACUCUCGCGGCCGUAUUGUUUGAGCUGAGGGACGAGCGGAGAAGGGAUUAUGAAACCCCCGUGGGAAGAGAUGGAGUUGGAGCAGAACCCAGUCUCCGGGGGCGUAGGGUCGGGGAAAUCCUUCCACCCGCAGACCAACCUAACGGAGUGCAUCCCCACCGAAGUACUGGCCGGGUCCCAGGGGAACACGUGGAUGAAGGGAGAGACCAACCUCGCCUCGGGCGGGUACUGGAAAUAAAUGGCCGAGGGGCCAGUGUUGAUGAAGGAGAGCUCAGACAGCGGUUGCAGAACGUUGAGCAGGAGCGAGACCAGAUAGCUGCACGUGAUCCUGAUCGCGCUAUAGAAUUGGAGGGGGAGGUGCGCAGAUUGGCGCAGGUGAUAGAGGAGAUGCAGGGCAAGAGAAAGCCCCCGAGCUGGAGGAUAAUGCUAGAUGAAGAAUCUCCGUUAUCAAUUGAGAUCAUGAGCACCAUAAUCCCAAGAGAUUUCCGCUUCCCUGACCUCAAAUACUCCGGGCGAAGUGACCCGUUGGUGCACAUUGAGCGUUUCAACGACAUGACGGGUGUGCAGGGGCUGACACCAGCUCAGAGAUGCAGGGUGUUCCCGUUGACACUAGAGGGACGAGCCCGAGAAUGGUACCGCAAGCUGCCCCGAGGAGGAAUAAAGGGGUAUGAGCAGAUGUGCCAGGAGUUGGCCGAGCAAUUCCGAGGGGCGGUAGCCCCAGAGGAUGACAUGAUGGAGCUGAUGGGGAUGAAGCAGGAGGAGCAUGAAUCCCUUCGCUAUUUCGUAAAACGAUAUCACCGAGCCGUGCUGGAUUUGGGAGCUUUUAAUCACCCGUAGGCGUUGAGGGGAUUAAAAGAAGGUGUAAGAAUCGGCCGAUUGUGGUAUAACUUAAGAAGCCCCCUCGUACAGAAUUACUCGUCGGGGUAUGAGCAAGCGAAACGAGAUAUAGAAAUCGAAGAGGAAAAAUCAGCAAGAAUUAAAAGUGAACAGCUGGAAGAGCUGAGGCGAAGAGAACGGAGAGCCCCGAAAGGGAGCGGGUCGGGAAAGCGAACUGGAGAAUCUUCGGGGAUGGGCGGAAUAUCAGCUCGGUCUCGCCCUUACCCCAUAGCUCAGAGAGCACAACAGUUCCAACACAGCCGGGCUCAACCUCCGCGCCCCCCGAUCCCAGAGCGGCAGCGAGAAUUCAGGCAGGUGACUGCCCACCCUUACCACCGCACUCCCAGAGAGGUAAACGCGACCAAUUACAGGUCUGGCCGACCAGAGCAGUUACCAGCUAUACCAGCCCGAAGUGACGUCCAUGAUAGCCGAGCAGUUCAGUUGGUUGACCAGAGCGCGGCAUAUAGACGAUAUACUCCUUUAAAAAUCUCUAUGGAGGAACUAUAUGAAAGGAUCGAGGGACGAGGACUGCUGUAUACUCCGGCCCCUAUAACGAAACCCGCUCACCGGCGUGAUAAGAGCAGGUUCUACAAAUUCCACAACACUCACAGUCAUACUAUCGGCCAAUGCCGUGACCUAAGGAUUCAGGUGGAGGAUUUGGUGAGGAACCAAUACUUGGAUGAGUACGUAGAUGGAGUGUUCCCCGUCAGUGAGUCGCAAUAUGCACAGGAUGAAGGAGUUGAAAGGGGUUUGGAAUAAGAACAGCCGACUAUCCAAGUUAUAGCAGGAGGGCCAACAUUGGCCGGGGAUUCAAACAGGGCACGGAAGAACUAUGGGAGAUACGCCCUGACUAGCAAAGAAGUGCUUUUCAAUUUGCCAGCAGCCAAGAGGGCAAAAGUGCGGCAAGUUCCUAUUAUGUGGACAGAGGACGACGAAGAAGGCAUUUUAUACCCUCACGAGGAUGCGCUGGUGAUUAAAGUAUUGGUGGCCAGUACAGAAUUGCGGCAAAUACUGGUAGAUACGGGCAGCUCAGUAGACACUCUGUUUAAGUCGGCCUUAGAUGAUAUGGGGAUUUCAGAUUUAAAGCUGGAGCGAACGAAUACAUCCUUGAAGGGAUUUGGAGGGGGACGGUUAACUCCCAUGGGGGUCAUUGAACUCCCAAUUACUGUGGGGAUAAAGCCCUUUGAAAGAACGAUAAUGCUGGACUUUGUCGUGGUAGAGGAAAGAAGUCCUUACCAGAUGAUAUUGGGGAGACCCUUCAUGAGGAUAAGCCAAUGUGUAAUGUCCACGCAUUAUCUGGCGUUGAAAUACAGAAUAAAUGGAGUUGUGGGUGUAGUAAAGGGCGACCAGAGAAUGGCCAGGAGCUGCUAUGCUACAGCGGCCAAGGACACGCUGCAGGUUACCUCACUAGAUAACCGAGGAGAUUCAAGAAAUGGUCGCCAGGAACCUGUUGAGAAGCUGGAGGAAGUUGUUGUAAGCAGGAGUGACCCUAGCAGAGUUGUUAAGGUCGGAUCAGAAUUGGGCGAAGCAAUAAAGGUCGAGCUGGUGAAGUGUCUACAGUCCCAUGCAGACAUAUUUGCCUGGUCUCAUGAGGAUAUGCCAGGUAUUGACCGCGGGAUAGCUUGUCACAAGCUGGCGGUUAAGAAAGGGGCAAGGCCAGUGAGGCAGAAAAGGAGGUGCUUUAACCAUGAAAGGUACGAGGCCAUAAAUGCCGAGGUGGAAAAGCUGCUGAAAGCAGGAUUUAUAAGGGAAGCCAAGUACCCGGAGUGGAUUUCCAAUGUGGUACUGGUAAAGAAGGCCAAUGGGAAAUGGAGAAUGUGUGUAGACUUCACGGACCUCAAUAAGGCAUGCCCGAAGGACAACUUUCCCCUACCAAAAAUAGAUCAGCUGGUGGACUUAACCGCGGGUCAUAGUCUGCUCAGUUUCAUGGAUGCCUUCUCCGGAUACAACCAGAUACCCAUGAACGAGCAGGAUGAGGAAAGCACCACCUUUAUAACUAACAUGGGUCUGUUUUGUUACAGGGUGAUGCCUUUUGGCCUGAAAAACGCAGGAGCUACCUAUCAAAGGUUAGUGAACAAGGUCUUUAAACCAUUGAUCGGUCACACCAUGGAAGUAUAUGUGGACGAUAUGAUCACCAAGUCGAGGGAACCGAGAGAUCAUGUGAAGCACCUGGAGGAGACUUUCGAAUUGCUGAGGAGGUACGAAAUGAAGCUGAACCCGGAGAAAUGUGCAUUUGGGGUCGGCUCGGGUAAAUUUUUGGGGUACCUGGUGAGCCAUCGGGGAAUUGAAGCCAACCUAGAAAAAAUACGGGCGGUAAUAGAAAUGAGGUCCCCACGAACAGUUAAGGAGGUGCAGAGCCUUACGGGGAAGUUGGCAGCGUUGAACCGAUUCAUUUCGCGAGCCACUGAUAAGUGCCACCCUUUCUUUCAAGUCAUAAAGAAAAGGAAGAAGAUGGAAUGGACACCGGAAUGCGAGGGGGCAUUUGGACAGCUGAAGGAAUACCUAGCCCGCGCCCCGUUACUGUCAACUCCGAGAGAGGGUGAUCAGCUGCUCUUGUACUUGGCAAUCUCUAAGCAGGCUACCAGCUCGGUCUUAGUCAGGGAAGAAGAAGGGAAGCAACACCCGGUAUACUACACAAGCAAGGCCCUGGUGGACGCAGAAACCAGAUAUCCGCUAAUGGAGAAGUGGGCGCUGGCUUUGAUAACGGCAGCACGCAAACUUCGACCAUACUUCCAAGCCCACCAGAUUGUUGUGAUGACUGACCAGCCACUUCGACAAGUGCUUCAAAAACCAGAUGCGUCUGGUCGGUUAGUAAAAUGGUCUGUAGAGCUGAGCAAAUUUGACCUGUCCUACAGGCCCCGAGGAGCAAUCAAGGCCCAAGCCCUGGUAGAUUUCAUGGUGGACCGUGUUGAACCAGGGGAAGAGGUCCAAGAGAAACAACCAGCAGAGCAAGAGGAUUCAAAAGGGAUAUGGCUGGUAAUGGUUGACGGAUCAUGUAGUGAGCAAGGAUCCGGAGCAGGAGUUGUAAUACGGAGCCCAGAGGGAACCGAGAUAACAUAUGCGGUGAAGUUCGAAUUUCAGCUCACAAACAACCAAGCUGAAUAUGAGGCCUUUCUCACCGGGCUCGGACUUGCACACGCUCUAAGAGCAGAGAGGGUAGAAAUCCGAGCAGAUUCCCAGCUGGUGUGUAAUCAGCUCAAUGAUCAGUUCCAAGCAAGAGGAGAGAAGAUGGGUCUUUAUUUAAAAAAGGCCAAGCAGAUGGUUAGGCUUUUCCAAGCAGUGGAGGUAAAGCAGAUAUCCCGGAAUGAGAAUUUCCGAGCCGAUAUGCUGGCUAGGAUGGCAGCCGUUGCAGAUCCCAAAUUACCGAAGUCAGUUCCACUAGAGGUAAGGACCUCACCAAGUAUUGAGGAAGAAGCAGAGGUGAUGAGAGUAAGCAUUGGAGAAUCCUGGAUGGACCCGAUUCGCGCAUAUGUCCGCGAUGGAGUUUUACCAGAGGACAAAAGGCAAGCAAGAAAAUUAAAAUGCCGAGCAGCAAGGUAUACGCUACUGGAUGGAGUGCUGUACCGCCGAGGGUUCACCUUGCCCCUUUUGAGAUGUUUGGAUAACGAGAAGGCGGAUUAUGUGCUGAGAGAGAUUCAUGAGGGAAUAUGCAGCAAUCACUCGGGAGCAAGAGCUUUAGCCUUCAAGGCACUCCAGCAAGGAUACUUCUGGCCAACCAUGCACCAGGAUGCCAAAAGGAUGGCCAAGAAUUGUAAAACAUGCCAAAGCUUCUCCGAGGUUCCUGCACAACCACCAGAGAAACUGACGGCUAUGACAUCCCCAUGGCCUUUCGCUCAAUGGGGAAUCGACUUGAUUGGUCCAUUACCUAAGGGACGAGGAGCGGCGACACAUGCAAUCGUGGCAAUAGACUACUUCACCAAGUGGGUGGAAGUAGGAGUCCUCAGCCAGAUCACAGAGAGGAAGACAACAGAUUUUAUUUGGAAAAACAUCAUCUGCAGAUAUGGGAUCCCCUACGCCAUCAUCACAGACAAUGGGAGGCAAUUUGACAACGGCAACUUCAGGGAAUUUUGCCGAAACCUGGGGGUGGACCUGAAGUUCUGCACCCCCGCACACCCCCAGGCAAACGAGCAAGUGGAAGCAGCCAACAAGGUGAUAAAGAAGCUCCUAAAGACUAGAUUGGGGGAGAAGAAGGGAGCUUAGGUUGACGAGCUACCAGGGGUACUGUGGGCCUACAGGACAACUCACAAAACCGCCACAGGAGAAACACCGUUCGCUUUAGCUUUCGGUCAUGAGGCGGUAAUCCCAGCAGAGAUUGGAGUGGGGACACAUAGAACGGAACAUUUCGUUGAGGAGCAAAAUGACGAGCAGAUCUGCUUAAGCCUAGACCUGCUGGAGGAGAAAAGGGAAGGGGCCUCGCAGAAAGUGGCCCAAUGUCAGCAAAGGGUCAUACGUUAUUACAACAAGAAUGUACGCGUGAGGCAGUUCCGAGCAGGAGAUUGGGUACUUAGGAAGGUGAACCAGAACACCAGGAAUCCUAACCAUGGCGCUCUUGGCCCAAAGUGGGAAGGCCCAUACCGAGUGAUACGAGCCACUGGACCAGGAGCAUAUAAAUUAGCGUGCCAAGACGGACGAGACGUGAAGAGGUCAUGGAACGCCGAACACCUGAAGAAGUAUUUCCAGUAAGCAAAAUGCUCUAUUAAAUCCUCACUCCGGCAAGUUAUUUCUGUUACAAUGCCUGAUGGCCUGUCGCACAUGCAUAUAUUCUAUGUUUUUGUAAUACAUUCAAAUUUCAAUAAAGAUGAAUUCAGCAUGAAAUCCCCCUGCUAGCAAGAUCAAUAAAAAUUUCACUAAGACAAGUGCCACUUCUGCUCGGUCAACGAAGACCAGCAGCUAAAUUCUCUAAAUUUCACUAAGGCAAGAGCCUACUUCUGCUCGGUCAACGAAGACCAGCAGCUAAAUUCUCGAAAGUUCACUAAGGCAAAUCAGUGCCUACUUCUGCUCGGUCAACGAGUGACCAGCAGCUAAAGCUACGGACACUCUCCUAGGGCAAGUGCCUACUUCUGCUCGGUCAACGAAGACCAGCAGCUAAAUUCUCGAAAGUUCACUAAGGCAAAUCAGUGCCUACUUCUGCUCGGUCAACGAAUGACCAGCAGCUAAAGCUACGAACACUCUCCUGAGGCAAGUGCCUACUUCUGCUCGUUCAACGAAGACCAGCAGCUAAAACUUCGAAAAUUCUACUAAGGCAACAAAGUGCCUGUUUCUGCUCGGUCAAUGAAAGACCCGCAGCUAAUUCUACGAGAAGUUUACUAAGGCAAGUAAAUACCUACACCUACUCGGUCCACUAAGGAACCAGCAGGCAAGAUUAGAUAAGUUGUGCAAUUAUUUUGCAGAAACAGUCUAUGAAUAGACAUUAGACAAGGGAGCCAAUAAAGAGCAUCUGAAAAUUUAUUAAUGUUCAGUUGGUUACAAAACUAAUGAAAAUCUAAAGUCUAUACAAAAAUAGACCUAAGGAUUAGAAGGGUCAACGGCUUCAGCAGGUGAAGGAUCAGUUGUCCCAGGAGGUGAAGGAUCAGCAAUACUGGGAGGAGGCGGCAUGGAUCCUUGUCCCGUUUCAAAAGCACGUCCCCCAGCUCCCCCCUCCUGCACCUCAUAUAAAGGAGCCUCCACCUGAUUCUGCUCACCUUGCUCCUUAUCUCCCUGGCCGACCCCAGCCAUGUACCUCUCCACUCCAGCCUCCAGCUUGCUCAUUUCCAGCUCGGGAUAUUCUUCCUUAAGCAUAGACAUGAUGCACUUAUAGGAGAAGGCAACCCCAGAGUCAUACUCGGCAUCCAGCCGAUCGUCCACAUCAGCAGAUUUGCCUUUCUCCUCAGCCAGCUGCUCACCCAAGGAUUUGAUUUCCCCCUCAAGGGCAGCCCUCAGAGUAUCCCUUUCAAUUUGAGUAGCCUGAAGAUCAGAUCUCAGGUCACCCAACUCGCCCUCAAGCUUGGAGGAAGUGGACUCAGCAACAACAACUUUCUCCUCAAGCUCCGUAAGCUGUUUGUUCAGCUCGGCCAGUUUCUCCUUGGAGCGGUCAGCAGAUUCAACUUUCUUUUUCAACUCUUGGUUAUCAGCCUGGAGGAGACUCUCUGAACAGAAGCGGCCAACUCGGAGAGGCUCAUGCUCUCGAUGUCCUUCACCAUCUUGGGCCCAACCGACUUUUUAUAAUCCUUCUGAUAUGGGAUCAGGUAGUCACCUUGAUCCCGAGAUGGAAGAGGAGAAGAUCGGUCCCCAGACUGCAAGCUGACCUCAGGAUUCUUGUCGGAAGUUUUCUCCCCACCACUCUUACGAGAUGGAGGAGGGGGCAGAGCAGGAACAAGCGCCUUGGAAGGACCGACGCUGGGUUUCUUCGGAGGAGGAGGAGGGUUGCUGGAGCUACUCGGGCCUCGACCACGCUUCCUGCUCAUCGCGCUGAGGAUCUUGUUAUCCAUCCCGGUAGCUAUAUCCACUAAGCCCGAGCCGACCAAACUUGUGGGUGACAGGAGGUCUUGGCAGGUAGACGCGUUCAAUAGAGCUGUUUCCACCUGAAGCAAAGGCCGAUCUUCAAGCCCCCCGAUCAGACCCCACGACUCUGAAAUAGCACAGAAGGUUAAAGAACUCAAUAAGUAGCAAUCUAAUUAAGAAUACAGGUAAAAAUGAACGACCUGGGGUGACAAAAUGGGUGGGAAGAUAAAUGUCCCCACCAAGCGACCGAACCGCUGGACACCAGUUCCCUCCAGCAAAGAAGAAUUUAUUCUUCCAAUUUUUACAUGAAGAUGGAAACCCAGUGAUCGGUUUCCUCUUUGCGGAACUGGACAUGAAAUAGUACCAGCCUGCCUCCUUCGGGCUACUCCGCAGCUGGUACAGAUGCUUCACUUCAACAAGAGAAGGCUCCUCCGACCCGCACCUCUCCCACAACACAAACAUUGCCGAGAGAACCCUCCACCCAUUUAGGUGUAGCUGACCUGGGGCCAGGUGCAUACCGCCCAGUAUCUUGGCAAAGUAGGAUGGGGCAGCCGAGCUCCUAGUCUGAAACUCUCCAAGUGCAUCGUCACAUACCCAUUCGGAGGACGACUAGGGACAUCACCUUUUCCAGGAACUACAAGAAGAACCUCGUUGGGGAUGUUAUAGAGGUUCCUAAGUUUAAAUAGAUCAGUGGGUGUGGUAGCACAAGCCAUGAAAUCAAUAGGGUAGGAAUCAGCCUCCACCCUAUGGCCUAGGUUCCUUUUCUGAGCAGGUCUGCUCGGUCCAGAACUGCUCCCCUCACCAUCACCAACUCCUUCAGGGAUCCCAACCCCACCAAAGCUGUGGUUCUCACCAGAGCCCGACGCAGGUCCACCCCUAUUCCCUACAAGCGCCAGUUCGGGGGAAGGAGAGAUAACCAAAGGGCGUGGGUAUUCAAGGGUAUCCUUGCCAUGGGGAGGACCUACACUACUGGAGGGGCCUAAGUAAUCAGUGGGUAUUGGCACAUUGAGGCCCGAGUCCCCUGACUCUUCAUCACCCUCAUCAACAAGUAACUUUCUUUUCCGAUUUGACAUAUCGGAAUUUCAAAAGAACACCAAAACAAACCCAAGUGCACGGAUACAAAAAGGGGCAACACAGGACCCAAACAACAACAGCCAAAGAAAAGGUUAAAGGCUAUACCUGGAAUAGACUGACACUGAUAGCGCUGCCGCGAUAAAGAAAACACCCAGCAAAUGGACACUCCGGACGCUAGAAAUAGUGAGCAAAGUUCAGAGAAAUUUUGGUUAACGGCGGAGAAAACGAAUAACAAGAUGAUGAUGACUCCAGUCUAGGGAUUUGAAACGAAAAGGGGGAAAUGGAAGCAUUUAAGUGAUGGGAUAUGCCAGCUCACCCCCCCAUAUAUCGAGGACGGAUAGCCCGUCGUUUCAAAUUUCAAAUACGAAGAGUCUGGAGAUGCCACGUCACCAACCGUUACAAGAGGCCAGGUUAGAAGUAAGCCCAGAUAUGCUAUGGGCAGGUUCACUUAGGCCCACGCUCAGGUCGGAGUCUCCUCAGUAGAGAAAUGGUACAUCAGGUCAGGCCCGUCUCAAUAAAAAGAGGAUCAGAUGAGAAGCUCCCCGGGCUGGUGAGAUUUGACCAUCAGUUUCUACUCUUAACUCAUUUCACUCGCCAGACCAGAAACUAGGGGACUGGUGUUGAGUACAUAAAGGCACCAGGUCGGCCAUGCUACUGGUUCCGCCCCGGCACGGAUCGUUUCAGCUAUAUGGUACGAGCAGAACACGGGGUUAAACAAGAGCCGACCCGAGAUGAAUGCGACCAGGAAAACAUACCGACCAGAAGUAUACGCCGAGCCGAUACUCAUCCCCAGGAAAGCGGGAACACGAUCUCACAAAAUCGCGGUAGUUGCGCUUCUCCCAGAACGGUUGAAGGACACGCGAGAUCCACGACUGCCCGCAAUCUAACAGUUAGAGUCCCAUGAGGGGCUACCACCACCCGAAAAAGGAGGGAUAAGGGGCAAACGAAAAACGUGGGACAAAGGGCGGCUAUAAAAGAGAAAGACAUCGAAGAAGACAAAAAAGAGAAAAGAGAAGAGAGGGAAAACGCUGCCAAAUUGCAACGAGACUAUUUUCUUACAGAUCUCGAACAAACUUCUUGAACCCAAAUUAUAUUGUUUUCCCGUAAACACCUUGUGCUAACUUAGGCAUCGGAGGGUUUACGCCGGCAAAACCACCGGCGUCUCUGAUCCAUUUUUGGUGAACGCAGGUCUAGUGAGAGAAAGGAGGGUGAUCCCGGCCUUAGUGGUUCGAGCAACAGUCGAUAACUUAAGCGUUGGUGAAAGGAUCUGGUCGGUCCAAGGACGAGCAAAUCUCAGCAUCAACAAUGAUUACACUUGGAAUCUCCCCAGCAAAAAAUUUCCCGUUGAUGACAACCGAUUGCAACUUACAAACAGAUACCGAAAAUAUAAUUAGUAUUCAAUGCCCUUUCUCAAGUUCUACACGUAAUUUAGCGAUUUCACAUACAAGUGGGGCUUAUCUGCUCAUCAUUGCUCUGCUCCUUUUUGUUUUUAUUUUUAUUUUUUUGUUUUUUGUUUUUAACUGCUGCUCAUAUCUGCCGGCGGGGUUUUUCGAAAUUAUUGAUUAUUCUUUCCUUUGAAAUUAAUAUAAAAAAACAGCUCCAUAAUUUUUCUGUGUAAUUUAAAACUAUUGCAUGACGUUUUCUAUUUGUCCAUCCAUUAUUUAAUUGAUAACGGCCCAGCAUGCAUAUGCCUAGAAAUUCUCUUCUUCUAUUCUAAUUAAGUUUCAUGUAAAUUUUUCUCAGUUCUCAGUGUUUGCAGAUAUAUUGAAGACCAUAAUAAUGAUGAUGAUGAUGUAUUACAUCUCAAAUUGCCUUCGUUAUAAUAUUUGGCCCUAAAGCUAAUAAAAUAAAAGAGUUAUACCAUUGCAUAUGAAAAUCAUUUGCUGGUAAUAAUUGUACCAUUGCAUAACCUAAAUAAUAAUAAUUUUAAUGGUAUCAAAAUCUAGUUCAAAUGGAACUAAAGUAGGGCGGUGAAAUUUUUUUAUUUUAAUUAUAAAAAUUUAAACUAUUAAUUGAAUAUAAAUAAUAAUAAAAUAUAAAUGAAUCUUAGAUUAUUCCUACAAUUUGGUGGGUCCCGACAUUAUGCGGAAGUGUACGUUGCCACAAGAAGGCAAGAACGACUUUGGUGGGUCUCGACAUUAUUCCUACAUUUUAAGUCUUCGGCUCAUUUAUAUCCCAUUUUCUUUUUCUUUUUCUUUUUCUUUUUCAUAAACAUAUUUUCUAACCAUUGGUUUUUAUUUCUUAAAUACAACGGUUUGACUCCAGAAGCAUUGACUUUCAGUUCAAUGCCGUUAAAGAUGGAUCAUUUUUUUUAAAAAAAAAGAUGGAUCAUUUUUUUAAAAAAAAAAGAUGGAUCAUCACUCACGGUAUUAGCAUCUAUAUAAAUCAAUACACAAAUCUUGUCUUCACAACCUCAUGAUAGAGAUCGAAUUUUCAACUACCAGUCACUGUUGUUCAAGUUUCCACCACUUGCAACACUAAAUAGUUGCGUUCUCGCAAGGGAAUUGGAGUCCAGAAGCACUCACUUUUAGUUCAAUGCCGUUAAAGAUAGAUCAUUAGUCAUGGUAUUAGCAUCUAUAUAGUUUGUUAGAGAGAGAUCUAAACCAAUACACAAAUGGGUGUACUUUCAUUUUUGUUCGUCUGCUGUAAGUCAUUGUGUUUAAUUAUAUUUAUUUAAUUUGUUAGAGAGAGCUCUACGCCUAUAGAGUAUAACAAAUGGAUGCAUUUUUGUUUUCCUUCAUCUGUUGUAAGUUACUGUUUUUCUUGUCUGAAUCCUCUUUUGCUUCCGACACCAUUACUUCAUCUCAGUCCCUCAGCGAUGGCAGGACCUUAGUUUCAAAAGAUGGAAGCUUUGAGCUUGGUUUCUUCAGUCCUGGUAGUUCCAAGAAUCGUUACGUAGGAAUUUGGUACAAAAAUAUGCCUGUUAAAACUGUUGUUUGGGUUGCAAACCGAAUCAACCCCAUUAAUGACUCUUCUGGCUUGUUAGUUGUAAACCAGACGGGCAAUCUUGUUUUAACAAGCCAGGACAAGAGUGUAGUUUGGUCAGCAAACUUGAGUAAAGAAGUCCGGACUCCAGUUGUAUUGCAGCUACUAGAUUCAGGAAAUCUUGUCCUCAGAGGUGAACGAGAUGGUGGUUCUGAAACUUAUUUAUGGCAAAGCUUUGAUUAUCCUUCUGAUACAUUGCUACCGGGAAUGAAGCUCGGAUGGGAUUUGAAGACUGGUCUUGAGCGGUGUAUAACAUCAUGGAAGAGCCCAGAUGACCCGUCUCCUGGAAACUUUAUUUGGGCAGUUGAACGACAAGAUAAUCCUGAGUUAAUCAUGUGGAAGGGAUCAAGAAAGUUUCAAAGGAGUGGCCCAUGGAAUGGCCUUCAAUUCAGUGCUACACCAUUGAGGCCAAACCCCAUUUUUAACUUCAGCUUUGUCUCUAAUGAGGAUGAGCUGUACUACACCUUCGACAUGAGAGAUAAAGCUGCUUUCUCAAGGAUUGUUAUGAACCAAACACUCUAUUUACGUCAACGAUUCAUAUGGGAUAAAGCAACUCAAAGUUGGGAAUUGUAUUCAAAUGUGCCAAGAGAUCUAUGUGACACUUAUGCCCUUUGUGGUGCCUAUGGCAUUUGCAUCAUUAGCGAUAUGCCUGUUUGCCAAUGUUUAAAAGGUUUUAAACCAAAGUCAAGGGGAUAUGUGGACUGGUCUCAAGGGUGUGUGCGUUAUAAGUCGUUAAACUACUCGAGACAAGAUGGAUUCAUCAAAUUCACUGCGAUGAAAUUGCCAGAUGCUACUCUUUCUUGGGUGAGCAAAAGUAUGAAUCUCAAUGAAUGCCGGGAGAAAUGCUUAGACAACUCUUCUUGUAUGGCAUACACAAAUUCAGAUAUCAGAGGAGAAGGCAGUGGCUGUGCCAUGUGGUUUGGUGAUCUGAUUGACAUCAGAUACUUCCAAGAUGGUGGGCAGGACUUGUAUAUUCGAAUGUCUGCUUCAGAGCUAGGUAUCCGUAUACUUAUUUAUGUCAUUCCAUUAUGAAAACUUAGGAGUACAAGUCCAGUUAGACUAGUUCCACAUUUUUAUUGUGCAAUUUAGUAUUGAGUUCCGAUUGAGAAGCUCCUUUCGCAUAAAGCAGUUUCUGGGUAUAGCUUCUAUCCAUAGAAUUCUGCCGCUAUUUGAAUCAUUUGAUUAUUGACUUGCUUUGCUAUAUCUGAAUAUGCUGAUCAAGGAGCGAAAGGUGUGCCUAAGACGAAGAUAGUGGUGACAGUCAUUUCUACUGCUGCUCUGUUAGCUGUGGUGAUUGCAGCUGGCUAUUUGGUUCACAAAAGAAGGAGAAAUAUAGUAGGUAUAAUAUUGCUCCAUUUUCCUUCAAAACUUUAUAGCCAUUUGCUUGCAUUUUUAUGAUAGCCGUUUCCUUUCAAUCAAUAUUUAUAUGAGUUCAAUUUCCCUGUAUCAAAUCUUCAAUAAAAUCUUUCACCAAGUAGAAUAAGUUUUUAUAUGCAACAAUAACUGUACGUUUGUUUCAAGAUGAAGAGUUAACAGUGCAUAUCAUUUAGAUCAGGGGCAAGGUAAUUAAACUUGUAAAUUUUUGGUUGGAAUAGCAGGUUUACUUACUUGCAUUUAGUGUUAUAUCAAUACACACCUCUUUUUCACCUAUGGUUCUUUAUUUACUUGCACUUUCAUAUUGAAUGGAAAAUAGCUUUAAUACAAAUUUACAGAGAAAGAACCUUCUCAUCAAGAACACGAAAAUUGUAGUUACUAGUUAGUAGUUUGUCCAGUAUACGUACUGCAUAUGUGCUUUCAGUUAAUAUUAUCCAAUAUUUCAGAGAAAACAGAAAACAACAGGGAAACUGAUCAGGUUCAAAACAUGGACCUGGAGCUACCACUGUUUGAGUUAGCUACAAUUGCUAAUGCCACCAGUAACUUUUCAAUCAACAACAAGCUUGGAGAAGGUGGCUUUGGACCUGUUUACAAGGUAAACUUGAAACUUGCCAGUCAAAAAUAAUUAUUUUACCGGGUAACUAAAUUCACAUAUAUGUCUGGGCAGGGCACGCUAGUGGAUGGGCAGGAAAUUGCUGUGAAGAGGCUUUCGAAGAUUUCUGAGCAAGGAUUGAAGGAGUUAAAGAAUGAAGUUAUACUAUUUUCCAAAUUACAGCAUAGAAAUCUUGUAAAGCUUCUUGGCUGCUGCAUUCAGGGAGAGGAGAAACUGUUGAUUUAUGAAUUCAUGCCCAACAAAAGCCUGAACUCUUUCAUUUUUGGUCUGGGUCCCUAUAACCUUAAAAUAUUCGGCUAGCUUGUGCCUUGAUUAUAGACAUUUCUUAUGUAUUUUCAGAAAAUUUUGUACUAACCUUAAUGUGGUAAUUUGUAGAUCAAGAAAGAUGUAAGAUAUUGGAUUGGUCCAAGCGUUUCCACAUUAUUUGUGGGACUGCUAGGGGUGUUAUGUACCUUCAUCAAGAUUCUAGAUUGAGGAUUAUACAUCGAGAUCUCAAAGCAAGUAAUGUGCUACUCGAUCAAGAUAUGAAUCCAAAAAUUUCGGAUUUUGGUUUGGCAAGAGCUUUUGGUGGAGACGAAACAGAAGGAAACACAAAAAGAGUGAUUGGAACAUAGUAAGUACUUCUUGUCAUGUGAUCUUUACGAUUCACUUGUACUGAUUAAUGAAAAGUAACUUAUAUAUUUUAAUCUUUUGAAGUGGUUAUAUGGCACCGGAAUACGCUAGUGAUGGGAAAUUCUCAGUAAAAUCCGAUGUCUUCAGCUUUGGAAUUUUAUUGCUGGAGAUAAUAAGUGGAAAGAAAAAUAGAGGAUUUUAUCAUUCCGACAACAAGCUUAACCUUAUAGGACAUGUAAGUAAAAUGCAUACGACAUUUUCUAACAUAGUUUGAACUAAUAAACUAUAGAUGAUAAAAGAAUUUUAAUAUGUUGUAGGCAUGGAAGUUGUGGAACGAAGGCAUGCCUUCACAAUUAAUCGAUCCGUGUAUUCAAGGCUCAUUCAAUCUUGCUGAAGUGAUACGAUGCAUCCACAUCGGUUUGUUAUGCGUGCAACAGCAUCCAAAGGACAGGCCAAGUAUGCCCUCAGUGAUUCUGAUGUUGGGCAGCGAGACUGUGUUGCCUCAGCCAAAGCAACCCGGUUACUUGGCGGACAGGAAAUCUACCAGACAAGAUUAUUCAUCAAGCACGCCUGAAUCAUGUUCAACUAAUACAAUUACGAUCUCUGAGUUGGAGGGUCGGUAGAGAAUCUAUUUGUGGUAUCAUACCUUAUUCUACUUUGUCAAGUGCAAAAGCAGUAAUAUCAGUGGCGGAUUUAGAAAAAUAAUUUAUCGGGGGCUAAAUUAGAUAAUAGUAAAAUAUAAAAAAUUAAAAUUUUGAAUAUAUAAAAUAUUUAUAAUUAGUCUCUACGUAUUUUUAUAUUUUAAAAAUAUUAUGCAAUAUGUUCAUUAUCAAUAUUAUUAAAUUUAUUAUUUUUUAUAUAAACAAUCAAACUAUCACGUAUCUCAUCUGAUUCUAAAGAUGAUUCUUCAUGAGUUUUAUUACUGAAACUGUUCGUUCUACUAUUAUUAUAUAAACUGAAAGAAUUAACCAUAUUUUUUAGAAUAAAAAAUUUUUGAGUAGUAGGCUAUCAUUAUUUUUAAUUAAAAUAUAUAUUUUUAUAUUUUUUAAAAAUCAAAGUUUAAAUUUUAUGGGGUUUAUAUUUUCUAGUGACUAUUUUAAUAAAUUUAAUGAGGCUAAUUACAAAAUUAAAAAAAUUCUUUUAUUUUUAAAUUUUUUUUUUUGGCCAGUGGGGGCUCAAGCCCCCACUGGUCAUGUGCUGCAUCCGCCUCUGAGUAAUAUGUCAACAAAAUGGAAAGUUAAGAUAAAUGCUUGGAUAAAAAAUGAUGAGGAUCAUCCAGUGAAUGCAUGUUGUGGAUCUAAAAGUUCAAAGGACGAGCCAAUUUUGCAGCUGACUACUUGGCCAAAAAUGCAGGCUCUAUACCUCUCGGAUUUCAUGUUUAUCAAGAACCACCAAAUGGAAAGUUAAGAUAAAUGAAUGGAUUAAAAAUGAUGAGGAUCAUCCAGUGAAUGCAUGUUGUGGAUCUAAAAGUUCAGAGGACGAGCCAAUUUUGCAGCAGACUAAUUAUAUUUAUUUAAUUUGUUAGAGAGGGCUCUACGCCUAUAGAGUAUAACAAAUGGAUGUAUUUUUGUUUUCCUUCAUCUGUUGUAAGUUACUGUUUUUCUUGUCUGAAUCCUCUUUUGCUUCCGAUACCAUUUCUUCAUCUCAGUCCCUCAGCGAUGGCAGGACCUUAGUUUCAAAAGAUGGAAGCUUUGAGCUUGGUUUCUUCAGUCCUGUUAGUUCCAAGAAUCGUUACGUGGGAAUUUGGUACAAAAAUAUGCCUGUUAAAACUGUUGUUUGGGUUGCAAACCGAAUCAACCCCAUUAAUGACUCUUCUGGCUUGUUAGUUGUAAACCAGACGGGCAAUCUUGUUUUAACAAGCCAGGACAAGAGUGUAGUUUGGUCAGCAAACUUGAGCAAAGAAGUCCGGACUCCAGUUGUAUUGCAGCUACUAGAUUCAGGAAAUCUUGUCCUCAGAGGUGAACGAGAUGGUGGUUCUGAAACUUAUUUAUGGCAAAGCUUUGAUUAUCCUUCUGAUACAUUGCUACCGGGAAUGAAGCUCGGGUGGGAUUUGAAGACUGGUCUUGAGCGGCGUAUAACAUCAUGGAAGAGCCCAGACGACCCGUCUCCUGGAAACUUUAUUUGGGCAGUUGAACGACAAGAUAAUCCUGAGUUAAUCAUGUGGAAGGGAUCAAGAAAGUUUCACAGGAGUGGCCCAUGGAAUGGCCUUCAAUUCAGUGCUUCACCAUUGAGGCCAAACCCCAUUUUUAACUUCAGCAUAGUCUCUAAUGAGGAUGAGCUCUGCUAUACCUUCGAUAUGAGAGAUAAAGCUGCUUUCUCAAGGAUUGUUGUGAACCAAACACUCUAUUUACUUCAACGAUUCAUAUGGAAUAAAGCAACUCAAAGUUGGGAAUUGUAUUUGUUGAUGCGAGAUUCUGGUUACGCCUUCCAACGACCAGGAUGUCUGCUCGAUCAACCUCACCUCGAUCAGGAUCUCUCCUCGUACGCUUUUUUCCCUAAGUAUCCCUGCGUCCACAGAAACAAGUCAGAGCAUGCCGGUUGUUUUCCCGGCGUAAACCCUCCGACGCUCAAGUCAGAUAUGAAGGCUCUGGGAACGCUUGCCACAAAUCUUAUGGCUUUUAGGUUGUUUUUUUCUCUUUUAGAAUUUCCUUUCUCUCUGUUAUAAUCUCCAAAUUGCUAACCCUUUUACCUUCGUUGGCUACCUUUUUAUAGGCCACUUCUGAACUCAGGCCUUUCCUCCCUUUGCGCUCGCCAUCCUCCCACUUCUCGAAAGUGGAUGCUCCACUGCCGUAGUCAUGGGUGGUUGCGUGGCCCUCGCGCCUUGAUUCUCGGACUAGAGAGCAUGUCUCGCCAACUGUCGUUGACCGGGUCUCCUCGACCCAACCGUUAGUAGGAAUAUAGCAGGAACGGCUUUAUGCUCCCAACAGGAGACUGACCUCGUGGAUGCCGUACUCAUGGACGAGCAGGAUACUCCUGCUCCUGCUCCCCCGGCUACCAGACUUUUGCAAGAUAUACCUAUUCGAGGAACCCUGCUACCAGGCGCCUGCUCAUCACUGCUGGUCAUCGUCGAAACAUAUCCCCCAAACACCAGUCCCCCAGUUUCUUGUGUUGGGUAGCGUAGUGAGCCAACAGUAGAAACUCGACAGUUCUUGCUCGCGCAGGAUAGGAAAAGGCUACCAAGAGUCGUGUCGCAUUUAAUUGCGGAUGAGGUGAUGUGGCGGAGAUCCACCCCUCCAUUUGAAUUUCAAACCGACGGUUACGAGACCCUCGGGAUUCGGUGCUAUUAAAUGCUGGCUAUCCAAGAGUUUUUCUUCCAAUAAGAUAACCCAAAACCUCUCGAAGGGAAAUUAGCCAUUUCCACCGUCUAUGUCCUUGUCUCUCCGGCGAAGAAGUUUCAGCAUAAAAGCCCCCAUCUUUGCCUUUCUCCGACUGAAACAGUACUUCAGGUAUUACUUCUUUCUCCUCGGUCUCGGAUAGUUUGUAGAUAACUUCUUUUUUCUUUGCUUUGUUUGGGGUAGUAGUUGGUGGUGGUGUUUUGGUUAUUACCUAGGGAAUGUCGAAGGGUAAGGAGAAGGUCGUUGAGAUUGAUGACGACGAACUAGGUUUCUUGCCUAGUCUGCUCGCUGAUUCUGCUUUUGACCCCGGGAUCCCCUUAGAACCCACUAGGUCUAGCGUCGGGACUAGCGCUAGGAGGAUGUCCCCCCAAACAACCUCCACGAGCGGAAGUAGUGGUGAGGAGGGACCUUCUGGCUCGGAAGACACCCUAAGUGAGGAUCAAGGAGGUGAUUCUGGUGAGGGAUCUUCACCAGGAACACCGCGACCAGAAGGGCGUAGUACAGUAGGAGGUAGAGCCUUGUCGCGGGAUUAUGCUAUUGAUUACAUGACCUGCACGACCACAUUCAACGAGCUGGAUGACCUCCGGCUUAGGUAUAGCAUUCCUGGUGAAAUUCCUCUCAAGAUCCUAGGAAAGAAGGAUACACCUAGCCGGCCUCCUAGGGGAUAUGUUACCCUGUUUCUGGAAAGCUUUAAGUUUGGGCUGAGGUGUCCCUUGCAACCCUACUUUGCCCGGAUACUUAACGGGCUGAAUCUGGCUCCUGGUCAGCUGAACCCCAAUGGUUGGAGAGUGCUCUCUGGUCUGUUCAUAUUGUGGGACAGAUGUUGCCAAAGCGAGCCCAUGGUUGAUGAGGUGAAGCACCUAUACCAGCUAAAGAGCAGCCCUAAAGAUGCCGGCUGGUACUACUUCCAAUCUAGUACCAAGAGCAGGAAACCCAUAACUGAUCUUCCAACUGGUGGUGGUGGGACUUGAAAGAGGAAAUUCUUUUUUGCUGGGGGUCAUUGGGGUCAAGUUGCACAAAUUGACGGGAACGAUUAUCGCGUCCCACCCCGUUUCGUGGUCCCAGGUUGCCUGCUCGCUUUAGAUGCCUCGUAUUCAUAAUUGUUCUCGCUUUAUUGGUUUGUUCUUAACCAAGUGUCUGUUUGCGUUGCAGGUUCUUGGGGUGUUCACUUCCCGCUUAAACCUGACCAGCUCAAACGGGUCGAGGCCGUAUUGGUUAAUUCUUGCCCGAGUCGAGAGCUGAUAACCACCUACAACCUGCUCGAGUCUCGUUUGGUGCCCCCCGGCCAUAAGAUGGAGGACGCAGUGAUUGGAGCUCUGACCGGGAAACGUUCUCGGCCUCCAACAACCAAACGGGACCAGAACAAAGAUGCUCCUGCUACGAAGCGAAAGAACAUCGUGCAGCAGGUUCCUCCCUUACAGACUCUUCCUCCUGCUCCUGCCAAGGUCGGGGAAACUAGUGGAGCAGCCACAGAUCCUGCUUCUUCUUCUCCUCCUGUCGGGCCUCGGUCUCGCUUACCUGACAGCCGAGCAGAACACUUGGUCCCCUAUCUCAAUGAGUUAUCUAAACUCGUGAGCAAGAAGGACUUGGAGGACUUUGACGGCUGCACCUUGGGUGAACUGGUGGGAGCCAUGCAGUAUAGCGCUUUCCACCUCAGCUGCAUGAUCACCUAUUACAAGGCUAAGGUUGGCCGCUACAAUCGGCAGAUGAAGGAGGACAUUCAGUCAGCGACUACCAGAGCUGACGUUGCCGAGAAGAGAGCAGGGGAGCUGAAUGUUGAGAACCUUAAGCUGAUGGAGCAAGAAUCUCUUGCUCAAGCAAAAGCCAUUACCCUGGAGGAGGAGCUGACCAAGGUCAAGGAGGAUCUGCUAAGGUAGAAGGCUAUGUAUGAGGCUCAGCUCGAAUUUCUACGUGAUUCCCACCGGGCUCAGGUUGAGAAUUUGGAGAGGGAGGCCGACAACCAGUACGACUAGGGACUUCGGCAUUCCUAUCGUUGCAUCAUGGCCGUCCUCGGGAAGCAGCAUCCUGAUCUGAAGAUGGAUGACCUUGUAGCUGGUGUUGCUCAACAUAUGGACGAGGAGGCGGCCAAGAAAGAUGCCGAAGGGAUAGAGCCGAUCGUGAUUAAGGAGGAAAAUUCUCCUCCUCGUGCGGUCCCUGCUGACGUUGGCGAGGCGAGCACCCGUGCUGCCGUUGCCGAGGCGAGCACCCCCCGGACGCAACUGGUGAUACUCCCCCUGCACCUGAGGAGGUCCAGCCAACCGAUGCUGCUCGGCUUACUGAUCCGCCAUCUUCUUGAUAUAUUUCUUGUAUUGUAAUGAACAACGUUUAUGAAAUUUAUCUCCUCUGUUAAUUAUUAACACAUUAAUAAAAAUAUUUUUGAUUACUUUCUUGUGUUGUAAUCAUGAGUUAUUUUUCGUUUAAGAAUCUGCUCGCCUUCGUCUGGUUGAGCAGGUUCUGGCUUGGCAUAUGGUUUUGCCACAUGCCUUAGAAAAAUUUUUCAAUGCUUGGGCUUCUGCUCGCCUUUACGCGGUCGAGCAGAUCCUAGCAUACUUGGCUUCUAUCUCGCCAUAAACAGGCUUUGAGACUUGGUGAGCCUUUGCAUGCCUUAGAGAUUUUUUCGAUGCUUGGGGAUUCUGCUCACCUUCGCGUGGUCGAGCGGAUCCUGGCACGCUUGGCUUCUGUCUCGCCAUAAACAGGGUUUGAGACUUGGUGAGCCUUUGCAUGCCUUAGAGAUUUUUUCGAUGCUUGGGGAUUCUGCUCGCCUUCGCGUGGUCGAGCGGAUCCUGGCACGUUUGGCUUCUGUCUCGUCAUAAACAGGCUUUGAGACUUGGUGAGCCUUUGUAUGCCUCGGAAAUUUUUUCGAUGCUUGGGGAUUCUUCUCGCCUUCGCGUGGUCGAGUAGAUCCUGGCACGCUUGGUUUCUGUCUCGCCAUAAACAGGCUUUGAGACUUGGUGAGCCUUUGCAUGCCUUAGAAAUUUUUUCGAUGCUUGGGGAUUCUGCUCGCCUUCGCGUGAUCGAGCAGAUCCUAGCACGCUUGGCUUCUGUCUCACCAUAAACAGGCUUUGAGACUUGGUGAGCCUUUGCAUGCCUUAGAAAUUUUUUCGAUGCUUGGGGAUUUUGCUCGCCUUCGCGUGGUCGAGCAGAUCCUGGCACGCUUGGCUUCUGUCUCGCCAUAAACAGGCUUUGAGACUUGGUGAGCCUUUGCAUGCCUUAGAAAUUUUUUCGAUGCUUGGAGAUUCUGCUCGCCUUUGCGUGGUCGAGCAGAUCCUGGCACGCUUGGCUUCUGUCUCGCCAUAAACAGGCUUUGAGACUUGGUGAGCCUUUGCAUGCCUUAGAAAAUUUUCACAGUUUCAAGUGAAUAAGAUUCCUCGACGUUCCAUUAAUUGCAGGAUUCAACUUACAUGAAAUUGUUUGGUUAUAAAAUAAAUAACAGCAAAUACGAACAGAAAGAACUUGAAAAUAUUAACGACUCUUACUGGAAAUAUUUCCUGAGAUGUGCUGCGUUCCACGGGCGCUUCACCUCGUGGCCAUCCGUGCGAACCAGCUUGUAAGCUCCUGGUCCAACUAGCUGCUUGACUCUAUAUGGCCCCUCCCAAUUCGGACCGAGCACUCCUUGAGUCGAGUCUUUGGUGUUCUGGUUCACUCUCCUUAACACCCGAUCUCCGACCUUGAACUGCCGUAUGUUCACCUUCUGGUUAUAAUACCGGGCAACCCUCUGCUGGUAAAUGACUAAUCGCUCGGCUGCUUGCUCCCUCUUUUCGGUUAGCAGAUCAAGAUUCAAACAUAUCUGCUCGUCGUUCUCCUGCUCAUUGAAAUGAUCUGUCCGGUGCGUGGUCGUUCCUAUCUCAGCUGGCACGACCGCUUCGUGUCCGAAAGCCAAGGCGAAUGGUGUCUCCCCAGUUGCUGUUUUGUGGGUUGUUCUGUAUGCCCAUAGCACACCUGACAGCUCAUCAACCCAUGCACCUUUUUUUUGCUCCAAGCCUGGUUUUCAAAAGCCUCUUGAUUGUCUUGUUGGCUGCUUCUACUUGUCCAUUCGAUUGGGGGUGAGCAGGCGAGCAAUACUUCAGCUCUAUCCCGAGGUUCUGGCAGAAAUCCUUGAAGUUGUGAUUAUCGAACUGCCUGCCAUUAUCCGUUACCAGGGCAUAAGGGAUCCCGUAUCGACAGACCAGGUUUCUCCAUACAAAGUCUGUUGUUUUCUUCUCUGUGAUCCUGCUAAGGGCUUCUACUUCUAUCCAUUUCGUGAAGUAGUCUAUAGCAACUAUUGCAUGUGUUGCUGCUCCUCGUCCCUUUGGUAGCGGGCCGAUCAGAUCAAUUCCCCAUUGAGCAAAUGGCCAAGGGGAGGCCAUAGAGGUGAGCUUCUCUGGUGGUUGGUUGGAGAAACUUUCAAAACUCUGGUAGUUUACACAACUCCUGGUCUUCUCCUGUGCAUCCUGGUGCAUUGUCGGCUAGAAAUAUCCCUGCCUUAGAACCUUGUGGGCCAGGGACCUCCCAUCACCUCAACUACUUCAAAUUUCCCCAUUAUCUGCCUGACUAUCUUCAGGUACUGCUCCAUCUUCUCCUCUCUUGGUUGAAAUAUUUCACUGACAUGAUUCGCAACCAGCUGGGAAUCAGUUCGGAUCUUCACUCUGACUGCUUUCACGGCCUUAGCCAAUUCCAAACCUGCUAUCAAGGCUUCAUACACUGUCUGGUUAUUUGUGGCUGCAAAUUCUAACUUUACAACAUAAGAGAUCUCCUCCCCCUCCAGGCUUCCAAGACAAUCUCUGCUCCUGAACCCUGCUCCCCUGAUGACCCAUCCACAGACAUAUGCCAUACUUGAGCUUCGUCACUGUCUGUAACUACAUCUCGUCGAUUUAAACAUACUUCGGGCUCUGUGAAAUCAGCUACGAAAUCGGCCAUUGCCUGAGCCUUUAUCGCUGCUCGGGGUUUGUAGUCUAUGUCGAACUCGCUCAGCUCUAUAGCCCACUUGACUAGCCGACCAGAAGCAUCUGGCUUGUGCAGAGUUUGACGCAAUGGCUGGUUUGUUAUUACCGAGACUGGGAAUACUUGAAAAUAUGGCCUCAACUUCCGAGCCGCAACUACAAGAGCAAGUGCCCAUUUCUCCAACGAUGGGUAUUUGGUCUCAGCGUCGAGCAGGGCCUUGCUGGUGUAGUAUAUCGGAUACUGAACUCCUCCUUCCUCUCUCACCAGAACAGAACUGGUGGCCCGAUCCGAUACCGCCAAAUACAGAUACAACUUAUCCCCAUCCCUCGGUGUGGACAACAGUGGAGCUUGCUGCAAGUAUUGCUUUAAGUUCUGGAAGGCUUCCUCGCAUUCUUGUGUCCAUUCUGUUUUCUUUCCCCUCCUUAUCACUUGAAAGAAUGGCUGACACUUAUCUGUAGCCUUGGAUAUGAAUUUGCUCAACGCCGCCAACCUCCCUGUGAGGCUCUGCAUCUCCUUCAGGUUACGAGGAGACCUCAUCUGCACAAUCGCCUAGAUUUUCUCGGGAUUUACUUCAAUCCCCCUAUGGCUCACCAUGAAUCCAAGGAAUUUUCCUGACUCGACCCCAAAAGCACACUUCUCCGGGUUGAGCUUCAUCUUAUACUUUCUCAAAAGCCCGAAUGUCUCCUCGAGGCGUCUGACAUGUUCCUUCGGGAUUUUGGAUUUAAUGAUCAUGUUAUCCACGUACACCUCCAUGGUUUUCCCAAUCAACGGCUUAAAGACUUUGUUCACCAGCCUCUGAUAGGUGGCCCCAGCAUUUUUGAGACCAAAUGUCAUUACCCUGUAACAGAACAAACCCUGGUUAGUGAUGAAAGUCGUGCUCUCCUCAUCCUGCUCGUACAUGGGGAUCUGGUUGUAUCCCGAGAACGCGUCCAUGAAACUAAGCAGACCGUGUCCAGCCGUUGAAUCUACCAGCUGAUCGAUCUUUGGUAAAGGGAAGCUGUCUUUUGGGCACGCCUUAUUAAGGUCUGUGAAAUCCACACACAUCAUCCACUUGUCAUUUGCCUUCUUUACUAACACCACAUUCGAUAUCCAUUCAGGGUAAUUGACUUCCCGAAUGAACCCUGCUCUCAAGAGCUUCUCCACCUCGCCAUUUAUAGCCUCAUACCUCUCAUGAUUAAAGCACCUCCUCUUCUGCCUUACUGCCCGAGCACCUUUCUUUAUUGCCAGUUUAUGACAUGCUACCUCAGGGUCAAUCCCUGGCAUGUCUUCAUGUGUCCAAGCAAACACAUCUGCAUGAGCCUGUAAGCAUUUCAUCAACUCCUGCUUUUGCUCUCCCUUAAGUCUCGACCCGAUCCUGAUCGUCUUUCCCGGAUUCUCUGGUCCCAGGCUUACUGUUUUCAGAUCCUCUACAGGUUCUUGCCUGCCAUUCUUGUUUUCUACUCGGGUAUCGAGGGAUGUUAUCUGCAUUGCUUCCCUUGCUGCCGAGGAGUAGCAGCUUCUUGCGAUCCUCUGGUCUCCUCGUACCACUCCAACUACCCCAUUCACCCGGUACUUCAAAGCCAGAUAAUGGUUGGACAGCACCGCUUUGCUCAUCCUCAGAAAUGGCCGGCCUAGGAUCAUCUGGUAAGGUCCUUCCUCAUCCACUACCACAAAGUCUAGUAUCAUUGUCCUUUCUGUCGGGGAGCUCCCAAUCGUGAUAGGCAGCUCGACCACGCCCAGAGGGACUAGCUUUCCUCCUCCAAACCCCUUCAAGGAGGUAUUGGUGUAAUCCAACUUCAGGUCUGCUAUUCCUAUCUCCUCCAGGGUUGACUUAAACAACACAUCAACUGAACUCCCUGUAUCAACCAGUAUCUUGUCAAACUUCUUGCUAGCAACAGUGGCCUUGAUGACCAGAGCGUCCUCGUGGGGGUAUAAGAUCCCUUCUUCAUCCUCAUCUGUCCACAUGAUUGGCACUUGCCUAACUCUUGCACGUUUGGCCGCUGGGGUGUUGAAGAAUACCUCCUUGCUGGUCAUGGCGUAUCUAGCAUAAUUCUUCCUCGACCUGUUGGAAUCUCCGGCCAAUGUUGGGCCCCCAGCUAUAACCCUUACUGCAGGUUGCUCUCGCCUCAAGUUCCUGUCACUCUGCUCCCCUUCACUUGUUGAGGCUACCGUUGGGAAGGUCCCAUCUACAAACUCGUCCAGAUACCGAUUUCUCACCAAAUCUUCAACCUAGGUCUUAAGAUCUCUGCAAUCUGUUGUAGUGUGGCCAUGAGUGCCAUGGAACUUACAAUAGCGUCCCCUAUCUCUCCUGCUGGGUAGCUUUGUUAUUGGAGCAGGGAGGUAUAGCAACCCCCGAUCCUUUAUGGCCUCGUACACCUCGUCCAGGGACAUCUUCAAGGAAGUGUACCGCCCAUAGUCCUAGUUCUAGUCGAUCAGGUGCACUGCUCUUUCUCUGUUUGCUCCGUUCUAAGUUGGGGGUAUUGGCAGUACUUCUGGUCUGCUCCCUCUGCUACUGUGGGAAUAUUGAUGAAGACCCCCAUAUGCUGAAUCAUGCCUUCUCCAAGGCUCCCUAGUUGAGGAACGAGGAGGUUGCGCCCUGCUGCGCAGAUACUGUGGUGGCCUCUGAUGAGGCUGGUAAGCAGUUACCCGACCUCCUGCUCCACUACCCGAGGUCUGGUGGUCCCUCCUCCUGAUCGGCCCAUUCCCUGGUAAUGCUUUCUUCUCUUUCCUCCCCAACCAUUCUAACUAGUCUGUCUUAAUCCGUGCUGCCUUCUCCUCUUCAAUCUCAAUGUCUCUCUUAGCCUGCUCGUAUGCGGCCGCAUACGUCUGGAUAACUGGGCUUCUCAAGUUGUACCACAACCUUCUUAUCUUCACCCCUUCUUUCAAUCCCCUUAACGCCUGAGGGUGGUUGAAGGCUCCCAAGUCGAGGACAACACGAUGAAACCUCUUGAUGAAUUCCCGAAGGGUUUCUUGCUCCCCCUGUUUCAUGCUUUUCAGCUCCAUCAUGUCAUCUUCUAGUGCCAUUGCCCCACUAAACUGCUCUGCAAAUUCCUGGCACAUCUGCUCGAAGGUUUUAAUGCUGCCCUGAGGAAGUUUCCUGUACCACUCUCGUGCACGUCCCUCAAGGGAUAGUGGGAACACCCUGCACCUUUGGGAUUGAGAUAAUCCUUGUACCCUAGUUAUGUCGUUGAAGCGCUCUAUGUGUACCAGCGGAUCAGUUCUUCCCGAAUAUCUAAGGUCUGGGAGGCAGAAAUCUCUCGGAAUAACUGCCCUCAUGAUCUCUGCUGCGAGCGGUGAUUCUCCGUCCAGCAUUAUCCUCCAACCAGGAGCUCUGCUCCUUCCUUGCAUGUCGUCAAUUAUCUGCGCUAGUCUGCGCACUUCCUCCUCCAGCUGCACUGCACGACCAGGGUCACGUGCUGCAACUUAAUCCCGCUCUUGCUCUACAUCAUGCAAAUGUUGCCUCAGCAUUGUUUCCUCUGCAUUCGCCACCCUAUCGUCCUCGUCAAAAAUCUGUCUUACCGGGGACUGCUCUUCCUCUCUAUGGAAUUCUCCCCGCAGGGGUAUGUUACCUCUUUCACCACCAAAUCUCCCGGUGGUUUGACUUCUCCUCGUACUAUCGGGACCUGGUGCCAUUCCACCACCUCUCACCCUUUCUUCCUGGGUUACCCUUCGUUCGCUCCGCAGCUCAUGCAGGAUGGUUGUAAAGGUCUCCAUCUGCUUUUCCAUCCGUUCCAUCCGGUCGAACAUGGCUUUUUCCCGUGCUUCACUGGCUAUCUCCCUCAGCGUCACGGAAUCGUUAAGCCUCAUAUCACCCCCUUAUGCACUACUUCCUCCUGUCUCCAUUGCUUUUCAGUUGCUUCCCUUCUCUUCUUGCUAUCAACAGAAGCUUUUUGCUCAGCUCCCCACAGACGGCGCCAAAAUGUUGAUGCGAGAUUCUGGUUACGUCUUCCAACGACCAGGAUGUCUGCUCGAUCAACCUCACCUCGAUCAGGAUCUCUCCUCGUACACUUUCUUCCCUAAGUAUCCCUGCGUCCACAGAAACAAGUCAGAGCACGCCGAUUGUUUUUUUGGCGUAAACCCUCCGACGCUCAAGUCAGAUAUGAAGGCUCUGGGAACGCUUGCCACAAAUUUUAUGGCUUUUAGGUCAUUUUUUUCUCUUUUAGAAUUUCCUUUCUCUCUGUUAUAAUCUCAAAAUUGCUAACCAUUUUACCUUUGUUGGCUACCUUUUUAUAGGCCACUUUUGAGCUCAGGCCUUUCCUCCCUUUGCGCUCGCCAUCCUCCCACUUCUCGAAAGUGGAUGCUCCAUUGCCGUAGUCGUGGGUGGUUGCGUGGCCCUCGCGCCUUGAUUCUCAGACUGGAGAGCAUGUCUCGCCAACUGUCGUUGACUGGGUCUCCUCGACCCAACCAUUAGUAGGAAUAUAGCAGGAACGACUUUAUGCUCCCAACAGGAGACUGACCUCGUGGAUGCCGUACUCAUGGACGAGCAGGAUACUCCUGCUCCUGCUCCCCCGGCUACCAGACUCUUGCAAGAUAUACCUAUUCGAGGAACCCUGCUACCAGGCGCCUGCUCAUCACUCCUGGUCGUCGUCGAAACAUAUCCCCCAAACAGUAUUCAAAUUUGCCAAGAGAUCUAUGUGACACUUAUGCCCUUUGUGGAGCCUGUGGCGUUUGCAUCAUUAACGAUUUGCCUGUUUGCCACUGUUUAAAAGGUUUUAAACCAAAGUCAAGGGGAUAUGUGGACUGGUCUCUAGGGUGUGUGCGUGAUAAGUCGUUAAACUACUCUAGACAAGAUGGCUCCAUCAAAUUCACUUCGAUGAAAUUGCCAGAUGCUACUCCUUCUCGGGUGAGCAAAAGUAUAAAUCUCAACGAAUGCAGGGAGAAGUGCUUAGAAAACUCUUCUUGUAUGGCGUACACAAAUUUAGAUAUCAGAGGAGGAGGCAGUGGCUGUGCCAUGUGGUUUGGUGAACUGAUUGACAUGAGAGACUUUCCAGAUGGUGGGCAGGACUUGUAUAUUCGAAUGUCUGCUUCAGAGAUAGGUACCCGCGGACUUGUUUUUGUCACUCCAUUAUGGGAACUUACGAGUACCACUCCAGUUAGACUAGUUCCACAUUUUUAUUGUGCAAUUUAGUAUUGAGUUCUGAUUGAGAAGCUCCUUUUGCAUAAAGCAGUUUCUGGGUAUAGCAUCUAUGCAUAUAAUUCUUUUGCUACUUGAAUCAUUUGAUUAUUGACUUGCUCUGCUAUAUCAGAAUACACUGAUCAAGGAGCAAAAGGUAAGCCUACAACAAAGAUAGUGGUGAUAGUCGUUCCUACAGCUGCUCUGUUAGCUGCGGUGCUCAUAGCUGGCUACUUGAUUCACAAAAACAGGAGAAAUAUAGUAGGUAUAAUAGCACUCCAUUUUCCUUCACAAAUUUUCAUUGACGACUUGAUGUAGGGAAAUCAAACUCUUAUAAAUAUUAAAUUUAUAAGAGUACAUUAAAUUUUUAUAUGCAGCAAUAACUGUAUAUUUGUUUCAAGAUAAAGAGUUAACAGUGCAUAUCAUUUAGAUCAGGGGCAAGGUAAUUAAACUUGUAAAUUUUUUGUUGCAAUAGCAUAUUUACUUACUUGCAUUUAGUGUUAUAUCAUUACACACCUCUUUUUCACCUAUGGUUCUUUAUUUACUUACACUUUCAUAUUGACUGGAAAAUAGCUUUAAUACAAAUUUACAGAGAAAGAACCUCCUCAUCAAGAACACGAAAAUUGUAAUUACUAGUUAGUAGUUUGCCCAGUAUACGUACUGCAUAUGUGCUUUCAGUUAAUAUUAUCCAAUAUUUCAGAGAAAACAGAAAACAAGAGGGAAACUGAUCAGGUUCAAAACAUGGACCUGGAGCUACCACUGUUUGAGUUAGCUACAAUUGCUAAUGCCACCGAUAACUUUUCAAUCAACAACAAACUUGGAGAAGGUGGCUUUGGACCUGUUUACAAGGUAAACUUGAAACUUGCCAGUCAAAAAUAAUUAUUUUACCGGGCAACUAAAUUCACAUAUAUGUCUGGGCAGGGCACGCUAGUGGAUGGGUAGGAAAUUGCUGUGAAGAGGCUUUCGAAGAUUUCUGAGCAAGGAUUGAAGGAGUUAAAGAAUGAAGUUAUACUAUUUUCCAAAUUACAGCACAGAAAUCUUGUAAAGCUUCUUGGCUGCUGCAUUCAGGGAGAGGAGAAAUUGUUGAUUUAUGAAUUCAUGCCCAACAAAAGCCUGAACUCUUUCAUUUUUGGUCUGGGUCCCUAUAACCUUAAAAUAUUCAGCUAGCUUGUGCCUUGAUUAUAGACGUUUCUUAUGUUAUUUCAGAAAAUUUUGUACUAACCUUUAUGCGGUAAUUUGUAGAUCAAGAAAGAUGUAAGAUAUUGGAUUGGUCCAAGCGUUUCCACAUUAUUUGUGGGACUGCUAGGGGUGUUAUGUACCUUCAUCAAGAUUCUAGAUUGAGGAUUAUACAUCGAGAUCUCAAAGCAAGUAAUGUGCUACUCGAUCAAGAUAUGAAUCCAAAAAUUUCAGAUUUUGGUUUGGCAAGAGCUUUUAGUGGAGACGAAACAGAAGGAAACACAAAAAGAGUGAUUGGAACAUAGUAAGUACUUCUAGUCAAGUGAUCUUUACGAUUCACUUGUACUGAUUAAUAAAAAUUAACUGAUUUAUUUUCAUAUUUUGAAGUGGCUAUAUGGCACCAGAAUACGCUAGUGAUGGGCAAUUCUCAGUAAAAUCCGAUGUCUUCAGCUUUGGAAUUUUAUUGCUGGAGAUAAUAAGUGGAAAGAAAAAUAGAGGAUUUUAUCAUUCCGACAACAAGCUUAACCUUAUAGGACAUGUAGGUAAAAUGCAUACGACAUUUUGUAACAUAAUUUGAACUAAAAAACUAUAGAUGAUAAAAGAGUUUUAAUAUGUUGUAGGCAUGGAAGUUGUGGAACGAAGGCAUGCCUUCACAAUUAAUCGAUCCGUGUAUUCAAGGCUCAUUCAAUCUUGCUGAAGUGAUACGAUGCAUCCACAUCGGUUUGUUAUGCGUGCAACAGCAUCCAAAGGACAGGCCAAGCAUGCCCUCAGUGAUUUUGAUGUUGGGCAGUGAGACUGUGUUGCCUCAGCCAAAGCAACCCGGUUACUUGGCGGACAGGAAAUCUACCAGGCAAGAUUAUUCAUCAAGCACGCCUGAAUCAUGUUCAACUAAUACAUUUACGAUCUCUAAGUUGGAGGGUCGGUAGAGAAUCUAUUUGUCGUAUCAUGCCUUAUUGUACGUUGUCAAGUGCAAAAGCAGUAAUAUGUCAACCAAAUGGAAAGUUAAGAUAAAUGAUUGGACAAAAAAUGAUGAGGAUCAUCCAGUGAAUGCAUGUUGUGGAUCUAAAAGUUCAGAGGACAGGCCUAUUCGGCAGCUGACUACUUGGCCAAAAAUGCAGGCUCUAUACCUCUCGGAUUUCAUGUUUAUCAUGAACCUCCUGUAGGUCAUGAUCCUUGGCUUUGUUAUGAUAUGUAUGGGACAAUGAUUCCCCAUUCGGUUGUGUCUUAGCUUGGCUAAGCCUUUUUUUGGUAAAAAAAAAAAAAGAAUGUAGACUAAUGUUCAUAUAGAAAUUGUAAAUUAGAGGUACUGUGAGCAGUGUUGGGUCCAAAAAAAUGAUUAACCGAGAAUUAAAUUAAGUAAAAGCAAGACAUUAUUGAUUCCCUUCAUUCCUGUAAACCCGCCGAAUUGUUCUUUCCUAAAUUAACUCAAGCAUUAAUUUUCUUUUUAGAACAAGAAAGAUAAAAUUUGUGAUUGGUGGAGUGGUUAAUUAUUAUUUUUGAUAAAUUUGAAUCUAUUUUUGAAAUAGAAAAAUGUUUUGGGUUGUGGGUCAUUAUUAUUUUUAAAUAAAGCGUGAGUUUCAAAGUUCAAGUUAAAAUUUAAAUUUUGUAGAUUUAUGAAUGUAUAGAGGCUAUUUUAAUAGAUUGAUGAAGGUUAAUUAGAAGGAAAAAGCUAUUUCCCCUGAAUUUAAUCCGGAAUUGCGCCCCGAAUUAGAAAAACGACGUCGUUUUGAUUCAAUUGAAAACGCUGCAUCAGAAACCACACUCACGCAGUCUCUUAGGGUCCGUUUGGUAUUGUUUCUGAAUUUGAAUUUUCUAAGAAUAAAAAUGAAAAUGAAAAUAGUGUUUUGCAGUUGUUGUAUUUUGAAUUUAAAUAUGCGUUUGGUAUCAUUUUCUGUAUCCUAUAUUUCUAAACUGAAAACAGUAAUAUGCGUGUGGUAGAUAUAGUUGAAAAUGAUAAAACCAAAUAAUAUGCGUUCGGUAAUACCUUUUUCAAAAACAGUUUUUACUAAGCAUUUUAAGUUAUAAUUAUAGUUAGAAAAUAAUUGUGACAAUAUUACAUACACGAAUAUACCAUAAUAAUUUAAGCAAAAUUAUUAUAAAAAAUUAAAUAAUGAUAAAGUUUUAUAAUUACCAUUAAUUAAAAAAAAGUUUUACAUUGUCAUUGUUUUUAUACUAUAAUUAAGAUGUAUAUUGCAACACAUGAUUUAAACAAAAUAAUUAUAAAAAAUUAUAUAGUACACAUUAUGCAUUAUGUGUAAUCGUGCCUCAUAGAAGCUGCAAUCUCAUCUCUUAUAGCAUUCAUCUCUGCGACAUUAGCUGGUAACCAAAUCUUGCUAUCCUCACCACCAACAUCAUGUGGAUCCAUAUCUUGUUACUAUAAAAUUAGAAAAAAUAACAUAUAUCAAAUAUUAAUGAAAUUAAAGAAACUACUUCUAAACAUACAUAGCUCAAACUUUUGAAAUUAAUCAAAUUCAACAUAGCAUGAAAGCCAUUUUACCAAUAUGUCAUAGAUUAAAAAUUCAACAGUCCAAAAUAAAAAAUAUUCCAAUACAACUUCACCAAUUCAAAUUAAUGGCAUAAACAAAAACAGAUAUAUGUAUUCUGCAUCCUUAACACAAAUACAAUGCUAUUCGGCAAUCAUCAUUUUCCCCAAAUAUAUUUAUCUGAAAUUACAAUUUCCAGCUUGCAUUUCGAUUCAAUGACAGAGAGAAAAUAUUAAAACUCAUAAUGACCAAGCACACAAAGCAACAACAUAGCAACAAUUAAAGCAGCAAGACAAAUCCCCCAAUUCCAGUUCAUCGCUGCCUUUUUUUUUCAUUCUGCAAACAAAAUCAAAGUGUACCAAAAAUAUUUUUACACGGUUUUGCUUUCAAAUCAACACAAUUACUCAUAAUCUAAAAUAAUUACUCAAAAUUAUUAAAACUCAUAAUAACAAAGCACACGAAGCAACAACAUAACAACAAUUAAAUCCCCCAAUUCCAGUUCAUCGCUUCCUUUUUUUUCCAUUCCGCAAACAAAAUCAAAGUGUAGCAAAACUAUAUUCACACGGUUUUGUUUUCAAAUCAACACAAUUACUCAUAAUCUAAAACAAUUACUCAAAAUUAUUUUGGCUUGAAUAGAGGGAAUACACAAUUAACAUGCUUUAAAAAAAUCUCGCAAAAUUAUUCAAACAAUUACUGAAAUAAAAAAAAUUACCAGCAAGCUGAGAGAGAUGCAGCAGUUCAGUCGAUCAAGUAGGAGCGGCGGUGGCUACACGGAGAUGGACAGCAGUGGCUAUGCUCAAACGGAGCAGCAACGGCCACGACGGAGAGAGAACGGCACACCAAAGGACAACCGCGGUAGAGACGAAGUUGCAGCGGCGGCAGAGAAAGUGUUGUUGGAGGGAGAAAAGGAGAGAGAGAGCGGGUAGAGAGAAGACUGCUACCGAAGAAAAGGAUGAGGAGAUAAGGAGAGAGAAAAUGUUGUUGGAGUAAGAAAAGGAGAAAGCACUGCUGCCGUGACUAGAUCGAUAACGAUGGCAGGGAGGGGGGGGGGUGACCAGAUCGAGAACAAUGAGAGGGGGGAGAGGGUUGCUGCCGAAGAGAAUGAGUUUUGUUUCUUAAUCUAUUUUUGAGUUUAGUUUGUAAUAUUUAGGAAACAUGUUAAACACAUUUUCAUGUUUGUAGUUAUAACACUGGAUCUGAAUUUGUUAUUUUGUGAUUUGUUUUUUGAAUCCAUCUCACCAAACAUAUAUUAUGUUUGUAUUAUGAAAACAAAAAUGAAAACAAUGGGUAAAAAACGCUACCAAGUUACUUUCCUUUUGACAAACCAAAGACUCCAACACAAAUAGCAAUCACACCCACAAAUAGCAAUCACCCAACGGCCACGCGAACAGCCGGUACAGACGACAGACCACCGCCAUCACGUGAUCGAGGGAGUAGAACUCACGCGGUGGUGCGUCCAAACUCCAACGAAAUCGACGGCGACGGAGGUAGUUAGAGCCACGGUUCUUUCGAGCUAAAUCGCAGGUGUUCCUAUUGGUUUUCAGCGACGAGGAUGGCAAGGAAACGAUGGCCAACUUCCAAUCUUCAGAUCAAUACCUUGAUCGGCCGGUAGAGUGGUCGGGAUCGUGAAAUCCAACCGGGUCACGUUUGCAGGUCAAGUCGGGUUUGCGGGUCAACUUCUCUCCCUCCUCAUCCACUCACAAAGCGCCACACGACUCCCCUUGGCCAGGUUGUUGCUGCUGGAAUUUGUUUUGCUGGAACCAUUACUGGUGCUAGAAUUGAUGCUCGAGUUGUUGCUGCUAGAAUUGUUUUUGCUGGAAGUGUUACUGGAAUUUUUUUUGCUAGAAGUGUUACUGGUGCUGGAGUUGGUGCUCGAAUUGUUGCUGCAAUUUUUUUUCUUUUUUUUGUGUUUGUGUGUAUGAACUAGAGGUGGCAAAAAUAUAUGCCCGGUCUAGACCCGGAUCAUACCCGAGCGUUGUUAUUCGGCCCGGGUAUAAAGUUGGGUUGAUCUUAGGUAUCACUUGAUAAACCCGGAACCUGGAUUUUAUUAAAAAAAUUAUAAAAAUAUAUUAUUUUAAAUAUUUAUAUUUAUUUGACUCAUUUAUUAUACAUAUAUAAAGUUUUAAAUACUUAAAAUUUAUAUUUUCAUGUUAAAUUUUAUUGAAAUAAAUUUAAAACUUAUAAAAUUAUCAAAAAAUAAAAAAUAUAUACACAUAUAAUAUUAAAUAUAUAUAUAAAAUUCGGGCACUAGAAUUAAAACCCGACCCGGACCCAAACCCAGACCGAUUGCAUUCGGGCAGGGUCCGGUCAUUGCAAUACCCGGACCCGGCCCAGGGUUUUGCCAUCCCUAGUGUGAACUCCUGAUUGUUUUUUAUUAUCUUGGGCACUUGUUGCUGCUGAUAUGUGUGUGUGAAAUUGCUUCAAUGAAUUGAAUACAACAAGUGCCCAAGUCUUGUUGGAAUCAACAAGUCUUGCUGCUGGAAUUGUUGCUACCGUUAGUGUUGCUGCAAUGAAUUGAAGAAGCAACGUCGUUCGGUUUAAGUGACCGUUUUAAAACUCACACACAUGUGCUGCACAGUUGCAAUUAAAAAGGAAAAGUGACCGUUUUAAAACACAGCGUUUUGGCAAAUUCAUAGUUAAGUUCGGGGCAUAUAGCAGCGCUCUAAUUAUAAACCCAAAUGAUUUUUUCUUUUAUUUUUUUUGUCUUUCACAUGCUAAAUCCACCACCCUUACCGAUAAAAAUUGGGAUGAUUUAUUUUUAUCCUAAUGAUCAUAAUAAAAAUUUUAAAAAUUUUUUACUAUUUUAUCAAAAUUAUUAUUUAAAAAUCAUAUUUACCCCAAUUUUUUUUUUAACUACAAUGUUUGAGGGUGUAUUAUGAAGUGACCAGCUAUACCCUAAACGAGAAGUCGACCUUCUUAUAAGUGAGCAGACAUGUGAGGUCUGGUAUCAGGUAGCCAAAAGCAGGCAUUUUCUGCUCGAUUACAAGGACACCCUAUGCUAGACCGUAGCACGAGCAGGAUUCCUGCUAGAAACCGAGAGCCUUCCUGCUGGAGACCGGGGUCGACAGACCCAGUCCAUAACAGUUAACGGGUGUGCACUUCUAUUCGAAAAUCUAAGCACGAAAUCCACUCGGCCGCAACUACAAUAUUCAAGCAUCCACUUCUGAGAGCUGGGGAGGUGGUGAACGUGGGUCAUGGGGGGCUAAAUUUAUAGGAAGACUAUAAAAGAGGUAAUCAACGAAGGUAAAAAGGUUAAGCACUUUUACAUAAAAAUUAAGAAAAAAAAAGCAUUCUAGGAAAAACCUGUGAAAAGCUCAUAGGUAUUUUAUUGCCUAGGGAGCCACGAGAUCAGUGGCAGAAUUUCUUAAAAAGUCAACCCAAAUUUCUAAUUUGAGCGUUGAAGGGUUUACACGGAGAAAACUUCCAGCGUGCUCUGACUAAUUUGUGUGCACAGGAGUUCGUCGAGAAGAAGUUGCAAGAGGCAUACCUCUAUUCGCCUAGAAGAGUAACAUGAAGUAUACUCGGUAGGCUGCAAGUUUAAGAGUUAAAAAGAGAUCCUGAUCGUAAAUGAGCAGACACUAAAAUCUCGCAUCAAUAUAUAUAUAUAUAUAUAUUUUCACCACGACUAUAACUUUUAAUAUAACUUAGGUUAUCAAAAUUUUGAGCUUCAUUCAACCAACCAUAAAUCAUGAUUAAAGUCUACGUUGCGUAAGUCAAGAAAGACUUUAAUGGGAGAGAGAUCAUCUUUAUUAUCGACACUACAAAUGGACCCCAAUUAUAUCUAAAGUCUUUGGGCUCGUGUCCCGUUGUCUUCUUCUUUUUCAAAACCCUAUUUACUAACCAUUAAUUCGGUUGGUUGAUGAAUCCGGCGGUUUCUGAUUUUCUUAUUUAUUUUUAUGCGAGUGACCCCGUAACGAUAGCAUCGCAAUCUCAUGAAAAAAAAUUUUCCAAACGCAUGAAAAUUGGACACCCAUCAAGAAAAAUCUUUUUGUUACAGUAUUUACUGUACUUUCAAAAUUUUAAACAUGACAAAAAUUAAGUAAUCUACUUAUCAUAAUAAUCUAUGACCAAAAAUAUUGAACAUGUAAUUUUUUUUUUUUUUGUAAUUAUACACGCACAUCACUCUUUUACGAUUAAUUGACUAAACAAGUAUGAUAAACGAUUUUAUAAUGGAUUGUCUCAUAAUCUAAAUUUAUCAAAUAUUUUAAUGGUGAGACUAUUCGAAUUGAAUCCAUAAAAUUCUUUUAAAAUUUUCUUUACAACUUAUAACAUACUUUUUAGAAAGUCUAUCGAGUACUUAUUUAAAAAUUUUAUUUCAAUAGAUAUCAAGAAAAAUUAUUUGGUUAAGAGAAAUGAGCCCCUUUUGAGUUGGUGAAGCAUGAGCUCAUCACUAGGCAAUCCAUCAAAUUAUUCAAUAAACACAUUUACCCCACACAUCUAUAAUUAAUUAGAGGGAUGGAAUCAUUUGAACUUAUUAAAUUUCUCUUAACAUCCAUUUAUUUAACAUAUCCCCUAUCAAAAUCUUAAAAUUAAAUUUUAAUUCUAUAAACCUCUUAAUACCCCACAAAUAACCGUUUUAUGGUUGGUGCAAUAAUUUAGAUAAUUAAAUUAUUUAUUGUUUUUGGUAAUUUUUAUUUAAGAUUAUUUUUGUAAUAAAAUUUUUUAUUUAAAAAUAGGUCUAAGGUGCAUUUUUAUGGGGCCCAAACGACCUUAAAAUUAGAAAAAUUAAAUUUUACCAUAUAAAAGCAAAACCUCUUGUACUUCCUAAAGUAUCCUUGAUUAGAUUUCUUUUUUUAAUUCUAUUAUUUUCUCUCUCCUAAAGAAGUUGCUGUAUCCUUUCUGGUAAGAUGCUCUGUUCAGGCUUCAAUGUUGUUGGAUUGAAUUGGCAACUGAACUCGAAUCAAUUCUCAUGCAAGGGUUGGGGAAUUUGCUCAACUUAUAAUUGGUAGGUUUAUGCCUUUGGGAUCAAACUCAUUUCGCCUCUCCAAGAAUCUGCAAAAUUAAUUGGUAUUAUCAUGUCGGCGCUGCUUAUAAUUAGUAGUGCUUGCAUUGCCCUGAAUUCAGGCAUUGCUUGAGUAGAGUUGGGCUUGCUGAUUCAUUUUAGUGACAAAUGAAAACAUUAAAAAAAAAAAAAUCAGGACUUGUUCGUCCAAAUUUACAGAUAUUUUGUUCUUUAAUUAAUUUUAUUAUAACAAACAAUAGGAUAGCAGUGUUGUUUAACCAGUUGCUUACACCUUGGCAAUAUAGCUUUGUGUUUUUUUUUUCUUUUUUCUUUUUUCUUUUUUUUUAAUAGUUUGUGAGAUGGCCAGUGAUAUAUAUGUCUUUUUAAAAUUUUCAAUUAUUGGGGCAACGAACAUGUUAAAUAAUUUGCGGUGGAAAAGGUACCAAUACUGACUCAAUAUGUCGAAUUUCUAGAAAAUUUUAACAUCAAAUGCCUUGUUUCCAUUGUUGUAAGUAUAAGUCAAAUUUCUUGCAAAUUUUCUAUGGGUGUGAUGAUUUUUUUUUUUUUUUUUAGUGCAAACGGCUCACCCUUCACAUAUUCAUAGAGAUGUCAAAUUCUCUAUCUUCACCAUAAUUCUAGAUUGAGGAUUAUACAUAGAGAUCUCAAAGUAAGUAAUGUGUUACUUGAUAAUGAGAUGAACCCAAAAAUUUUAGAUUUGUGUGAGAUGGCACUGUUCACAUUAUUUUUUUAAUUUCUUUAAUUAAAAUAACAAAACUAAAUAAAAAUGUAUAAUAUUUAAUAAAAUUAAAAAUUCAAGUAUGUUGCCGCUAGUGCUGAUGAACUACUAGCGAAAGUUCGACGGCGGCUAGCCACAGGUGGCUACUGCAUGACAUCAUGUUUUACCCUAAAAUUUGGUAUCAUUAAAAUUCUCAUUGUCGGGGCUUCACAGUAGUGCCAAAACCUUGAAUGUAGAUCGAUGGUGAAUGGAAAUUCCUUUGCCGAUGAUAGUUGACCAUUGCAUAGCCCUAAUAAUAAUGAUUCUAAUGGUAUCAAAAUAUAGUUCAAAUGGUACUAAAGUAGGAUGGUCAAGGUGAAAAUUUUUUAUUUUGAUUAUAAAAUUUUAAAUUAUUAAUUGAAUAUAAAUAAUAAUAGAAUAUAAAUGAAACUUUGAUUAUAAUUUAAUAUAAAUAUUAAAAUAGAAAUUAUUAUUUUAAAUAAUACAAUGCAAGCUACAUCAAACAUCAUAUUGUAUUACAGCUUAAUACAAUAUAAUAUAAUACACUAUAGUAUGUCAAACGCAUCCAUAAAAAAAAAUUCAAAAUCACAAGAUUUAUUUGGUGGGCCUUACCUGCAUUAUCCUUAGUUUACUUUUUGAGUCAAAUAAACAAUAGGCCCCAGAGACUUUUUAGUUCAUCAUGCUAUUGCUUUAGAUGUAAAUACAACUACAUUGAUCUUGGCAAAGUGGACAGUUUACUUUUUGCGUCAAAUACUAUGUUGGGAUUAAUUUUUUAUAAAAUUAGUCUAUUCCACUGUCUUUAACUGCAUCCAAUCAUACCCCAAUGGUUAACUAUGAGAAAAAUUAAUAAGACUAGCAAUUUGUUUACUUGGAAUUGGAAUUGACAAAAAUUGCAAUGAGUUGAAAUCAGAACAGGCUGGAAUUGAUCACAUGAGAAAUAAGAAUCAAAGUAAGUUAUAUACUUGAAUCGAAAUCAACAAAAUUCCAAUUGAUGUAUUUACUUCUGUCUUGUAAUCCAAAUAAGUUGUCACAAGUCAUAAAAAUGUCCUUAGUUCCACUCUUGCCAGAUGUCAUGAUGAUAUACGUUUCAUCCAUCUGGUAAGCGAAGGAGUUAUUACAAGUUAAAAAAAUGUCCUUAGUUACAAUUAUGUAUUUUUCUAUGUAAAAUAAAUAAGCAAACAUUUUUAAAGAAACCAUUGGCAUAUUUAUUAUAAUAUUGAGUGUAAUACAAUGAGUUUUUGAGUAAACUAGUUGUUGUUGUUGUUAUUUUAAAUCAAUAAUAACUACUAUUAAUAUUAUUAUUGUAGGGAAAUUAAAGCCCUAACUUCCUAUUAAUUUAAUUCCCUCUUAUUACUAUAAGGGGAACCAAAGUUCAAAUACCAAGUUUUUGUUGCUGGCAGGACUCGAACCUACGCCCCUCAACUUUCUAGGUAUAGGUUCUCCCAUUAGAUUACAAGAUCGGCUUGUGUUAUUGUUACUACUAAUACUAUUAUUAUUAUAAUUGUUUAUUUUCUUAUUAGUAUAAUUAAUAUUAUUAAGAUUAUUUAAUUAUGUAAUAGGAAUAAAAUCAAAAUUUCAUAAAUUAAGGGAUAGUAAAAUAAUUAAUUUAGAAAAUGAAAAUCACAAUCCUACCUUCCCAUAGAAAUGAGAUUCUCAUUCCCACCUUUAAAAUUUGGUGGGCCUCGCAAAUUUCAUUCACAUUCUCAAAUAUCAAAUAAGCAAGUAAAUAAUGGAAUCAUUUCCAGUCUUCCAUUCUUGACUCCCAUUCCAAGAAGUUAAUAACCUUUAAUAGAACGUUCAAAUGAAAAGACUAGCCAGGCCUUGAGAAUUGACAUCGAUCAAUUAUCUCUUCCGUGUUAGAAAUAUAUGUUAUUUGUUUUGUCUUUUUUUUUUUUAAUUCAUAUAUUGUUGAAAAGUCAAAAUUGACGAUUUGUUUAUUCAAAUCGGUUGAAAAAUAAGAGGUGAGCCACAUGCAUAAUUGACUUUUGGAGGAGGUAGGAAUCGCAUGCAUAAUUUCUUUCAAAAGUGAAGAAUUUUUGCAACUUUAUGAAGACUUUUUUUAUGCAAUUGAAGAGUUUUUCAAAAGGUAGAAAUGGUGGCCCAAAUCAUUGAAAUAAUUGCAUGUAAAUUAGAUGUUAGGUGUUGGUGCCUAUAAAUAGAGAGCAUUUCUUCAUUCCAUUUCAUCCCAAAAAUUUGAGAGCUUAAGAGAAAUUACAAGUGAAGCAAUUAUAAAGUUCUAAGAGUGUGAGCAAUUGAAGAGUGUGUGUGAGAGUACUGGGUGUAUUUAGGUUUUGGGAAAGUGAGGCUUCUCUACUCAAAUUUGUACUCUAAUAAUUGUUGGUAAUACAAUUAUUUUUCUUUUGCUUCCGUGGACGUAGGCAUAUUGCCGAACCACGUAAAAUUCUGUGUCUUUUAUUUUUCUGUGAUUAUUUGGUGCGCUUGAUUUCGUAUUCCGUGCACAAUAUAUAUGAUCACUCUUGAAUCUCAAAAAGCAAAAAAAAAAAAAUCGCAUUAAAAAAGAUCCAUUGCAACUUGUAGACAAAUACAAAACAGAAAAAUUAGUAUUCCUAGUCCUCUGCCACGUUAAGAGACUCAUUUUUCUUACCUAUGAUCGAAGCUUCAUUUGGAGGAUAUGCUGUACAGAGUAGUUUUCCAAUCCAGUAUCUUGGAUUGGAGUUAUAAUCCGGGGGACAAUUUGUAGCCGUCGGAUCAAAUCCAAUGGCAACUUAUAUUUUUAUUUCAAAUAUUGAUUCCGACAGUAGGGCCCACAUGCAGACUUUUACAAUUUUUAAGGGUUCAGUUAUGUUGCAAGAGUUGUAAGGACCUCAAUUUUUAUCAAUUGUGAUUUAACUAAUGUAAAAUUUAACAGAACACCUUAUACUCUAUUUUAUUCAUAAAAUAUUAACAAAUAUUAUGAUAGCUUUUACUUACAUACACUAUUAAAAUUCUAUUUAACACCUUACACUCUUUUUAUUUAUUAUUUUCAUAAAUAUUAAAGUAUUUAUUUGUUUACAUCCAACACUAAUAUCAACAAAAAGACAACAAUACCCUUAAAUUUAUAAACUAAAAAUAAAAUUUUAGAUUUGGAGCCAACAAGUUUAAGGGACUCCAAAUCCAAGAUUGUGACUCUCUGUUGGUGCCUUUGACUACAAGUAACGCCAUGCCAUUGGCAGAAGUGGAUGGAUUCAUUCGACGAGCCUAAAGCACCAAGAGGAUCAUGGGUGAUCUUGGACUUGAAUUCAAGCAAGGCUAAUCGAUCUGUCCCGUUCCCAACAACUUCAGAAGCCCUCACACCAAGGAUUUCAGGAAUUAGAAUGGCGUGGAAGCUGAAGCAGAAUACAAGGACAGCAUACGCAACUAAAAAAGAGCAAGGGCAAGGCACUCUUAUGCUCAUGUUGAAUGGAAAAUUUUUAUCUCGGAGUUGCAGGUAAAUGGUGGAAUGGAUUUGUCAAAAUUUAAGGUUCAACAAUCAAGAAUAUAGACAAAUGUAUUCACUCAGCAAGGCUCUAUCUGUAAUUAUUAUUAUGAUAAUAAUGUAACAUUCAUAAUUUUGUCAAACAGCUUUCGGAGGGUUUAAUAUUCAUUUAAGUUCGUAAAAUCUAAAGUUCAUAAUUUUGUCAAACAGCUCUAUUUGUAAUACACUUGACUUGUUCUGGGAAAUUUCCCAGCCAAAGAACUUGCUUGUAAAAAUCUAAAGCAGCCUUAGCUAAAUAGUGAGCAAUAAAAUUACAGCUCCUAGAGACAUAUGUAAUUGAGGCCGAUGUCUGGACUUUCAUUUUUUCUUGAAUCUCUGCAAUUCUCCACGAAAUUUCAGCCUUGCUGCUCUUCUUACUUAAGGCUAGUUCCACCACUUCCUUUGAGUCUGAUUCAAGGAUCAAAGGGAAGCAAUCUGCUUGUUGAGUACUUUGAAAACCGAGCAGCAUAGCUUCAGCUUCCAUACAAGCUGCAUUUUCUUGAUAUGGGAUUCCCUGGACUGCUGCAGCAACAACUUUGCCUCUGCAAUUUCUAAUAACUGCUCCCAGCCCUGCUUUUUGUUUUGAGACAUUGAUUGCCGCAUCAACAUUACUUUGAACCACCCAUUUGGAGGAGUAGUCCAUUCCAACUUUCUGUUCUUGCUGUGCUCUGGAAUGGCUUGGGCAUUUGGGAUUUAAUUCGUCAGUAGGACUCCACUAUAGCUCCUGCUCUGGCAAAAGAUUGCUUCGGAUCUUCAUCCUUCCCUUAAAAAAAAAGCGAUUUCUGGAAUACCAGAUAGCCCAGCACACAGCAACAAAAAACUCCAGAUCCUUCUUUCUUCUCUUCAAAGCUACAUCUUGAAUUACACUUAACAUGUCCUGACGAGCCAACUGUUUAACUUCCUCAUCAAGAUCUGUAAAUUUCCAAAUCCUCCUCGCUGCUUUGCACUCCACUAAAGCAUGGAAAACAUCCUCACCUCUGCACUUGCACCUUUGACAAAAGGGAUCCGACACUACUUUCUUCCUCCAUAGAUUAUGCAUUGUUGGUAACAAUUCUUUCCGUCCUUGACGACCAAGAUCAGUCGGUAAUUGGUGCCGGAAACCAUCUUAGUCUCACCCUUCUCCACGCUCUUGAACUUGAACUCGUUCUUUGACUGUUUUUUUUGUACUCAUCACUGCAAACCGCCCGAUCUCUGUCACGUGCGGCUUGCUGAGGUCUUCUUUCGACUUCCAUCCCCCAACUAAGACUCCUUUACGAUCGCCGGCGGCCAGGAGAGGGGUUGUUGCCACGGCUUUUCACGACCACAAAAUACGUAAUCCCUGCACCUUGGGACAAUUGUGGGGGAUGUACCCCAUUCCCUUCAAAAUACCCAAUAUAUACCUAAAAUUAUAACGCUCUUAAAUUUUACAUAUAUAUACUCUAAAAAACUAAAAAAAGUACAAAAAUAACCACAACUAAAUCCUCAUAAAACUAAACCCAACUUUUCGAAGUCUGGUAAAUAGUCGAGAAUACUCGACUUCAACCAAACCAUACACAAUUAGUAAUUCAGCAUAAAUUCUCGACUUUUUCAUGUUAGUCUGGUAAAUAGUCGAGAAUACUCGACUUCAAUUAAAAUAAAAAAUUAUUUAAAAAAUUUUCAAUUUUUUCAAGUAAGUCGAGUAAAGAGUCGAGAAUACCCGACUUUAAUUUAAUCUUACCCAAUAUUCAUUCAACAAAAAUUCUUGACUUUUCAUUGAAGUUCGGUAAUUGGUUGAUAAUACUCGACUUAAAUUGAAAUAAAAAUUUUUCUUUUAAUUAAGUCAGGUAAAAAGUCAAGUAUACUCGACUUUGGUUGUGUUUAUGAGAGAGGAAGAGAGGAAGUAAACGUAAAUAAAUGAUUUUUUUAUGUUAUUUUUUACUUUUUACACUUUUAAGAGGUAUAUGUAUGUAAUGGGGUAUAAAUUUAGCAUUUAAGGACAAAUGGGGUAUAUUUAAAUAAAAAACCCCUGCACCUUAUCCAUUUUCUUCUAUCACUUGUCAAGAAGGGUAAUUUUAUCCUUUUAAGAUUUAUAAACAAAAUAUAAAUAAAAUUAGUGCAGGUGUUCAAGUAAAUUUGACAACAUUUAAAUUAUAAAAGACAAAAGUUAGGGUACGACAGUUGCAACUUGCAACAUAGCCGAGUCCAUUUUUAAUAUUAAAAAGUAAAGCUGCUUUUAAAUAGAGAACUGAUAUUCCCUCCCCAGAUUCUUCAUCAUCUGACUAAAGCCAAAAAGAACUGAUACUAACAAAUCACCAUUUGGGAUUUCCACUUUUUCAUUAUCCAUUUUAGUACAACUUAAAUCAAGGGGGGAAAAGGAAUAAAACAAGCAGAUGAUUACACAUGCACACUGAUUUCCAUUUUGUCACCAUUUCUUGCCGAUGUUGCCGCCGUAAUUCUUUUUUUUUUUGGUUUAUCUCAAACUUUGUAAUUUUAUUAAUAUUGAGAGCAUAAAAAACAACGAGUUCAUGGUCCAUCUGAUUUUAGUAAAUCAAUCAGGUGAGCUUUGCUAUUAACUUUCCUUCACUCCAGUCAGGCAUCAACAUCCAUCAAAAACUCACAAAACUUUCUCUCUUAAUCGCCUUUACAGACUCUUCCUUUCUCAUUUUUCUCGCUUUCUUCUUCUUCGAAAGCAGCGAGCCCUUCCAAUCCCUUCUUUUGUGGCUCUCCAUUUCCCUCUUCAUCCGCCCCUUCGCCAUCGCUCAACUCACCUGCGGUCACAGCCCAAUCAUUGAAACCCCUCAUAUCCAGAUCCAAAGAUUAAAAGGAAGCCUUAGAAGUCGCAAAAGAACCGAUCUUUAAACCCCCCACAGUUCGGUUCUGAUCGUUAAAAACUCAAAUGUGUCAAUUCGAAUUGAGUAAAAAGAGAAGAAAUUUGAAGUCUUGGAGGAAUGAAAUGGAGAGGAUAUUCAGAUUCUGAAAAGCAGUGAUGAAGAAACCGACGGGGAAGAUCAGUUCUCUCUCUAAAAAUUUUAUUAGGCAACUUUAUUUUUUUAAUAUUAAAAAUUAAAAAAAUCUGCAUGUGGGCCCUUAUGUUGGAAUCAAUAUUUGAAAUUAAAAUAUAAGUUGCCGUUGGAUUUGAUCCGACGGCUAAAAAUUGUCUCCCGGAUCCUGAAUUGGAAAACUACGCAUGCUGUACAAAUGAUUUAGCUCAUGUGAUUAAUAAAUAUAUACGAUCAUAAUUAAUUUCCAGCUUUUGGGGAAGUUAAAAAAUCCUUAUUUUUCCAUUUGUGUUUUAAGCAUGGUUUUUUACAAUUUUAUAUUUAAGUUUAAUAAAUUGAAUAGUAUGUGUGUAUUAUUUCAUUAUGUUUAUGUUUAUGUCUCUAUCUUUAAUUUUAAGGACGCUAUAUGUAUUAACUCAUAUUUCCAACGGCCGUACUUUAAUAGGAACAAGAAGACAUGAUUUCUAUUAGAGCAUAUUCGACAGAUUUCUAAAAUUAUACCAAUAUAAAUUCAUUAUUAGUUAGAUGAGAAAUAAGAAAUUUAAUUACAACAAAUGAUUUACAACGAUGACCCAAGUAAACUAUCAGUCAAGUCAAUGAAUAAAUUAACUCGCGUCACUGUUUCGUCACUAUUAUUAUUUUUUCGGCUCAAUUAUGAUUACACUUGAAAUCUGUAAGCUACAGACUGCAGCAUCAGCCGUUGGAUGUGGAGUGAGAAACUAAACAAUAGAAAAUGGGAUGGUGGGAGAUGUUUGUUGCAGAAUCUGUACCAUAGACAGAUAAAGCCUCUGUAAUGAGUAUUUUUUUCGGCUCAAUUAUGAUUAUUACAGUUGGAAUCUCGGACCCAGCAAAAAAUUAUCCGUUGAUGACAACCGAUUGCAACUUAUAGACAGAUACCAAAAAUAUAAUUAGUAUUCAAUGUCCUUUGUGAAGUUCUACACGUAAUUUAGCCGGUGGGGUUUUUCGAAAUUAUUGAUUAUUCUUUCCUUUGAAAUUAAUAUAAAAAAACAGCUCCAUAAUUUUUCUGUGUAAUUUAAAACUAUUGCAUGACAUUUUCUAAUCGGCCAUCCAUUAUUUAAUUGAUAACGGCCCAGCAUGCAUAUGGCUAGAAAUUCUCUUCUUCUAUUCUAAUUAAAUUUCAUGUAAACUUUUCUCAGUUUUCAGUGUUUGCCGAUAUAUUGAAGACCAUAAUAAUAAUAAUAAUAAUAAUAAUAAUAAUAAUCAUGAUGAAGAUGAUGUAUUACGUCCCAAAUUGUCUUCCUUAUAAUAUUUGGCCCUAAAACUGAUAAAAAUAAAAGAGUUGUACCAUUGCAUAACCGUAGAUCUAUGACGAAUGAAAAUCAUUUGCUGGUAAUAGUUGUACCAUGUCAUAACCUAAAUAAUAAUUAUUUUAAUAGUAUUAAAAUCUAAUUCAAAUGGCACUAAAGUACGGCCGUGAAAUUUUUUUAUUUUAAUUAUAAAAAUUUAAAUUAUUAAUUAAAUAUAAAUGAAUCUUAGAUUAUUCCUACAAUUUGGUGGGUCCCGACAUUAUUCCUACAUUUUAAGUCUUCGGCUCAUUUAUUUCCCAUUUUCUUUUUCUUUUUCAUAAACAUAUUUUCUAACCAUUGGUUUUUAUUUCUUAAAUACGACGGUUUGACUCCAGAAGCAUUGACUUUCAGUUCAAUGCCGUUAAAGAUGGACCACUAGUCACGGUAUUAGCAUCUAUAUAGUUUGUUAGAGAGAGAUCUAAACCAAUACACAAAUGGGUGUACUUUCAGGUCAGUGCCCUCCAAUAUGGAUUAUCAGUCAUGGUGUUUAAUUAUAUUUAUUUAACUUGUUAGAGAGAGCUCUACGCCUAUAGAGUAUAACAAAUGGGUGUACUUUUGUUUUCGUUCAUCUGUUGUAAGUUACUGUUUUUCUUGUCUGAAUCCUCUUUCACUUCCGACACCAUUACUUCAUCUCAGUCCCUCAGUGAUGGCAGGACCUUAGUUUCAAAAGAUGGAAGCUUUGAGCUUGGUUUCUUCAGUCCUGGUAGUUCCAAGAAUCGUUACGUGGGAAUUUGGUACAAAAAUAUGCCAGUUAAAACUGUUGUUUGGGUUGCAAACCGAAUCAACCCCAUUAAUGACUCUUCUGGGUUGUUAGUUGUAAACAAGACGGGCAAUCUUGUUUUAACAAGCCAGAACAAGAGUGUAGUUUGGUCAGCAAACUUGAGCAAAGAAGUCCGGACUCCAGUUGUAUUGCAGCUACUAGAUUCAGGAAAUCUUGUCCUCAGAGGCGAACGAGAUGGCGGUUCUGAAACUUAUUUAUGGCAAAGCUUUGAUUAUCCUUCUGAUAAUUUGCUACCGGGAAUGAAGCUCGGAUGGGAUUUGAAGGCUGGUCUUGAGCGGCGUAUAACAUCAUGGAAGAGCCCAGACGACCCGUCUCCUGGAAACUUUACUUGGGCAGUUAAACGACAAGAUAACCCUGAGUUAAUGAUGUGGAAGGGAUCAAGAAAGUUAACUAGGAGUGGCCCAUGGAAUGGCCUUAGAUUCAGUGGUUCAUCAUUAAGGCCAAACCCCGUUUUUAACUUCGGCUUUGUCUCUAAUGAGGUUGAGCUGUACUACAAAUUCGACAUGAGAGAUAAAGCUGCUUUCCAAAGGAUUGUUAUGAACCAAACACUCUAUUUAGUUCAACGAUUCACAUGGAAUAAAGCAACUCAAAGCUGGGAAUUGUAUUCAAAUGUGCCAAGAGAUCUAUGAGACACUUAUGCCCUUUGUGGUGCCUAUGGCAUUUGCAUCAUUAGCGAUAUGCCUGUUUGCCAAUGUUUAAAAGGUUUUAAACCAAAGUCAAGGGGAUAUGUGGACUGGUCUCAAGGGUGUGAGCGUGAUAAGUCGUUAAACUACUCUAGACAAGAUGGAUUCAUCAAAUUCACAGCGAUGAAAUUGCCAGAUGCUACUCUUUCUUGGGUGAGUAAAAGUAUGAAUCUCAAUGAAUGCCGGGAGAAAUGCUUAGACAACUCUUCUUGUAUGGCAUACACAAAUUCAGAUAUCAGAGGAGAAGGCAGUGGCUGUGCCAUGUGGUUUGGUGAACUGAUUGACAUGAGAGACUUUCCAGAUGGUGGGCAGGACUUGUAUAUUCGAAUGUCUGCUUCAGAGAUAGGUACUCGCAAACUUGUUUAUGUCACUCCAUUAUGAGAACUUAGGAGUACCACUCCAGUUAGACUAGUUGCACAUUUUUAUUGUGCAAUUUAGUAUUGAGUUCUGAUUGAGAAGCUCCUUUCGCAUAAAGCAGUUUCUGGGUAUAGCUUCUAUGCAUAGAAUUCUGCUGCUAUUUGAAUCAUUUGAUUAUUGACUUGCUUUGCUAUAUCUGAAUACGCUGAUCAAGGAGCGAAAGGUGAGCCUAGGACGAAGAUGGUGGUGAUAGUCAUUUCUAUUGCUGCUCUGUCAGCUGUGGUGAUUGCAGCUGGCUACUUGGUUCACAAAAGAAGGAGAAAUAUAGUAGGUAUAAUAUUGCUCCAUUUUCCUUCACAAAUUUUCGCUGACGAUUUGAUGCAGGCAAAUCAAACUCUUAUAAAUAUUAAAUUUAUAAGAGUAGAUUAAAUUUUUAUAUGCAGCAAUAACUGUAUAUUUGUUUCAAGAUGAAGCGUUAUCAGUGCAUAUCAUUUAGAUCAGGGGCAAGGUAAUUAAACAUGUAAAUUUUUCGUUGGAAUAGCAGGUUUACUUAUUUGCAUUUAGUGUUAUAUUAAUACACGCCUCUUUUUCACCUAUGGUUCUUUAUUUACUUGCACUUUCAUAUUGACUGGAAAAUAUCUUUAAUACAAAUUUACAGAUAACGAACCUUCUCAUCAAGAACAUGAAAAUUGUAGUUACUAGUUAGGAGUUUAAUAUUAUCCAAUAUUUCAGAGAAAACAGAAAACAACAGAGAAACUGAUCAGGUUCAAAACAUGGACCUGGAGCUACCACUGUUUGAGUUAGCUACAAUUGCUAAUGCCACCGAUAACUUUUCAAUCAACAACAAGCUUGGAGAAGGUGGCUUUGGACCCGUUUACAAGGUAAACUUGAAAGCUGCAAGUCAAGAAUACUUAUUUUACUGGGUAACUAAAUUCACAUAUAUCUUCCCAGGGCACCCUAGUGGAUGGACAGGAAAUUGCGGUAAAAAGGCUUUCGAAGAUUUCUGAGCAAGGAUUGAAGGAGUUAAAGAAUGAAGUUAUACUAUUUUCCAAAUUACAGCACAGAAAUCUUGUAAAGCUUCUUGGCUGCUGCAUUCAAGGAGAGGAGAAAUUGUUGAUUUAUGAAUUCAUGCCCAACAAAAGCCUGAACUCUUUCAUUUUUGGUCUGGGUCCCUGUAACCUUAAAAUAUUCGGCUAGCUUGUGCCUUGAUUAUAGACGUUUCUUAUGUAUUUUCAGAAAAUUUUGUGCUAACCUUAAUGUGGUAAUUUGUAGAUCAAGAAAGAUGUAAGAUAUUGGAUUGGCCCAAGCGUUUCCACAUUAUUUGUGGGACUGCUAGGGGUGUUAUGUACCUUCAUCAAGAUUCUAGAUUGAGGAUUAUACAUCGAGAUCUCAAAGCAAGUAAUGUGCUACUCGAUCAAGAUAUGAACCCAAAAAUUUCAGAUUUUGGUUUGGCAAGAGCUUUUGGUGGAGACGAAAUAGAAGGAAACACAAACAGAGUGAUUGGAACAUAGUAAGUACUUCUUGUCGUGUGAUCUUUACGAUUCACUUGUACUGAUUAAUGAAAAUUAACUUAUAUAUUUUAAUCUUUUGAAGUGGUUAUAUGGCACCGGAAUACGCUAGUGAUGGGAAAUUCUCAGUAAAAUCCGAUGUCUUCAGCUUUGGAAUUUUAUUGCUGGAGAUAAUAAGUGGAAAGAAAAAUAGAGGAUUUUAUCAUUCCGACAACAAGCUUAACCUUAUAGGACAUGUAAGUAAAAUGCAUACGACAUUUUCUAACAUAGUUUGAACUAAUAAACUGUAGAUGAUAAAAGAGUUUUAAUAUGUUGUAGGCAUGGAAGUUGUGGAACGAAGGCAUGCCUUCACAAUUAAUCGAUCCGUGUAUUCAAGGUUCAUUCAAUCUUGUUGAAGUGAUACGAUGCAUCCACAUCGGUUUGUUAUGCGUGCAACAGCAUCCAAAGGACCGGCCAAGCAUGCCCUCAGUGAUUUUGAUGUUGGGCAGCGAGAUUGUGUUGCCUCAGCCAAAGCAACCCGGUUACUUGGAGGACAGGAAAUCUACCAGACAAGAUUAUUCAUCAAGCACGCCUGAAUCAUGUUCAACAAAUACAAUUACGAUCUCUGAGUUGGAGGGUCGGUAGAGAAUCUAUUUGUGGUAUCAAGUGCAAAAGCAGUAAUAUGUCAACCAAAUGGAAAGUUAAGAUAAAUGAUUGGAGAAAAAAUGAUGAGGAUCAUCCAGUGAAUGCAUGUUGUGGAUCUAAAAGUUCAGAAGAUAGGACAAUUUUGCAGCUGACUGGUUGGCUAAAAAUGCAGGCUCUAUGCCUCUCGGAUUUCAUGUUUAUCAAGAACCUCCUGUAGGUCAUGAUCCUUGGCUUUGUUAUGAUAGGUAUGGGACAAUGAUUUCUCAUUCGGUUGUGUCUUAACUUGGCUAAGCCUAUUUUUGGUAAAAAAAAAAAAAAGAAUUUAAACUAAUGUUCAUAUAGAAAUUGUAAAUUAGAGGUACUGUGAGCAGUGUUGGGUCAAAAAAAUGAUUAACCCAGACUUAAAUUAAAUAAAAGCAAGACAUUAUAAUUGUUUUGAUAUAAAAUAUUUGCUAAUACAUUUAUGAGAAUAUCUUUGGUGCUUUUGGAGCAUUUUUAUCUAUUCACAAUUUAUUACUUGUGUAUAUAUGUCAUCAGGAUUAGUAGAAACAUACACAUGACAAAGUGUAAAUGAAAAAGGAGAAGCUCUCCAAGAGUACCCAAGAUUUUUUCUACAUUUUGAAAAUCAUGUGCAAUAUACUCAUUAUCAAUACUAUUAAGUACAUCCUUUUCUACGUAAACAACAAAAUUAACAUUCAUUCAUUCAUCUCUCAUCCAAUUUCAACGUUGACUCUUCAUGAACUUAAUUGCUGAAAACGUUCUCUCUACUGUGGCUAUGGGAAUCGAAAAAAUUAUAGUUAAGUGUCACCAACGAAUACAUUAAUACUGUAAUGGAUAUUCUUUAUCUUUUUUAGUCUCAAACUGUUCUUUUAGCAACUCAUUGAUUCCCUUCAUUCCUGCAAACCUGCCUAAUUGUUCUUUCCUAAUUUAACGCAAGCCCUAAUUUUCUGUUCUUUUUAGAACAAGAAAGAUAAAAUUUGUGAUUGGAGGAGUGGCUAAUUAUUAUUUUUAAUAAAAUUGAAUCUAUUUUUUUGAAAUAGAAAAAUGUUUUGGGUUGUGGGUUAUUAUUAUUUUUAAAUAAAGCGUGACUUUAAAAGUUCAAGUUAAAAUUUAAAUUUUGUAGGUUUAUGAAUGUAUAGAGGCUAUUUUAAUAGAUUGAUGAAGGUUAAUUAGAAACCGAAAUGAUUUUUUCUUUUAAUUUUUUUUUUGUCUUUAACAUGCUAAAUCCACCACUCCUACCGAUAAGAAUUGGGAUGAUUUAUUUUUAUCUUAAUGAUCAUAAUAAAAAUCUUUUAAAAAUUUUACUAUUUUAUCAAAAUUAUUAUUUAAAAAUUAUAUUUACCCCAAUUUUUUUUUUAACUACAAUAUUUUUUUUUCACCACACGACUGUAACUUUUAAUAUAACUUAGGUUAUCAAAAUUUUGAGCUUCAUUCAACCAACCAUAACUAUCAUGAUCAAAGUCUACGUUGCUUAAGUCAAGAAGGACUUUAAUGGGAGGGAGAUAAUUAUUAUUAUCGACAUUACAAAUGGACCCCAAUUAUAUCUAAAGUCUUUGGGCUCCUGUCUCGUUUUCUUCUUCUUUUUCAAAACCCUAUUUACUAACCAUUAAUUUGGUUGGUUGAUGAAUCCGGCCGUUUCUGAUUUUCUUAUUUAUUUUGAUGGGAGUGACCCCCUAACGAUGGCAUCGCAAUCUCAUGAAAAAAAAUUUCCAAACGCAUGAAAAUUGGACACCCGUCAACAAAAAUCUUUUUGUUACAGUAUUUACUGUACUUUCAAAAAUUUGAACAUGACAAAAAUUAAGUAAUCUACUUAUUAUAAUAAUCUAUGACCAAAAAUAUUGAACAUGUAUUUUUUUUUUUUGUAAUUAUACACGCACAUCACUCUUUUACGAUUAAUUGACUAAACUUGUAUGAUAAACGAUUUUAUAAUGGAUUGUCUCAUAAUCUAAAUUUAUCAAAUAUCUUAAUGGUGAGACUAUUUGAAUUGAAUCCAUAAAAUUCUUUUAAAAUUUUCUUUACAACUUAUAACAUACUUUUCAGAAAGUCUGUCGAGUACUAAUUCAGAAAUUUAUUUCAAUAUAUAUCAAGAAAAAUUAUUUGGUUAAGAGAAAUGAGCCCCUUUGAAAAUUUGAGUUGGUGAAGCAUGAGCUCAUCAUUAGUCAACCCAUCAAAUUAUUCAAGAAACACAUUUGCCCCACACAUCCAUAAUUAAUUAAAAGGAUGGAAUUAUUUGAACUUAUUAAAUUUCUCUUAAGAUCCAUUUAUUUAAUAUAUCCUCUGUCAAAAUCUUAAAAUUAAAUUUUAACUCUAUAAACCUCUUAAUACCCCACAAAUAACCGUUUUAUGGUUGGUGCAAUAAUUUAGAUAAUUAAAUUAUUUAUUAUUUUGGUAAUUUUUAUUUAAGAUUAUUUUUGUAAUAUAAAUUUUUAUUUAAAAUAGGUCUAAGGUGCAUUUUUAUGGGGGCCCAAAUGACCUUAAAAUUAGAAAAAGUUAAAUUUUACCAUAUAAAAGUAAAACCUCUUGUAAUUCCUAAAGUAUCCUUGAUUAGAUUUCUUUUUUUAAUUUUAAUAUUUUCUCUCUUCUAUAGAAGUUGCUAUAUCCUUUCUUGGUAAGAUGCUCUGUUCAGGCUUCCAUGUAUUUGGCUUGAAUUGGCAACUUAACUCGAAUCAAUUCGGUUUAUGCCUUUGAUCAAACUCAUUUCGCCUCUCCAAGAAUCUGCAAAAUUAAUUGGUAUUAUCAUGUCGGUGCUGCUUAUAAUUGGCAGUGCUUGCAUUGCCCUGAAUCCAGGCGUUGCUCGAGUAUAGUUGGGCUUCCUUAUUCAUUUUAGUGACAGAUGAAAACAUUAAAAAAAAAAAUCAGGACUUGUUUGUCAAAAUUUACAGAUAUUUUGUUCUUUAAUUAAUUUUAUUGUUACAAACAAUAGGAUAGCAGUGUCGUUGAACCAGUUGCUUACACCUGGGGCAACAUAGUUUUUUUUUUUUUUUUUAGUUUGUGAGAUGGCCAAUAUCUGUGUAUAUAUAUAUAUAUAUGGAUCCCCCUAUCUUACAUGCAUGUAAGAUACAUCCCUCUCACAUGAAUAGUGUAUGGACCCCACACAUGCACAAUUCAUGUGAGGGGGAUAUAUCUUACAUGCAUGUAAGAUAGAGAUGUAUCUUACAUGUGAGGGGGAUGUAUCUUACAUGCAUGUAAGAUAGGAAUUACCAUAUAUAUAUAUAUAAUUAUUGACUCAAUGUGUAAAAGGUACCAAUAUUGACUCAAUGUGUCAAAUUUCUUGAAAAGUUUAACAUCAAAUGCCUUUUUUCCACUGUUGUUAGUAUAAGUCAAACGGCCCACCCUUCUGUCCUUCACAUGUUCUGCGUUCCCCAUGUUCACAUUUUACAAUAUUAAAUAGAGAAUUUUGAGUCCAGAAGCAAUGACUUUCUGGUCAGUCCCCUCCAAGAUGGAUUAUCAGUAAUGGUGUUUAAUUAUAUUUAUUUAAUUUGUUAGAGAGAGCUCUACGUCUAUAGAGUAUAACAAAUGGAUGUAUUUAUGUUUUCCUUCAUCUGUUGUAAGUUACUGUUUUUCUUGUCUGAAUCCUCUUUCGCUUCCGACACCAUUACUUCAUCUCAGUCCCUCAGUGAUGGCAGGACCUUAGUUUCAAAAGAUGGAAGCUUUGAGCUUGGUUUCUUCAGUCCUGGUAGUUCCAAGAAUCGUUACGUGGGAAUUUGGUACAAAAAUAUGCCAGUUGUUAAGGAAGCUUACAGUGUACAAAAGGGAGUUGCAUAUUGAGCACGUGUGUGUCAAUGAUGAGUCAUCAGUUAGUUGAGUAAAGAAGCCAGCUCAACAAAUCUGUUAAUCAUGUUUUACGUUCUGUUCUUCAAUUGUUAGUAAUGCUUUAAUUCUGUUGAGAUUUGUGAGUUAGUAUAAAUAAGGUUGUGAUUGUAUUUGUAAUUAAUAACGUGAGAUUCAAUAAAAGUAAAUAGUUUCUAAGAAAAUCUUAUCAUCAUUUUCUUAGCUUCCAAACAACUUUUACAGUCACGAUCCAACUUUCAAACAUGGUAUCAAAGCCAGUAAGAGCAAGCUCUAGUACUCAGCAAACAAAUCAACAAAGUCAAAUAAAUUUUUCUUUCAACACUCCAAUUACACUAGAUCGAUCAAACUAUCUACUUUGGCGUUUUCAAGUUUUAGCUUCCAUAAGAGGCAAUCGAUUGGAAGGCUUCAUCAAUGGAACAAAACCAGCACCUGAAGAACAGUUCACUCAAGUUGGAGCUGAUGGAUCUAUUCAGAAAAUUGAUAAUCCAGAAUAUCAGAAUUGGAGAUCACAGGAUCAAACAUUGUUUGGAUGGAUGCUAUCAUCAAUAAGUGAAGGUACUCUAAACCUUGUCAUAAAUUGUGGUAGCUCGUUUGAUGUUUGGAGAACUUUAGAAAAGAAAUUUGGUGUGCAAUCUGAAGCUAGGGUUUUUCAACUUAGAUAUGAGUUAAAUACUCUUAGGAAGGAAUCAAUGAGUAUUGAAGAUUACUGCAUCAAAAUGAAAACUGUAGCAGAUAAACUUGCUAGUGCUGGAAGUCCUAUAACAGAGAAAGAUCUCAUGCUGACAAUUCUUAAUAGCUUAGGAGCAGGCUAUCGUGAUAUUGCUAGGGCUUUAUAACUGGUUCAAAAAUGGACUAUGAUGAUGCUUAUGCAUUAUUAUUAACUCAUGAAACCAGACUUGAACAAGAGCAGAAUGAUAAAAGCAUGUUUAAUGCAAAUUAUGCUUAUACAAAUGCCUAUUAUCCAAGGGCAUUCUAUGCUCAAUCAAGAAAUAAUUUUAGAAGAGGAGGACAUGCUGGUGCUCAGUUUGGCAAUAAUGGUAGAAAUCAUACUGCUAGAAGAGGAAAUAUUUUUCAGUCUCCAAGGAUGUUUAAUGGCAAUCACAGAGGUGGAUAUGGAAGAGGACACUCAUUUGGCCCAAAUAAUGUUAACUCCUUUCAUGCACUUAGGAAUUCAAUGCAAUUCACUCGGACUGGAGUUACUAAUAUGAAUGGACCUCAAGGAAUUCCAAGCAAUGCAGAAGAAUUGGUUUGCCAGAUUUGCUUUAAGCCUGGUCACACUGCUGAUAUUUGCUGGCAUCGAUUUGUGGAGGAUUAUGUCCCUUAUUCAAGGAGUCUAGGCAGAGGAAAAGGACCAAGAUCAGCAUAUAUUGCUAAUUUUGAUGGCUUUACAUAUCCAUAUCAAGGUUAUGAUAACUAUGAUAAUCAUCCUGCAUCUGAGACAAGCUGCUAUUCUGGAAUUGAUAACUAUGCACUUGCAGAAGCUUAUGUGGCUAAUUUUGAAAGCUUUGCUGAUGAUGGCUGGUAUUUGGAUAAUAGGGCAACUCAUCACUUGACCAACAACAUGGAGAACUUGCAUUUUAAGGAAGACUACAAAGGUACUGAUCAACUCAUUAUUGGAAAUGGUCAAGGUCUGUCAAUUUCCCAUAUUGGUCAUGCAUUUUUAUCAUUUAGAGCUUCAAAACAUCCUUACACACAUGCCUCCACUAUAACACUUAAAGAUAUGUUGCUUGUUCCUACAAUCACUAAGAAUUUACUAAGCAUCUCCAAACUUACAUCUGAUAAUUCACUCUCUGUUGAAUUUUGUGGAAAUGUUUGUUAUGUUAAGGACAUGAAGGGGCAAGUUCUUCUGCAGGGCCUUGCUGAGAAAGGUCUUUACAAGCUGUUGAUGAAAUCUUCUUCCAUGUCAUCUUUUGCUUAUCACGCAUCACCUGCCUUUCAUCUUUCUCAACUUCAGUCACAUAAACCAAUAUCCAUGCUGUCAUGCUCAAAUGUGUCUUCUAUUUCUCAUCAUUGUAAUUCCUUUGAUAAGACUUGUUUCAGCUCAAUUUCAAAUAAGUGUAACCAGAAACAUGAUGAACUUACCUUGUUACACAAAAAGUUUGGUCAUCCAAGCUCAACAGUAUUGAUGCAUUUUCUUAAGACUUGUAAACCAGUUAAAGUCUCUCAAAAAUCAAUUUUAUCUCCUGAGCAUUCUAUGUGUGAAGCAUGUCAAUUAGGAAAAGCUCACAAGCAACAUUUUUCUACAACCGAAACCAAAACAACUCAAGUAUUAGAACUGAUACAUACUGAUCUAUGGGGGCCUUCACCUACUACAUAUAGAAAUGGUUUCAAAUACUACAUUAGCUUUGUAGAUGAUUACAGUAGGUAUACCUGAAUUUACCCACUCAAACUCAAAUAAGAAGCUUUUGAAGUCUUUAUAUUAUUCAAAAUCCAAGUAGAGAAUCAGUUCAAUACCAAAGUCAAGAUGCUGCAAUCUGACUGGGAGGGGAGAAUACAUAGUUUUUACUAACUUCUUAAACCAGAAUGGGAUCAUUUUCAGACAUUCAUGCCCUUACACACAUCAUCAAAAUGGUCUAGUAGAAAGAAAACAUAGACAUAUAAUUGAGUUAGCUUUGACUCUCUUAGCUCAAGCUAAUCUUCCUUUUAAAUUCUGGUGGGAAGCUGUUCAUACAGCAGUAUAUCACAUAAAUAGAUUACCAACACCUGUAUUGAAACUCUUAUCUCCAUAUGAGAAGCUCUUUAAGCAUAAACCAGAUUACAGCCUCCUUAAAUGCUUUGGUUGUCUUUGUUAUCCGUACUUGAGGGAUUUUAACAAAAAUAAAUUUGACUUUCAUACCAGCAAGUGCAUCUUUAUUGGUUAUAGCUCAUCUCAUAAGGGAUAUAAAUGUCUCACAAGCUCAGGUCGAGUUCAUAUCCUUAGACAUGUUUUUUAUGAAAGUGUAUUUCCAUAUACAACAUUCUCUGUUCCUUCUUCAUUUGAAAAUGUUGCCAACUCAGAAACACCAGUGUCAAAUUUCUCUAAACAGCAAGUCUAUCAUCUUUCAACUCUACCCUUAUUCAACAGCAGCUUUGAAGAUACUUACUCAGUAGGUGUACCAAGUGAUGAACAGAGUCCUGUUGUGCCUGAGCAUACAAAUAAUUUGAAUCAACAAGAAUCAUCCAAUUAUUCUUUAUCAAAACUAUCAAUAUCACAAGUUAUCCCUCAAAUCCCUGAAUAUACUCAAACACAACUUGAACCACAAACAAGCAAUCAACAACACUCUGAAAAUAAUCCAAACAGAAUUCAGAUCUCACAACCUACACACAAAAUGAUUACCAGAUCAAAGUCUGGAAUAUUCAAGCCUAAGUUGUAUACAACCACUUUGAUCAACAAAGAACCUGACACAAUUCAAGAAGCUCUGAAUGAUAAAAACUGGUAUAAGGCCAUGAAAGAGGAAUAUGAAGCUUUGAUCAGGAAUAAGACUUGGUCUCUUGUACCACCUCCAGCUGAAUACAAAAUAGUUGGAAACAAAUGGGUGUUCAGGGUUAAACAAAAUAGUGAUGGCAGUAUAGCAAAGUACAAGCUAGAUUGGUUGUUAAAGGUUUCCAACAAACUGAAGGGAUUGACUAUUUCCAAACUUUUAGCCUUGUUAUAAAGGCUUCCACAGUGAGGGUUAUAUUAAGCUUGGCUGCAAUGCAUAGUUGGAUGAUCAGACAGGUAGAUGUCAAUAAUGCUUUUCUGAAUGGUGACUUAACAGAAGAUGUCUACAUGUAUCAGCCUGAAGGUUUUGUUGAUGAGAAGAGAUCAGGUUAUGUAUGUAAGUUGAAGAAGGCUUUAUAUGGUUUGAAACAAGCUCCCAGAGCUUGGUUUGAUAAACUAAAAGGUUGUUUGGUUGCAAACUGGGGAUUUCAAAAUUCCAGAGCUGGAAAUCAAUUACAUUCCCAGUGAAGAACAGAUUGCAGACAUCUUGACCAAGCCUCUCACAUUCACUCAAUUCAAUUAUCUCAGGAGCAAACUUAAUGUGCAGCCAUGCCCCUUAAGUUUGAGGGGGGCUGUUAAGGAAGCUCACAGUGUACAAAAGGGAGUUGCAAAUUGAGCACGUGUGUGUCAAUGAUGAGUUAGCAGUUAGUUGAGUAAAGAAGCCAGCUCAGCAAAUCUGUUAAUAAUGUUUUACGUUCUGUUCUUCAGUUGUUAGUAAUGCUUUAAUUCUGUUGAGAUUUGUGAGUUAGUAUAAAUAAGGUUGUGAUUGUAUUUGUAAUUAAUAACGUGAGAUUCAAUAAAAGUAAAUAGUUUCUAAGAAAAUCUUAUCAUCAUUUUCUUAGCUUCCAAAGAACUUUUACAGUCACGAUCCAACUUUCCAACACCAGUUAAAACUGUUGUUUGGGUUACAAACAGAAUCAACCCCAUUAAUGACUCUUCUGGGUUGUUAGUUGUAAACGAGACGGGCAAUCUUGUUUUAACAAGCUAGAACAAGAGUGUAGUUUGGUCAGCAAACUUGAGCAAAGAAGUCCAGACUCCAGUUGUAUUGCAGCUACUAGAUUCAGGAAAUCUUGUCCUCAGAGGUGAACGAGAUGGCAGUUCUGAAACUUAUUUAUGGCAAAGCUUUGAUUAUCCUUCUAAUACAUUGCUACCGAGAAUGAAGCUCGGAUGGGAUUUGAAGACUGGUCUUGAGCGGCGUAUAACAUCAUGGAAGAGCCCAGACGACCCGUCUCCUGGAAACUUUACUUGGGCAGUUGAACGACAAGAUAAUCCUGAGUUAAUAAUGUGGAAGGGAUCAAGAAAGUUUCACAGGGGUGGCCCAUGGAAUGGCCUUGUCUUUAAUGAGGAUGAGCUGUACUACACCUUCGACAUGAUAGAUAAAGAUGUUUUCUCAAGGAUUGUUAUGAACCAAACACUCUAUGUACGUCAGCAAUUCACAUGGGAUAAAGCAACUCAAAGUUGGGAAUUGUAUGCAAAUGUGCCAAGAGAUCUAUGUGACACUUGUGCCCUUUGUGGUGCCUAUGGCAUUUGCAUCAUUAGCGAUACGCCUUUUUGCCAAUGUUUAAAAGGUUUUAAACCAAAGUCAAGGGGAUAUGUGGACUGGUCUCAAGGGUGUGUGCGCGAUAAGUCGUUAAACUACUCUACACAAGAUGGCUUUAUCAAGUUCAUUGAGCUGAAGUUGCCAGAUGCUACUUCUUCUUAGGUGAGCAAAAGUAUGAAUCUCUAUGAAUGCCAGGAUAAAUGCUUAGACAACUCUUCUUGUAUGGCAUACACAAAUUCAGAUAUCAGAGGAGAAGGCAGUGGUUGUGCCAUGUGGUUUGGCGAUCUGAUUGACAUGCGAAGAUUUCCAGAUGCUGGGUAGGACUUUUAUAUUUGAAUGUCUGCGUCAGAGCUAGGUAUCCGUUUACUUGUUUUAGUUACUCCAUUAUGAGAACUUAGGAGUGCCACUCCAGUUAGAUUAGUUCCAUAUUUUUAUUGUGUAAUUUAGUAAUGAGUUCAAAUUAAGAUGCUCCUUUCACAAAAAGCAGUUUCUGGGUAUGGCUUCUGUGCAUAGAAUUCUGCUGCUAUUUGAAUCAUUUUUUCUUAGCUAUAUGAUUAUUGACUUGCUUUGCUAUAUCUGAAUAUACUGAUCAAGGAGUGAAAGGUGAGCCUAGGACGAAGAUAGUGGUGAUAGUCAUUUCUACUACUGCUCUGUUAGCUGCGGUGCUUAUAGCUGGCUACUUGGUUCACAAAAGAAGGAGAAAUAUAGUGGGUAUAAUAUUGCUCCAUUUUCCUUCACAAAUUUUCGUUGACGAUUUGAUGCAGGAAAAUCAAACUCUUAUAAAUAUUAAAUUUACAACAGUCGAUUAAGUUUAUAUAUGCGACAAUAACUGUAUGUUUGUUUCAAGAUGAAGAGUUAACAGUGCAUAUCAUUUAGAUCAGCGGCAGGGCAAUUAAACUUGCAUUUAGUGUUAUAUCAAUACACGCCUCUUUUUCACCUAUGGUUCUUUAUUUACUUGCACUUUCAUAUUGACUGGAAAAUAACUUUAAUACAAAUUUACAGAUAAAGAACCUUAUCAUCAAGAACAUGAAAAUUGUAGUUACUAGUUAGUAGUUUAAUAUUGUCCAGUAUACACACUGCAUAUGUGCUUUUAGUUAAUAUUAUCCAAUAUUUCAGAGAAAACAAAAAAGGCUUGAGUUAGCUAGCACUGUUUGAGUUAGCUACAAUUGCUAAUGCCACCAAUAACUUUUCAAUCAACAACAAGCUUGCAGAAGGUGGCUUUGGACCAGUUUACAAGGUAAACUUGAAAGCUGCAAGUCAAGAAUACUUAUUUUACUGAUAACUAAAUUUGCAUAUAUCUUCCCAGGGCACCCUAGUGGAUGGACAGGAAAUUGCGGUAAAAAGGCUUUCGAAGAUUUCUGAGCAAGGAUUGAAGGAGUUAAAGAAUGAAGUUAUACUAUUUUCCAAAUUACAGCACAGAAAUCUGGUAAAGUUUCUUGGCUGCUGCAUUCAAGGAGAGGAGAAAUUGUUGAUUUAUGAAUUCAUGCCCAACAAAAGCCUGAACUCUUUCAUUUUUGGUCUAGGUCCCUGUAACCUUAAAAUAUUCGGCUAGCUUGUGCCUUGAUUAUAGACGUUUCUUAUGUAUUUUCAGAAAAUUUUGUGCUAACCUUAAUGUGGUAAUUUGUAGAUCAAGAAAGAUGUAAGAUAUUGGAUUGGCCCAAGCGUUUCCACAUUAUUUGUGGGACUGCUAGGGGUGUUAUGUACCUUCAUCAAGAUUCUAGAUUGAGGAUUAUACAUCGAGAUCUCAAAGCAAGUAAUGUGCUACUCAAUCAAGAUAUGAACCCAAAAAUUUCAGAUUUUGGUUUGGCAAGAGCUUUUGGUGGAGACGAAAUAGAAGGAAACACAAACAGAGUGAUUGGAACAUAGUAAGUACUUCUUGUCAUGUGAUCUUUUCGAUUCACUUGUACUGAUUAAUGAAAAUUAACUUAUAUAUUUUAAUCUUUUGAAGUGGUUAUAUGGCACCGGAAUACGCUAGUGAUGGGAAAUUCUCAGUAAAAUCCGAUGUCUUCAGCUUUGGAAUUUUAUUGUUGGAGAUAAUAAGUGGAAAGAAAAAUAGAGGAUUUUAUCAUUCCGACAACAAGCUUAACCUUAUAGGACAUGUAAGUAAAAUGCAUACGACUUUUUCUAACAUAGUUUGAACUAAUAAACUAUAGAUGAUAAAAGAGUUUUAAUAUGUUGUAGGCAUGGAAGUUGCGGAACGAAGGCAUGCCUUCACAAUUAAUCGAUCCGUGUAUUCAAGGCUCAUUCAAUCUUGCUGAAGUGAUAUGAUGCAUCCACAUCGGUUUGUUAUGCGUGGAACAGCAUCCAAAGGAUAGGCCAAGCAUGCCCUCAGUGAUUUUGAUGUUGGUCAGCAACUGUGUUGCCUCAGCCAAAGCAACCUGGUUACUUGGCGGACAGGAAAUCUACCAGACAAGAUUAUUCAUCAAGCACGCCUGAAUCAUGUUCAACUAAUACAAUUACGAUCUCUGAGUUGGAGGGUCGGUAGAGAAUUUAUUUGUGGUAUCAUGCCUUAUUCUACAUUGUCAAGCGGAAAAGCGGUAAUAUGUCAACCAAAUGGAAGGUUAAGAUAAAUGAUUGGAUAAAAAAUGAUGAGGAUCAUGAAAUACUAACUAGGCAACCCAAGAGGGGGGGUGAAUUGGGAUUUUAAAAUUUAAGCUAAGCAAACCACACAACAAUUUAAUCUAUUGCCUUAAUCAAAUUGAAAACAAUAAAUUCAAUCAUGCACAAUAUUAAAAGAGUAAGGGAAGAGAAAACAAACACAAUGAUUUUUACGUGGUUCGGCAAUCCCCGUCUACGUCCACGCCUCCAAGCUCACCGGGCUUGAGGAUUUCACUAAGCUAGCCUCCCAAGGCUUCAAACGCUUACAAUUGACUUCCAAGGUGUCAAUGGACCUUUACAACAAGAGAUUAUCCCCAAUCUCUUAACCCAAGUGUAUCCCAACACUUACAAUCUCUUAACUUGAUUUUACAAAAAAGAUUACAAAUGAAUCUCUCUCACACAAUGUGUUUGAUCACAAGUGAAAGCUCAAUGUGUGAAUGAAUGAGAUGAAUACAAAGAUUUAAAGCUCAAUGAAAGUUGUAUUCUCAAUAUUUUGCUCAAUGAUGAUCGUUAGAAUGAUUCUUGUUUGAAUUGGAUUGAGCUUAUUUAUAGUUGGAGCUGAAAACUAGUCGUUAUUGACUUUCUGCACACUGUCGGAUCGCCGCUAACUAGAUGUCGGAUCGCCGUUUGACUGGUCAAUAUGACCGUUGGGCUGAUAUUUCAAAUUGUCGGAUCGCCGUUAUCUAGAUGUCGGAUCGCCGUUAUCUAGAUGUCGGAUCACCGUUUAGGUCCAGAGGCUAAUCUUCAGUUCUGUUAGAUAUCGGCGAGCCAUUUAUCAAAAUUGUCGGAUCGCCGUUUAGGUCCAGAGACUAAUCUUCAAUUCUGUUAGAUGUCGGCGAGCCGUUAUCAAGAUGUCGGAUCGCCGUUUUCUACAGUAACUGCUACAGUGAAAUAUUUUCUAAAUUUAUAGUUUGACCCCAAAACUUUAUAAAACUGUGUUACGGCCCAAAACGUUAUAAAACUUUGCAAAUAGGUCCAAUUUUAGAAUUUCUAAGUAAUGCUUUGUUAAUCCCAAAACUUUCUGAAAUUAUGGUAUAGCCCAAAAUGCUAUGACACUUUUCAAAUAAGUCAUUCUCCAAAAUUUCAAGCAAUACUUGUUUAUUUCAAAGUUUUCAAAAUUCUUUCAAUUAAACCAUAAACUUUGAAAAACAACCAAUUUCAUAAAAUCAUUUUUCCAUUAAAUAUGAAACAUUUAUAAUGUGAAAAUAAUGAUUUAUUUAAAAAGAAUAAAAACAAUCAAUUUCAUAAAAUCAUUUUUCCAUUAAAUAUAAAACCUUUAAAAUGUGAAAAUAAUGAUUUAUUUAAAAUGUAUAAAAAAUAAUUUGAUCUUAAAAGAUUAAUCAUUCUUAAUCUUGUUUGUUAUCAUCAAAAUCAAUAUUAUGGAAACAUAUAUGUUAACAGAUCAUCCAGUGAAUGCAUGUUGUGGAUCUAAAAGUUCAGAGGAUAGGCCAAUUUUGCAGCUGACUACUUUGCUAAAAAUGCAGGCUCUAUACCUCUCGGAUUUCAUGUUUAUCAAGAACCUCCUGUAGGUCAUGAAUCUUGGCUUUGUUAUGAUAUGUAUGGGACAAUGAUUCCCCGCUCGAUUGUGUCUUAGCUUGGCUAAGCCUUUUUUUGGUUAAAAAAAAAUGGAAUGUAGACUAAUGUUCAUAUAGAAAUUGUAAAUUAGAGGUACUGUGAGCAAUGUUGGGUUCAAAAAAUGAUUAACCGAGAAUUAAAUUAAAUAAAAGCAAGACGUUAUAAUUUUUUUGAUAUAAAGUAUUUACUAAUACAUUUAUGAGAAUAUCUUUGGUGCUUUUGGAGCAUUUUUAUCUAUUCACAAUUUAUCACUUGUGUAUAUAUGUCAUCAUGAUUAGUAGAAGCAUACACAUGACAAAGAGUAAAUGAAAAAGGAGAAGCUCUCCAAUAGUACCCAAAAUUUUUCCUACAUUUUGAAAACCAUGUGCAAUAUACUCAUUAUCAAUACUAUUAAGUACAUCCUUUUCUACAUAAAUACCAAAAUUAAUAUUCAUCCAUUCAUCUCUCAUCCAAUUUCAGCGUUAAUUCUUCACGAACUUAUUUGCUGAAAACGUUCUCUCUACAGUGGUUGUGGGAACCGAAAGAAUUAUAGCUAAGUGUCACCAACAAAUAUAUUAAUAUUGUAAUGGAUAUUCUUUAUCUUUUUUUGUCUUAAACUAUUCUUUUAGCAACUUAUUGAUUCCCUUCAUUCCGACAAACCUGCCUAAUUGUUCUUUCCUAAUUUAACCCAAGCCCUAAUUUUCUUUUUAGAACAAGAAAGAUAAAAUUUGUGAUUGGAGGAGUGGCUAAUUAUUAUUUUUAAUAAAUUUGAAUCUAUUUUCUGAAAUAGAAAAAUGUUUUGGGUUGUGGUUAUUAUUAUUUUUAAAUAAAGCGUGAGUUUAAAAGUUCAAGUUAAAAUUUAAAUUUUGUAGGUUUAUGAAUGUAUAGAGGCUAUUUUAAUAGGUUGAUGAAGGUUAAUUAGAAACCCAAAUGAUUUUUUCUUUUAUUUUGUAUUUUUGUCUUUCACAUGCUAAAUCCACCACUCCUACCGAUGAUUUAUUUUUAUUCUAAUGAUCAUAAUAAAAAUCUUUUAAAAAUUUUACUAUUUUAUCAAAAUUAUAUUUGCCCCAACUUUUUUUUAACUACAAUAUUUUUUUUUCACCACAACCGUAACUUUUAAUAUAACUUAGGUUAUCAAAAUUUUGAGCUUCAUUCAACCAACCAUAACUAUCAUGAUCAAAGUCUACGUUGCUUGACUUUCAUUCAAAACCGGGGGGAUAUGUGGACUGGUCUCAAGGGUGUGUCCGUAAUAAGCCAUUGAAUUACUCAAGAAAAGAUGGUUUUAUCAAGUUUUCUGACCUCAAAUUGCCAGAUUCUACUUCAUCUUGGGUGAGCAAAAGUAUGAAUCUCAAGGAAUGUAGGGAGAAAUGCUUAGAAAACUCUUCUUGUAUGGCUUACACAAAUUCGGAUAUCACUAGAGGCGGCAGUACUGUGUUAUGUGGUUUGGUGAUCUGAUUGACAUCAGAUACUUCCAAAAUGGUGGGCAGGACUUGUAUAUUCGAAUGUCUGCUUCAGAGCUAGGUAUCCGUAUACUUAUUUAUGUCAUUCCAUUAUGAGAACUUGGGAGUACCACACUAGUUAGACUAGUUCCACAUUUUUAUUGUGCAAUUUAGUAUUGAGUUCUGAUUGAGAAGCUCCUUUCUCAUAAAGCAUUUUCUGGGUAUAGCUUCUAUGCAUAGAAUUUUGCUGCUAUUUGAAUCCUUUUUUUCAUAUCUAUAUGAUUAUUGACUCGCUCUGCUAUAUCAGAAUAUGCUGAUCAAGGAGCGAAAGUUUGACAUCAUUUCUUAAUCCUAGUGUCCAUCUCGAUCGUUUUGAUGGAACUAAUUUCACUCGUUGGAAAGGAAAAUUAUUUUUUCUCCUUACUGUUCUUAAAGUAGCAUAUGUUCUUGAUCCGAAAUUGGAACCAUUUCCAGAACCAAGAGAAGAUGAUACCGAAGUUGUUAAGGCUGCAAGGAAACGUCGUGAAGAUGAUGAAUUGAUGUGCCGGGGUCACAUACUCAAUACGCUUUCUGACAGGUUAUAUGAUCUCUACAAUUCUAUGACUUCUCCGAUGGAAAUUUGGAAUGCUCUUGAGUACAAAUACAAAACGGAGAAAGAAGGUACUGACAAAUUCCUUGUCUCUAAAUAUUUUGAAUUUAUUAUGGUAGACACAAAAUCCAUUCUUGAUCAAAUACAUGGGUUACAAAUUAUUGUUGCUAAGCUUCGAGAGUUAAAGUUGAAAUUUCUGAAUCAUUUCAAGUUGGGGCUAUUAUUGCUAAAUUGCCUCAAAGUUGGAAUGAUUAUAGAAAGAAACUCCUUCAUAGUAAAGAGAACAUAACCUUAGAAGAAUUACAAAAACACUUGGUAAUCGAAGAAGAGACAAGGUCUCGCGAAUCCAAGGAUAAGCAUGAUUCUAAUAAGGUUAAUGUUGUUGAAGCUAGUAAAAUUUCAAAGAAUUUUAAAGUCAAGAAUGACAAGAAAUUCAAGAAGUCCAGCACACAAAAGUUUUCUGGAAAUUGUUUCUUUUGUGGCAAGAAAGGUCAUCGCCAAAGUGAUUGCAGAUUCAAGAAGAAAAAGGAAGAAGUGAAUUCCCAUAAAGCUAAUGUUAUUGAAAACAAAUCUGAAGAGAUUUGUGCUAUGGUUUCUGAAAAGCAAAUUGGCAUGAUUACCGAAACCAAUAUGGCUGAAACUAAGUCCUAUGAUUGGUGGCUCGAUUCGAGUGCAACAAUUCAUGUUUUUAAUUAUAAGAAAUUUUUCUUAUCAUACAAAGAAGAAACGGAAGGACAAAUGGUUCUCAUGGGGAACAAUAAUGUAGCCAUGGUAGCGGGGAAAGGAGUAGUUGAGAUCAACUUCACUUCUGAAAAGAAAGUUACAUUGUAUAAUGUCUUUCAUGUACCUUCCGUUAGGAAGAAUCUUAUUUCUGCUAGUUGUAUGUGUAAGCAUGGGCUUAAGAUUGUGCUUGAGGGUAAUACUUGUAUUAUCUCAAAGAAUAGAUUAUUUGUUGGGAAAGGGUAUUCUUGUGAUGGAAUGUACAAACUCAGCAUUAAUAAUAAUAAUAUCAACUUAGCUUAUAUUAUUGAGUCUUGUGAUGUUUGGCAUGCUAGAUUAGCACAUUUGAAUUUUAGAUCUUUGAAAUACAUGUCUAAGCAUGGUUUGACUAAUUGCAAUGAUGUUAAAGGUCAUAAGUGUGAAAUCUACAUCCAAGCUAAAUUAACUAAGAAACCUUUUCCUAAAGCCGAACAAAAUACUCAAAUAUUGGAUUUAAUACAUACCGAUAUUUGUGAGUAUAAUGGCGUUUUAACAAGAGGAGGUAAGAGGUACUUUAUCACUUUUAUUGAUGAUUGUUCUAGAUACACUUACGUGUAUUUACUUAGAACAAAAAAUGAAGCUUUUGAUAAAUUUAAAAUUUUCAAAGCUGAAGUUGAGAACCAAAAAGAUAAGAAAAUCAAAAUGGUUCGUAGUGAUAGAAGUGGUGAAUAUUUCUGAAUUGAAUUUAAUAAUUAUUGUGAAGAAUUUGGAAUUAUUCACCAAAGAUCAGCUCCAUUUACUCCUCAACAAAAUGGUUUGGCUGAAAGGAAGAAUAAGAUCUUCACGGAUAUGAUAAAUUCCAUGAUCCUUAAUGCAAAACUACCAAAUAAUUUGUGGGGGGAAGCAUUACUCACUGCAUGUCAUAUUCAUAACAGAAUUACAUCUUUGAAAACACAUAUAUCUCCUUAUGAAAUUUGGAAAGGAAGAAAACCAAACUUGAUGUAUUUAAGGGUUUGGGGUUAUUUACCUUUUUAUAAAAUACAUGAUCUUAAAUCAUCAAAGUUAAGUGCUAGAGGUAUAAAGAGUGUUUUCGUAGGAUAUGCUGAAAAUUCCAAGGCUUAUAGGUUGUUAAUUCUAAUGUGAUUGUGGAAUCUAGAGAUGUUGAAUUUAUUGAGAAUAAAUUUCAACAUGAUUCUAAUAUUGAAUUAGAAUCAAUUAUUGAUCAACCAUGUGUUAAUACUUCUGUUACCUCCAUUAACAAUAAUAAAAGGAAAGAGUCUAUGACAUCUUUCGAACCAAUAAGGAGUCAACGUGAAAAGAAAGAAAAGAGUUUAGUUCCGGAUUUUAUUUCAUCACAAGCACUACUCUUCUUGGUUGAAGGGGAUAGAAAGAAUGUACUUAACAAAGUACCAUUGUUGUUAAAUAUUGAAAAAGAUCCAAAGACAUUUAGCGAAGCUAUGUCUUCUAGAGACGCUUCUUUUUGGAGAGAGGCGGUAAAUGAUGAAAUGGAUUCGAUUAUGUCGAAUCAAACAUGGGUCUUGGUUGAUCUUCCUCCAGGAUCUAAACCAAUUAGCAGCAAAUGGGUAUUUAGAAGAAAGUACAAUAGUGAUGGUUUUUUGCAAACUUGUAAGGCUAGAUUAGUAGCCAAAAGGUUUAAGCAAAGAAAUGGUAUUGAUUAUUUCGAUACAUAUGCUCCGGUAGCAAGGUUAACUUCUAUAAGAGUGCUAUUUGCAAUUGCUUCAUUGAACAAUUUGUAUGUGCAUCAAAUGGAUGUUAAAACCGUUUUUCUUAAUGGUGAUCUUGAGGAAGAAAUCUAUGUGGAACAACCUGAGGGAUUUGUUUUGCCAAGAAAUGAGAAAAAGGUAUGCAAGUUAGUCGAAUCACUUUAUGGUUUAAAGCAAGCACCAAAACAAUGGCAUGAGAAAUUUGAUUAGGUAAUUUUAUCUCAUGGUUUUAAGCAUAAUAAUGCUGAUAAAUGUAUAUAUUUUAAAUUUACGAAUGAUUUUGGUGUGAUUAUAUGCUUGUAUGUUGAUGACUUGCUUAUCUUUGGAACAAAUAUGCAAGGAGUAAAUGAUACAAAGAAGUAUUUAACUUCACAAUUUAAGAUGAAAGAUCUUGGUGAAGUAGAUACUAUCUUAGGUGUCAAAGUGAAAAAACAUAGUGGGGGUUACUCGUUGUGUCAAUCUCAUUAUAUAGAAAAAGUGCUUCUUAAAUUCAAUUAUUUGAAAUUUAAAGAAGCUAAUACCCCAUAUGAUUCUAGUAUUAAAUUACUAGAGAAUUCAGGCCGAGUAGUAGCACAACUAGAAUAUGCUAGUGCUAUUGGUAGCUUGAUGUAUGCUAUGCAUUGUACGAGGCUUGAUAUAGCAUUUGCAGUUUGCAAAAUGUCAAGAUUCACGAGUAACCUUAGUGUUGAACACUGGAAAACAAUUGGUAGGAUACUUGGUUAUCUUAAAAGGACCAUUAAUUUGGGUUUUUUUUAUAAUGAUUAGCCUGAAGUACUGGAAGGAUAUUCAGAUGCUAGUUGGGUAACCAAUACAAAAGAUAAUAAAUCCACUUCUGGUUGAAUUUUUACAAUUGCUGGAGGAGCGGUUUCUUGGGCUUCAAAGAAACAAACAUGCAUAACUCAUUCAACAAUGGAAAGUGAGUUUAUAGCACUUGCAGCUGCAGGCAAGGAAGCAGAAUGGCUGAGAAAUUUGUUGUUUGAUAUAAUGUUGUGGCCACAACCGAUGCCAUCUAUUUCUUUGUACUGCGAUAGUGAAGCUACAUUGUCUAGAGCUUAUAAUAAAGUGUAUAAUGGAAAGUCUAGACAUAUUAGCUUGAGACAUGAAUAUAUGAAACAAUUAAUAGCAGAUGGUGUUAUUAAUAUUGUUUAUGUUAGGACUAAUAAGAACCUAGCGGAUCCUUUAACAAAAGGUCUUACAAGAGACUUAGUUAAGGAUACAUCUUUUGGAAUGAGAUUGAAACCUUUAAAUAAUAAAGUCACCAACGAUGGUAACCCAACUAUGUAGUAGUUGUACUGCUACUCCAUAGUUAAAUGGGUAAUAAUAAGUUGUUGUUAUGUGACUGGUUUGGUACCGAGUAAUAAAUAAUCACAUUCGAGAUAUUCUGUGCAAAUAGCUAUGAGGUUGAGGUUGAGUAUUUACUCUUAAUGAAGUUCAAGUCUUAUAGUAGCUAAAGACAUGAUUUGAAACUUCAACUAAGUGAACAUAAGAAAUGGUGUCGUUUCUAACAAGAUCGUAGUUUAAUCUUGUAAAUGUUCAUGAAUCCAAGAUAGAGCACAAGGCCGGAAUAGUGCUAAAUAUUGGAACACAACUUCGAAAUCUGGGACAGCUUAUAUGUGAUGUAUCUCUAGUAUUUACUUAAGAGACAAAGUUUAAUGCUUAGCACACUAUUGUCUUGUAAAUACUUUGAAAUACACUCACUAAUUAAAGGUUAAAAUCGAAAGAUACCUUUUUGUAUGUAUAAGUUCAUCAUUAAUAAAUCUAAAAAAUAUUACAAUCUAGUGGGGGAUUGUAAGAGAGAUUGUAACAUUUUUCAAUAUUUGGUUUGAUAUUCUGGAAGAAAACGGUUUGCCGUUUUUGGAGAAAACGGCUAACCGUUUAAUUCCAGAGAGUAUGUUUUCUGUUCUAGAGAAAACGACUAACCGUUUAGAGAAAACAACUAACCAUUUAUUUACAGAGAGCAACUUAUUUGACAUUCUGGAAUAAAACGGCUCGCCGUUAUUGAGAAAACGGCUAACCGUUUAUUUCCAGAGAUCGUGUUUUUGCGUCAAUGGGAAAAACGGUUAGCAAGCUUGAAAAUUUCAAUUGUCUAUCGAUGCAAAUUCAAAUCAAAAGAGUGUCUUUGAAGAAGUACCAUUUCUAAUGGUUGUAUUCUUUCAAAUAAACAUCUUCUUCAUUAAAAGAUAGACACACAAUUAGAUCAAAUCAAAUUUUACAGGUUUCAUAUAUGUUCUGGAAAUACAAUCUUAUUUGCUAGAGAUUGUAUUCAGGAUUUGAUAUAUCUUGGGGGUAAUUUGCCAUUAAAACUCUAUAGCAAACCAAGAUUAGUGAGGGCAAAUAAAACCUUAAAGGAAAGUGUGCAAACACGUCUCAAAUCCUAAGAAAUUUUCUUUGUUCUUUGCCUCCAUAUUCUUAAAAUUCACCAACAUUUAUGUCUUGGCAGGGCACGCAAUUGGAUGGGCAGGAAAUUGCUGUGAAGAGGCUUUCGAAGAUUUCUGAGCAAGGAUUGAAAGAGUUAAAGAAUGAAGUUAUACGAUUUUCCAAAUUACAGCACAGAAAUCUUGUAAAGUUUCUUGGCUGCUGUAUUCAGGGAGAGGAGAAAUUGUUGAUUUAUGAAUUCAUGCCCAACAAAAGCCUGGAAUCUUUCAUUUUUGGUCUGGGUCCCUAUAACCUUAAAAUAUUCGGCUAGCUUGUGCCUUGAUUAUAGACUUUUCUUAUGUAUUUUUAGAAAAUUUUGUACUAACAUUAAUGUGGUAAUUUGUAGAUCAAGAAAGAUGUAAGAUAUUGGAUUGGUCCAAGCGCUUCCACAUUAUUUGUGGGACUGCUAGGGGUCUUCUCUACCUUCAUCAAGAUUCUAGAUUGAGGAUUAUACAUCGAGAUCUCAAAGCAAGUAAUGUGCUACUCGAUCAUGAUAUGAACCCAAAAAUUUCAGAUUUUGGUUUGGCAAGAGCUUUUGGUGGAGAUGAGACAGAAGGAAAUACAUACAGGGUGGUUGGAACGUAGUAAGUAUUUCUCAUCAUGUGAUCUUUACAAUUCACUUGCACUGAUUAAUGAAAUUUAACUAAUAUAUUCUAAUCCUCUGAAGUGGUUAUAUGGCACCGGAAUACGCUAGUGCUGGACAAUUCUCAAUAAAAUCCGAUGUCUUCAGCUUUGGAAUUUUAUUGCUGGAGAUAGUAAGUGGAAAGAAAAAUAGAGGAUUUUAUCAUUCCGACAAAAUAGAGGAUUUUAUCAUUCCGACAACAAGCUUAACCCUAUAGGACAUGUAAGUAAAAUGCAUACGACAUUUUCUAACAUAGUUUGAACUAAUAAACUAUAGAUGAUAAAAGAGUUUUAAUAUGUUGUAGGCAUGGAAGUUGUGGAACGAAGGCAUGCCUUCACAAUUAAUCGAUCUGUGUAUUCAAGACUCAUUCAAUCUUGCUGAAGUGAUACGAUGCAUCCACAUCGGUUUGUUAUGCGUGCAACAGCAUCCAGAGGAUAGGCCAAGCAUGCCCUCAGAGAUUUUGAUGUUGGGCAGUGAGACUGUGUUGCCUCAGCCAAAGCAACCCGGUACCUUGGCUGACAGGAAAUCUACCAGACUAGAUUCUUCAUCAAGCAUGCCUGAAUCAUGUUCAACUAAUACAAUUACGAUCUCUGAGUUGGAGAGUCGGUAGAAAAUCUAUUUGUGGUAUCAAGCCUUAUUCUACAUUGUCAAGUGCAAAAGGAGUAAUGUCUCAACCAAAUGGAAAGUUCAGAUAAAUGAUUGGAUAAAAAAUGAUGAGGAUCCUCCAAUGAUUGCAUGUUGUGGAUUUAAAUAGAACGUAGACUAAUGUUUAUAUAGAAAUUGUAAAUUAGAGGUAACGUGAGCAGUGUUGGAUCCAAAAAAAAAAAAAAAUGAUUAACCGAGAAUUAAAUUAAAUAAAAGCAAGACGUUAUAAUUUUUUUAAUAUCAAAUAUUUGCUAAUACAUUUAUGAGAAUAUCUUUGGUGCUUUUGGAGUAUUUUUAUCUAUUUACUAUUUAUCACGUGUGUAUAUAUGUCAUCAUGAUUAGUAGAAGCAUACGCAUGACAAAUAGUAAAUAAAAAAGGAGAAGCUCUCCAAGAGUACCAAGAUUGUUCCUACAUUUUAAAAACCUUGUGGAAUAAACUCAUUAUCAAUACUAUUAAAUACAUCAUUUUCUACAUAAACAACAAAAUUAACAUUCAUCCAUUCUUCUCUCAUUCGAUUUCAGAGUUGAUUGUUCAUGAACUUAAUUGUUGAAAAUGUUCUCUCUACUGUAGUUGUGGGAACCGGAAGAAUUAAAUCUAAGUGUCACCAACAAAUAUAUUAAGUUUGUAACUGAUUGACUUUUAUCUUUUUUAGUCUCAAAGUAUUCUAUUUGCAAAUCACUAAUUCCCUUCAUUCUUACAAACCCACCUGCUUGUUCUUUUCCUAAUAUAACCCAAUCCCUAAUUUUCUUUUAAGAACAAGAAAGAUAAAUUUUGUGAUUGAAGGAGUGGAUAAUUAUUUUUUUUAAUAAAUUUGAAUAUAUUUUUUGCAAUAGAAAAAUGGCUGUGGGUUAUUAUUAUUCUUAAAUAAAGUGUCAGUUUUAUAAUUCAAGUUAAAAUUUAAAUUUUAUUGGUUUAUGAAUGUAUAGAGACUAUUUUAAUAUAUUGAUGAAGGUUAAUUAGAAGCCCAAAUAAUUCUCUCUUUUAUUUUUUUAUUUAUUUUUUAUUUUUUGGUAGCUUGAGACUAUUUUAUUUUUAUUUUUAUUUUUUUAAUUUUAAUAUUUACUCUCUGCUCAGAAGUUGCUGUAUCCUUUCUUUGCAACAUGCUCUGUUCAGGCUUCAAUGUUGUUGGCUUGAAUUGGCAACUGAACUCGAAUCAAUUCUCAUGCAUGGGUUGGGGAAUUUGCUCAACUUAUAAUCGGUAGGUUUAUGCCUCUGAAUUCAGGCAUUGCUUGAGUAGAGUUGGGCUUGCUGAUUCAUUUUAGUGACAAAUGAAAACAUUAAAAAAAAAAUCAGGACUUGUUCGUCAAAAUUUACAGAUAUUUUGUUCUUUAAUUAAUUUUAUUGUAACAAACACAUAUUCAUAGAGAUGCCGAAUUCUCUAUCUUCAUCAUGAUUCCAAAUUGAGGAUUAUACAUAAAGAUCUCAAAGCAAGUAAUGUGUUACUUGAUAAUAAGAUGAACCCAAAAAUUUCAUAUUUGUUUGAGAUAAUACUGUUCACACUAUUCUUUUAAUUUCUUUAAUUAAAAUAACAAAACUAAAUAAAAAUGUAUAAUAUUUAAUAAAAUUAAAAAUUCAAGUAUGUUGCCGCCAAUGCUGAUGAACUACUAGCGAAAGUUCGACGGCAGCUAGCCACAGGUGGCUACUGCAUGACAUCAUCUUUUACGCUAAAAUUGGGUAUCAUUAAAAUUCUCAUUGUCGGGGCUUCACAGUAGUGCCAAAACCUUGGCUGUAGAUCGAUGGUGAAUGAAAAUUCCUUUGCUGAUGAUAGUUGACCAUUGCAUAGCCCUAAUAAUAAUGAUUCUAAUGAUAUCAAAAUAUAGUUCAAAUGGUACUAAAGUAGGAUGGUCAAUGGUGAAAAUUUUUAUUUUGAUUACAAAAUUUUAAAUUAUUAAUUGAAUGUAAAUAAUAAUAGAAUAUAAAUGAAACUUUGAUUAUUAAUUUAACAUAAAUAUUAAAAUAGAAAUUAUUGUUUUGAAUAAUACAAUGCAUGCUACAUCAAACAUCAUAUUGUAUUUCAGCUUAAUACAAUAUAAUAUAAUAUAAUACAAUAUGUCAAACGCACCCAUAAAAAAAAAGUCAAAAUCACAAUAUUAUUUGGUGGGCCUUACCUGCAUUAUCCUCAGUUUACUUUUUGUGUCAAAUAAACAAUAGGCCCCGGAGACUAUCAUGCUAUUGCUUUAGGUUUACAUACAACUACACUGAUCUUGGUAAAGAUGACAGUUUACUUUUUGCAUCAAAUACUAUGUUGGGAUUAAUUUUUUUAUAAAAUUAGUCUAUUCGACUGCCUUUACCUGCAUCCAAACAUACCCCAAUGGUUAACUAUGAGAAAAUUUUAAUAAAGACUUGCAAUUUGUUUACUUGGAAUUGGAAUGGACAAAAAUUGUAAUGAGCUGAAAUCAAAACAGGCUGGAAUUGAUCACAUGAGGAAUAAGAAUCAAAGUAAGUUGUAUACUUGAAUCCAAAUCAACAAUAUUCCAAUUGAUGUAUUUACUUAUGUCUUGUAAUCCAAAUGAGUUAUUACAAGUCAUAAAAAUGUCCUUAGUUCCACUCUUUCUAGACGUCAUGAUGAUAUACGUUUCAUCCAUCUGGUAAGCGAAGGAGUUAUUACAAGUUUAAAAAAAUGUCCUUAAUUACAAUUAUGUAUUUUUCUAUGUAAAAUAAAUAAGCAAACAGUUUAAAAGAAAACAUUGGCAUAUUUAUUAUAAUAUUGAGAGUAAUACAAUGAGUUUUUGAGUAAACUAGUUGUUGUUGUUGUUAUUUUAUAUUGAUAAUAACUACUAUUAAUAUUAUUAUUGUAGGGAAAUUAAACCCCUAACUUCCUAUUAAUUUAAUUCCCUCUUAUUACUAUAAGGGGAACCAAAGUUCAAAUACCAAGUUUUUGUUGUUGGCAGGACUCAAACCUAUGCCCCUCAACUUUCUAGGUAUAGGUUCUCCCAUUAGAUUACAAAGUCAGCUUGUGUUAUUGUUACUACUAAUACUAUUAAGAUUAUUUAAUUAUGUAAUAGGAAUAAAAUCAAAAUUUCAAAAUUUAAGGGAUGGUAAAAUAAUUAGUUCAGAAAAUGAAAAUCGCAUUCCCACCUUCCCAUAGAAAUAAGAUUCUCAUUUCCACCUUCAAAAUUUGGUGGGCCUCGCAAAUUUCAUUCACAUUCUCAAAUAUCAAAUAAGCAAUUAAACAAUGGAAUCAUUUCCAUUCCUCCAUUCUUGACUCCCAUUCCAAGAAGUUAAUAACCUUUAAUAGAACGUUCAAAUGAAAAGACUAGCCAGGCCCAGAGAACUGACAUCGAUCAAUUAUCUCUUCCGGAUUAGAAUUAUAUGUUAUUUAUUUUGUCUUUUUUUUCUAAUUCAUAUAUUGUUGAAAAGUCAAUAUUGGUGAUUUGUUUAUUCAAAUUGGUUGAAAAAAAAGAGGUGAGCCACAUGCAUAAUUGACUUUUGGAGGAGUUAGUAACCGCAUGCAUGAUUUCUUUAAAAAAUGAAGAAUUUUUACAACUUUAUGAAGACGUAUUUGAUGCAAUUGAAGAGUUUUUCAAAAGGUAGAAAUGGUGGCCAAAAUCAUUGAAAUAAUUGCAUGCAAAUUGGAUGUUAGGUGCAAGCUUGGUGCCUAUAAAUAGAGAGCAUUUCUUCAUUCCAUUUCAUCCCAAAAAUUAAUUUGAGAGUUUAAGAGAAAUUGCAAAUGAAGUAAUUUUAGAGUUUUGAGAGUGUGAGCAGUUGGAGAGUGUGUGUGAGAGUACUGAGUGUAUUUAAGUUUUUGGAAAUUGAGGUUUCUCUACUCAAAUUUGUGCGCUAAUAAUUGUUAGUAAUACAAUUAUUUUUCUCUUGUUCCCGUGGACGUAGGCAUACUGCCGAAUCACGUGAAAUUCCGUGUCCUUUAUUUUUCUGUGAUUAUUUGGUGCGUUUGAUUUCGCAUUCCGCGCACAACAUAUAUGAUUACUCUUAAAUCUCAAAAAGCAAAAAAAAAUUCCCAUUAAUAAAGAUCCAUUGCAACUUGUAGACAAAUACAAAAUAGAAAAAUUUGUAUUCCUAGUCCUCUGCCACGUUAAGAGACUAUCAUUUUUCUUACCUAUGAUCGAAGCUUCAUUUGGAGGAUAUGCUGUACAAAUGAUUUAGCUCAUGUGAUUAAUAAAUAUAUACGAUCAUAAUUAAUUUCCAGCUUCUAGGGAAGUUAAAAUCCUUAUUUUUCCAUUUGUGUUUUAAGCAUGGUUUUUUACAAUUUUAUAUUUAAGUUUAAUAAAUUAAAUAGUACGUGUGUAUCAUUUCAUUAUGUUUAUGUUUAUGUCUCUAUCUUUAAUUUUAAGGAUGCUAUAUAUAUUAACUCAUUUUUCUAACAUGAGUAUCUUGCAGCAGGGUUCGAAUAGGAUGACGAUGGGAACAAGAAGACAUGAUUUCUAUUAGAGCAUAUUCGACUGAUUUAUAAAAUUAUACCAAUAUAAAUUCAUUAUUAGUUAGAUGAGAAAUAAGAAAUUCAAUUCUAUAAAUUAACUAAUGUACAACAAAUGAUUUACAAGGAUGACCCAAGUAAACUAUCAGUCAAAGUCAAUGAAUAUAUGCUCGUGGCAAUGUAUAUUCUAUAAAUGAACUCGUGUCAAUUGUGAUCACACUUGGAAUCUCCCCGGCAAAAAAUUUUCCGUUGAUGACAACCGAUUGCAACUUACAGACAGAUACCGAAAAUAUAAUUAGUAUUCAAUGUCCUUUCUGAAGUUCUACACGUAAUUUAGCGAUUUCACAUACAAGUGCGGCUUAUCUGCUCAUCAUUGCUCUGCUCCUUUUUGUUUUUAUUUUUAUUUUUUUGUUUUUUGUUUUUAACUGCUGCUCAUAUCUGCCGGUGGGGUUUUUCGAAAUUAUUGAUUAUUCUUUCCUUUGAAAUUAAUAUAAAAAAAAAGCUCCAUAAUUUUUCUGUGUAAUUUAAAACUAUUGCACGACGUUUUCUAUUCGGCCAUCCAUUAUUUAAUUGAUAACGGCCCAGCAGGCAUAUGGCUAGAAAUUCUCUUCUUCAAUUUUAAUUAGAUUUCAUGUAAACUUUUCUCAGUUCUCAAUGUUUGCGGACAUAAUAAUAAUAAUAAUAAUAAUAAUGUAUUACAUCUCAAAUUGUCUUCAUUAUAAUAUUUGGCCCUAAAACUAAUAAAACUAAUAAAAAUAAAGAGUAUAUAAUAACUUAUUUUGAUAGAUAAUGCUAGAAUUGCCUUUCAAAAAAAAAAAUAUAUUUAGAUUUAGAGGUGCAACUGAAUACAGCACUUAGAUAUUCUAAAGAUAUUAUACUGAAUUUGUUAUUUACUUAUUAUUACAAUUUUGUUUUGUAAUGCUGUCAAGUUUGUUAGAGCAUCUCCAAAAGAUUUUUUAGAUUUUACUCUUCAAAUAUCAAUUUGCUUAUUGAUGUGGCAAAUAAGUGGAUGAAAAAAUACAAUCUUCUCCAAAAGACUCAUCAAAUAAGAAUAAGUUAACAUUAUUUCAAUCAAAUCUUUCCACUAUUAAAUUAAAUUGCUGUUAUGUUUUUGAAGGGAAACAUAAAUAAUAAUUAUUGCAGUCUUAUCUUUUCAAUAAAUAAUAAUAAAAUAUUAAUAGAAGAGGGAGAAACUCACUCGGCAAUAUUGAAGAGUGAGAAACAAAUCUUAUUUGAAAAAUCAAAAUUAACGUAUUUUUUGGAAUGUUUAAUAUUGAUAUGACUCUUCGAAUAAAAAAUAGAAUUUUAUUUGAAAAAUCUUUUAGAGAUGCUCUUAGAGAAGAUAUUCUUAGCCGUUUUUUAAAUUUCUCUAUAACUCGCUUGAAGGAGUAUUUAAAGAAAUGAAUAAAUAAGAAAAGGACAGCUCCCUUAAAUUUAAAAUACAAUUCCUCUAUUUUCUCUAGUCUCUAUUCUUCACUCUUUCUAAUUCUAGAGGACUCCACCCUCUAAAGUGGAAACUAAAAUUCCAGAACUUCCACUUGAAAUCCAAGUUGGAGAAUUUUAAAUGUUCUUUGGCAGAAGAAUUACGAGCUGUACUACUUACCGAACGUUAGUACGCACCUCGAUGGGGGAAACUCUUUUCUUUUUGGCUUUUGGGACUGAUUGUUGGGGAAAAAUCAGGUUUUUAAAAUUUUUAUAAAACCUUUUGAAGAUCGCUCUCAUAUAAUAUAUAAGAAUUUGUAAUCUAGAAAUCGUACCUUGAAAAUCCGAUUUGGCUUUUUCCGUUGAAGUGAUUUAGGCUCCUAGAUCACGAUCCGCCACCACCACUCCUGUUAGAUCACGAUCCGUCACCACCACGCUUGUUAGAUUACGAACUGUCACCAAUGAUCUUCCAGGUUAUGACUCAGGUUCGAUCUGCACUUGACGUGUGGGCGCCUUUAUCACUACCAAAGCAACUAGCACGAGAAAAAUUUUCUCUCAACAAUAGAGAGAAAAAUCUUUUUCUCUGAUCUGUAUAAAGUGGCUACCCUAUUUUCUUUCGAGAAAAUAAGCCUUUUAUAUCACCCUUUAGUGAAAACCCUAGGCUCCAAAUAAUCAAAAAACAAAAACUCACGCUUUUUCUAUAGGUGACCCACCUUGUAAAAUAACAUAAGGCCCCUUACACAAAAGCUAAUUAAAUGGAGCCUCCCACUAAAUGAUAUAUUUAGGCUUUUGACCCAAAUAGCUAGUUAUCUUACUUAUUAGUCCAGUAGUGGUGCAGUCAAUUAAAUGAGCUAACCUAGGGAUCAUUUGGGAACAUACAAUAGUGGCUACAAUAAUUAGGCCUGUAAUUAAACUAGCCCAAUUAUUUAAUUCCAAAUCUACUCCACUAAAAUAUUGGAACUGACUUCCAUAAUUGUAUGCUCGAAUAAUAAUUCGUCCCAAGCCACAUUGAUUUCUUUACUGCACAAUCGUUUGUACCACAUCGUUAAUUAAAUUGAUAUCUCAACUGUCCAAUCAAUUUAAUAACAUCUUAUUCCUUGAUCCUUACUGGUUUUCUCUAAUGAUCAUUUUCAACAUACUAAAUAUGUUGACACACUCUGACCAGAGAAUUCUAUGAUCAAGUGCCGAAAACCCAUCAAGAGAUGUGUUGUACAAAUUCUAUAUUGUUAAUCCAUAACUCCAAUACUCAUAAUUGCUCCCACCAAGAUACCGGGUAAUCUUGACCACAAGGAUGUGUCGUGCCCAUUGGUAACUCAAAUGGAAUAACAAUUACAAUCAUGAAAUCAUAAUUAACUCAAGAUUAAGAUUACAGUAAAAUCAAUGCCUAUGAGAUUUAAUAAGUCUGACAGUUAUUACAAAGUUAAUUAAACCUCAUAUGUGAUCCUGUUCAAUGUAGUCGUACUACAUCAAUAAAUUCAUACAUGAUUAAGACAAAUCAUUCAAUGAAUUUAUUACAGUCUAUACCUAAAUAAAGUGCCCAACUUUAUUUAUCAACUGCGAACUAAAUUUAUUUAAUCAUAAGAUAACUUGUAUUUAUGUCUUAUGUGAAUCCACAUGCUGAUUGUUGAGUGAUAGAAAAUGUAUAUUUAUAAAGGAGAAAAUCGUUAUUUUACACUUCAAGUUUUACUAACACCCUUACUUUUAUGUAUUUAACCUUCUUUUGAUUUAAUUCCGUGUGUUUUAUUUUAAUUAAGUAUUUUAUGUAUUUUAGGGGCAUCAUAGUCAUUUCACAAUGAACGAGAGAUCAGACGGCAAAACAGACAUCAAUUUUGAACUCAGGACGGUCGAAAACCUUAGAAGGAGCAUAAAAGGAAAAAUGGCACUGUUCACAUGUACGGUACUGUCUACGUUACUGUUCACGACACUGUUCAUAUAGAAAGAUCGAUGAUGUGGCAUUGACCGAUGAGGUGUCACAAUCCUGUUGGACUAAAAUUCUUAUGCACUGUUGAUCGAUGACGUGGCAGCAUAUCAGUGGACCAGAAAUAUCGCGUACGGUACAUGCAUUACACAGGAUUAUUUUCAACCAAACCGCGUUACUGUUCAAGCCGGGUCAAACCGUGUUACUGUUCACCCGCGUGGUCAAACCGCGUACUGUUGACUGAUGACGUGGCGCAAUCCUGAGCGUCCAAACUGUUUUUAAUCCGAUGGCUAUGAUUUACUCCAUGUAUCUAUAAAAAGGGGGCCUCCCCCCCCUAAUUUUAUAUCUCUGAAUCCAUUUUUGGACUCCAUUUUCUGUAAUUCAUUCUCUAUCUUGUAUUUUCUACGUAUUUUAAUAAAUUUCCAUUUUGCCCCUAGUUCAAUUAUGAGUGGCUAAUUUUCUUUCAAGCUUGGGUUGAAGGUGAAGUCUUAACAUGUGUCAUGGGCUUUAUUUGGUAAAUUUAUUUUCUCUUCCCCUCUAGUUUUUGUGGAUGUUUUGACUUCUCGUCGACAAAUAAUAAUAAUCUUGUCUAGUACCGCCCUGGUUUCACCGGCUCCCUAGUACAAGGUUAUUAUUAUUUGGCACGAUAAGCCCUUAGCACCAUAUUGAUUAGAGUGUGGUUCAUGAGGUGUGGAUUCCCCCCUCAUGAUUUAAUUGGUAUUAAUAAGGAAUAUUUAGCCCAUGAUGCAUGUUGAUAUGGAUCCAGAUACCCAAGUAUGUCAUUUUAAUAGAUUUCUAUUCAAUUUAUUCUCGCCAUUUAAAUUCCAAUUUUAGGAUAAUCCAAAUCAUUUUCACCACAAAUCCAACCACCUUCAUACAAAAUUAAUUCUACAUAUAAUUAAAAUCCACUUCCUCGUGGGAUCGACACUCGUCACCAUUGAUCUAUACUACAAUAGAUUCGUGCACUUGCGAGUUCAAUAAAAUUUGCACAACAAGUUUUUGGCGCCGUUGCGGGGGAGGUAAGUUAUUUUAAUUUGUAGAAUUAAUUUUUGUGAAUAAUUUCUUUUAUUUGUUUUCUUGUAUUUUUUUUUCUUAUUAAAAAAAAGAAAAAAAGUGAAUCUAUAUUUAGAGGUAAUAAUUUCUUUUAUUUCUCUAUUCUUUACAAUUCUGCAAUUUAAUUUUUAAGUUAUUUUUCUUUGUAAUUUUUUUUAUUAAUUUAUUUUCACGUAUUUUUUUAGUGUGUUUUUAUAGUAAGGUUGUAAUAGCGCAAUAAGGUUAGUAUCGUAAUUUCUCCCUCUUCUUUAUUUUUAUUUGUUUUGUUCCCAUCUUUAUUUUUAUUUUAUUUGUUUUGCAUGCAUGGUCGUAGGUCAUUAUUACCUAAUCUUGAACUUAUAGACCUUGAACUAGAAAAAACACUUCGCGCACACAAGCACGUUAAAAAUAAAUUUGGAAUGGAUUUACAAGCACCACAGGAGAGGCCAUUUAAGGACUAUUUUAGUCCUUCAGCUAACUUGAGCACAUCAUGUAUAAGAUACCCAAAUAUAGCUGCUAGGAGCUUUGAACUAAAAUCUAGUGUGCUAAAUUGUCUCCCCACAUUCUAUGGCUUAGAAAAUGAGGACCCAUAUAAUCAUCUGAAUGAUUUUCAUGCUAUUUGUCAAACAUUUAAAUAUGAGAAUUUUUCAGACGAUGAUAUUAAACUCAUAUUAUUCCCAUUUUCUUUAAAGGAUAGAGCUCGUUCAUGGUUAAAUACUUUGCCUGCUAAUAGCAUUACAUCAUGGGAACAAAUGGUAACUAAAUUUUUGAAUAAAUAUUUCCCAGUGCAUAAAACCAAUGCUAUUCGCAGGGAAAUUUCAGAGUUUACACAGAGAGAAGACGAGCAAUUUUUUGAAACAUGGGAGCGAUUCAAUGGGCUACUCUUGAAGUGUCCACAUCAUGGGUACGAGAAAUGGCACUAAUGCCAAUACUUUUUGGAGGGAUUAUUGCCGAAUGUACAAGAAUGGCUAAUGGCAACAAGUGGAGGAGAGUUAAUGUCAAAAAGUGCAUCAGAGAUUUGGGAAUUCUUCUAGUGACAAGCGGAUAAUUCCCAACAACGAAGUCGAUCGCUUAGGAAUACUAAAAGAAUUAAGGGAGUAAAUGAGGUUCACAUUGGCGAGUCAAGUUCAGAAAUUAAAGAAGUCAAAGCGAUAAUUGAAGGUCUCUCUCGAUAAAUAGCAUCGUUAUCGACUGCUAAAUCAACAGAGUCAUAUGACCAUGACUCAUGCUCAGAUCAAGCUAAUGCCAUAGGUGUAAUGAGAAAACCAUCAAAUUACAACCCAUACUCCAACACAUAUAACCCUGGAUGGAGAGACCACCCCAAUUUUUUAUGGUCUCAAGGAUUCCAACAGAAUGGACCAGCAACUCCAGCUCCACCAAUGCAACAAAUUCCUCAAGCCUCUCAGCCACCAUUUAGACCACACAAUCAAAACCAGAACUACUCUCAACCCAGACCAUGAGAGGAUGCAUUCCAGAAUUUCAAGAAUGUUACUCACUCCACGAUUGAGCAACAGAACCGCACCAUUGAUGGACUACGAAAUGAGUUGAGAGCAGGCUUCAACUCACAAGCCCAAUCAGUUUCAAGCCUUGAGAAGAUGGUGGGACAACUUGCUUCUUCAGUUCAGACUUUGGCAAUGACAAUUGAGAAAGGUAAAUUUCCAAGCCAACAAGUGUCUAAUCCUAAAGGAGUACAUGAAGCAAGUAUCAGUUCACCACAGCAGCAUGGAGAGGUCAAAGCUGUCAUGACCUUGCGAAAAGGAAAAGAAGUCGACAACAAACUGGAGAUGCCGGUGACAAAAGAAAAUCAAAUUGUACCUGUAAAUACUGAGGACUCAUCACCGGAGGAGAAAGAAGAAACCAACCCACGAGAAUAUGUUCCCAAAGCUCCAUUUCCUCAGAGGUUAACUAAAGGAAAGAAGGGAAAUCCACAGGUGAGAUUCUUGAAAUCUUCAAACAGGUAAGUGUUAACAUCCCUUUACUUGAUGCUAUAAAGCAAGCUCCAUCUUAUGCCAAGUUUCUUAAAGACCUUUGUACUAAAAAGAGAAAUAUUCAUGGUCAAAAGAAGACAUUUUUAAUAGAAAACGUUAGUUCUAUACUCCAACAUAAAAUUCCUCUAAAAUGCAAAGACCUAGGCUCCCACACUAUCUCAUGUAGCAUAGGGAACCACACAAUUGAGAAUGCUUUGUUGGAUUUAGGAGCUAGUGUAAAUCUGUUGCUUUACUCAGUAUUUUUGAAACUUGGACUUGGAGAAUUACACCCAACUUCAGUGGUGUUACAGCUUGCAGAUCGGUCCACGAAAAUACCUCGUGGUAUUGUGGAGGACGUGCUUAUCCAGGUAGACAAGUUUUAUUUUCCGGUUGAUUUUAUUGUAAUUGACACUCAACCAAUACAGGAUUCAAGGAAGCACAUCCUCAUUAUCCUCGGCCGACCUUUCUUGGCAACUGCGGAUGCUCACAUUCAAUGCAGAACUGAAAAUAUGCAGUUGUCCUUCGGCAACAUGACUAUGGAACUGAACAUCUUCAACAUUGCCAAACAACCUCAUAAUGCAGAUGAUGAAAUUGUUGAUGUGGAUUUAAUUGAAGCAUUAGUUGAUGACACUUUUCUUUCAAACCUUAGUGAUGAUCCUUUACAAACAUGCUGAACUCACUUUGGUUUGGAUUUUGAUAUUUACAGAUCAGUCGAUGAGGUCAACUCCCUGCUUGACUCAGCACCAUCCAUGGACACUAAUAAAUGGAAGUCAAGAGUUGAAUAACUAGAACCAUCAGAAAAGAAACUUAUCCCAUCAUCAGAAUCACCACCGAAACUCGAGCUCAAACCAUUACCCAACACUUUGGAAUAUGCAUUUUUGGGAGAAGAAAGUACUCUACCGGUAAUCAUCUCAUCAUCCUUAAAUGACGAACAAAAAGGUAAGUUGUUGGAUAUUUUCAAAGAGCACAAAGGAGCAUUAGGAUGGAUUAUAGUAGACAUCAAAGGUAUAAACCCAGUAGACUGCAUGCAUUACAUUCACCUCGAUGAAAAUGCUAAAUCUACUAGGGAAAUGCAACGUCGGUUAAAUCCUAAUAUGAAAGAAGUUGUUAGAACUGAAGUCCUUAAGCUAUUAGACGCAGGUAUCAUUUACCCAAUUUCUGAUAGUUCAUGGGUCAGUCAUGUACAAGUUGUCCCUAAAAAGUCAGGAGUCACAGUAGUUACCAAUGCUGAUAAUGAAUUGAUACUAACUAGAGUAACUACAGGAUGGCGUGUAUGCAUUGAUUAUAGAAAAUUGAAUUUUGUCACACGUAAAGACCAUUUUCCUUUACCAUUUAUUGAUCAAAUGCUUGAUAGAUUAAUAGGCCAUGAAUUUUAUUGCUUUCUAGAUGGCUACUCAGGAUAUGAUCAGAUUUCCAUAGCAUCAAAAGAUCAAGAGAAAACCACUUUCACUUGCCCUUUUGGCACUUUUGCAUAUAGGAGGAUGCCAUUUGGAUUAUGUAAUGCACUUGCUACAUUUCAACGAUGCAUGUUGAGCAUUUUUUCUGAUAUGGUUGAACGAUUCCUUAAAGUCUUUAUGGAUGAUUUUUCUGUCUUUGGUGACUCGUUUGAUCAAUGUUUACAUCAUCUAACAUUAGUUCUGCAGAGAUGUGUCAAGAAGAACUUAGUCUUAAAUUGGGAGAAGUGUCAUUUUAUGGUAAAACAAGGUAUUGUUCUCGGUCACAUCAUUUCAAGCAAAGGUAUUGAGGUUGACAAAGCCAAUGUGGAUCUCAUUUUUAAUCUUCCUCCACCCAAAACAGUCAGAGAAGUAAGAUCUUUCCUUGGGCAUGCUGGUUUCUAUAGACGUUUCAUUAAAGAUUUUAGCAAAGUUUCUAGACCCUUAUGUAAUUUACUUGCUAAGGAUGUACCAUUUAUCUUUAAUGAUUCAUGUCUUGUGGCUUUUGAAAAAUUAAAGCAAUCGUUGACAUCAUCACCCAUCAUUCAGCCCCCAAACUAGAGCUUACCAUUCGAGCUUAUGUGUGAUGCAUUCGAUUAUGCAGUAGGAGCAGUAUUAGGACAAAGAGUUGAUCGAAUUCCCCAUGUUAUUUACUAUGCUAGUAUGACAUUGAAUGAUGCACAGUUGAACUAUUCAACUACUGAAAAAAAAUGCUAGCAGUAGUGUUUGCAUUGGAAAAAUUUCGAUCUUAUCUCAUUGGUUGUAAAAUAAUUAUAUUCACAGAUCAUGCUGCUAUUAAAUAUCUUCUCACAAAGAAAGAUGCAAAAGCUAGACUAAUUCGUUGGGUGUUACUUUUGCAGGAGUUCGACUUGGAAUUUAAAGAUAAGAAAGGCACAGAGAAUGCUGUAGCUGACCAUCUCUCUCGUCUCCAUUUUGACACAAUUAUGGAAUCAUUACCAUUGAAUGAGUCAUUCCCAAAUGAACAAUUGAUGAGUGUGGAAGUAUUACCAUAGUAUGCUGAUAUCGUUAAUUAUCUUGUUACAGGUCAACUUCCAGAGCAUUGGACCAAGCAAGACAAGGCUAAAUUCUUUGCGGAAAUAAAGAAUUUCUUUUGUGAUGACCCGUAUUUGUUCAAGUAUUGUGCAGAUCAAAUUGUUAGACGAUGUGUCCUAGAAAGUGAAAUUCAAAAUAUCCUUUCAUUCUGUCAUGAACAAGCUUGUGGAGGCCAUUUCAGUGCUAAGAAGACAGCUACUAAAGUUUUACAAUGUGGUUUCUAUUGGCCAACUAUAUUUCGAGACGCUUACACUUUCUGUUCUUUAUGUGAUAGGUGUCAACGAAUAGGGAGCAUUACACGAAGGAACAUGAUGCCACUAAAUUCAAUUUUAGUGGUUGAGAUUUUUGACGUAUGGGUUAUCGACUUCAUGGGACCCUUUCCCCCUUCUUUUGGCCAUCAAUACAUAUUGGUUGCUGUUGACUAUGUAUCAAAAUGGGUAGAAGCAAUUCCAUGUAGAACCAAUGAUCAUAAAGUGGUGAUAGGAUUUUUGAAAAGUAAUAUUGUUUCACGCUUUGGAUUCCCUCGAGCAAUAAUCAGUGAUGGUGGUGCCCACUUUUGUAACAAAGCAUUCAAAGCUCUUUUGACAAAGUAUUCAAUCACUCAAAAAGUGGCAACCCCAUAUCAUCCGCAAACCAGUGGCCAAGUUGAGAUCUCCAAUCGAGAAAUAAAGCACAUAUUAGAAAAGAUGGUGAGGCCGGACAGAAAAUAUUGGUCAUUAAGACUUGAUGAUGCAUUAUGGGCAUAUAGAACAACGGCUUUCAAGACCCCGAUUGGGAUGUCACCCUACAGGCUAGUGUAUGGAAAAGCUUGCCACCUAUCUGCAGAACUCGAGCAUCGUGCAUAUUGGGCUAUCAAGAAAUUCAACUUUGACAUGCAGCAAGCCAGCUCAGAAAGAAGAUUACAGCUGGGAGAAAUUGAAGAAAUUCGCAAUGAUGCAUACGAAAAUGCCAAGAUUUACAAGCAACGAAUGAAAGUCUUCCAUGACAAGCAAAUUAUGAGAAAAUCUUUCACUCCAGGUUAGAAAGUGCUUUUAUUCAAUUCUCGCUUGCACCUAUUCCCAGGUAAGUUACGCUCUCGAUUGUCUGGCCUCUUUAUUGUUCAUACUAUUUUUCCACAUAGGGCAAUUAAAAUAAAAGACCCAAAGAACGGUGUUACGUUUAAAGUUAAUGGUCAAAGAUUAAACCCAUAUCUAGAGUACCAACCACAUGGAGAAGACACCGAAAUAAAUUUGAGUGACCCACUAGAUUUGAAUUGAUUUUUUUUUCUUUUCGGUGAUUUGAUUUUUUUUCUUUCUUUUUAUUAUUUUUUAUUUGCUAAUUGAAAUUAUUUUUGUAAAAGUGUGUUUGUUUAACCAUUAAGUUUUUUUUCUUAUCAUUGUUAAUCAUGAGUACCAUGCUUAAACCGUUCCUCCUGAACAUUCUUAAACCACUUCAACGUGUAAAAUCUCAUCUCAAAAGGCAGAUUCAAUUUUGUAAAACACAUCGCAUUUGGGCUCUGCAACCACCAGAGUUAGUAUCCUAUGUUAAGGGUUUAGAAAGCCAACUCAGAGACAUUGAGAGAAGUGUUUAUGACAUCCAGUUGGAGCUUGAGGUAAAUUCAAUAAGAGGACGAUUUUAAUUUUCUUUGUGUGUUUUAAUUUGUUUUUCUGUUUGUGUGCUUUAGUUUGUUACCCCGGUGAAGUGACGGAUAACGGUACUCCGUGACAAUCAAGUCGGUUACUUCAGUUUCCCAUAAUAACUGAUAUUCUGAGGCGAAGGUAUGGACAGAAACGAGAUUCUAGCGAAACUUCACAAGCGAUUCCCUUCACUUCCUCAGAAUGCCCUCCUUACAAUCUAUAAAGCCCGGUUCGAACGCAUGUGAUUGCUCAUAAGGAAUAACAUACCUGCUGACAUCCGUUGGUUAAUCGAGGCUAAAGUAUGAUUGGCAGGUGAGUUACCUCCAAAAUUUAUUGCAUACAUGCCUGAUUGUGGUAAAGGAAAUUAUGCAAGAAAACAACGAGCUCGAAGAAUUUCUAUUGCUUUUCAUAAGUGUGCCAGAAUGAGUUGCGAUAAAAACCCAUGUUCUUUAGGAAUGGUGUCUGAUAACAAGGAAGAUAAGAUUCAAUUCAUUAGGGAUGGCUUGAAUAAGGAGUCAUUGGAUGAUAUCCUUCUGUCUCUUGAAACGCAUCCCAGUGGAUAUGUGCAAGGAGCGAUUCUCCAGUUAUGGCCAUUAUUCCAGAAAGAGCAUGCACGAUAUAGUCUCGGGAAUCUGACUAUAAACGAUCUUGUUUGCCAGUUUAUAAGAAAACUGGAUGGGAAGCCCAUCCUCGACCCAUAGAGGGCGUUCAAGCCGUUUCUGGACGUAAAACCAGAGGAAGAUAUAAGCCACAGUCGCAACUACCUAUAAAUAUCCUUUUACUUCACUGCUAUUUUAUUUCACUGUUGUUUUAUCUUUUCCAUUAUUGUCAUUAAUAAUUUUAUUUGACCAUUGUUUCUUUUUCUUUUUACUGUUUUCUUUUUGACUCGCGAGCCAUGUGCUUUACGCGUUAUUUGACACUGACAUGCCAUCUCAUACACAGUUGUGACCCACUGUCACCAAGAUUCUUAAAUAAGACUUUUUGUUAAGCACUCACAAAUUGUUUUUGAGAAAUAUUCCAAUGGCAGUUACUCCCAAUAGACAAUUCAAGAACAUUUGUGUGCUUUCUGGAUUUAACUAUGGCAAACAUAAAGAGUUCGUUGAGGCAGCCGUAGAUCUUGGUCGAAGCAUAGCAGAGAGAAAAUUACACUUGGUGUAUGGAGGAGGUAACCGAAGGUUAUCAAAAUUGGUUUCAGAAGCUGCUUUUGUCAGAGGAAGCCAAGUGUUAGGCAUCAUCCCAAGAGUCUUAAAACCUUUGGGCAGUUUGUCUGACUCACCGACUGGAGAAGAGUUAGUCGUCUCAGGUAUGCAAGAAAGAAUAACUGAAAUGCUUAAUCAUGCUGAUGCUUUUAUUUUCCUUCCAGGAGAUCGUGCAACACUAGAGGCACUUAUCACACUAGCAUCUUGGGCCCAUCUGCACAUUCACCAGAAACCCAUUGGUUUGUUAAAUGUCAAUAAUUUUUAUGAUGGCUUUAUCGCAUUUCUUAACCAUGCAAUAAAAAACUAUUUCGUUCAUUCCAAUGCCAAAAAGCUUUUUAUUUGUGCUCACACUGCUAAUGAGCUACUUGAUAUGUUACAAGCUUAUAGAUCGGAGCCAAACCCCUGGACCUUUGUGUUAGAGCGUCCAAAUAAUGAUGGUAACAGUAGCCGCAGUAAGAAGUACAAAUUAGAUUUAACUCUCCACUUGUAAAUAUUUUCUUCUGUGUUGCACCACCCAGGUGAUGUCUUCUAAACUCUACUUCUUUCCUUUCAAACAUUGAGGACAAUGUUUCGUUCUGGUUGGGGGGAGGGAAUAGUCGACAAUUGUGGAAUCUUGGUUAAGUUUUUACUAAUUUUUUGUUGUAGAAACUAACUGUUGCUAACUUUUUGUGUUGAAGAUGGCUGAAUAUGGAGUGUAGUGACUCUAGAAACGCAUUUUCAUCGUUUGAAAAAAAAAUUCAAAAAAAAUUCAAAAAAUUCAGACAUUUUCUUUUUCUUUAUUAAGUUUUGAUGUUCAUUUUUCUUCUUCUUUUUUAAUUUCUUCUUUAUAAAUAUACAUUUUUAAAUAUUUGAGUCGAAGAUGGCUGAAUUGGAGUAUAGUGCUUCUAGAAACGCAUCUUCUUAGUUAAAAAUAAAAAAUUAAAAAAAAACAUUUCUUUUUCUAUCAUUUUAAAUGUAACUUUUCUAAUUAAUUUUUCUGCAUCAUUUUCACAUUUCUGCAUACAUAUUUUCCUUUCAUGUUUAAAAUAUGUUGGGGGGUAGAAUGUUGUUUUAAAAUAAAAAUUGUGUGAUUUGUUUUAACAUUGGAUGACAUGAUUCAUUUCAAAUUUUAAUAUUUGUAUUAUCUUUGGUCUUAAGUGAUGUUACACUAUGUUUGCUACUCUACAUGUUGAUGUCGAAGACAAAUAUAAGUUGCUUGAAGGAAUGAACAUGUCAUAAUAAGUACCAAGUGAGUUUUUGAGCCUAUCCUUUUUCUUGGAGAGUAACCCUUUUGCCCAUUCUUUAUACAGCUUAGCAGUUUAUUAUUGUAUACACGAUCUCUAGAUUUCUUUUGAGUUAACCCUUAAAAAAAAAAAAAUGUGUGUUACUACAUUUGGAGGCCCAUCUAACUAGUAGAUAUGGAAGGUUAUUUAGAACCCUAAAAGACGAUGAAAAGGCCAUCUUUGAUCCGUUUGAGCCUUUCUAGCCAUCCAUUUUAUCAAAUAUCCAUAGUUAACCAUUUUGAGCCUUAAAAAAAAAAAAACUUUUCUUUGUCAAACUUAUCAUCUUGACCCACUCCGAUUUGGAGUAUUACCCAAUAUCUUACAAGUUCCAUCACCUAUUUAUGUUUGAGAAAAAUGUAAAUAAAUAUUUUGUAUAGUGAAGUAAUGCUAAAAAAAAUUGUUAUUUUAAAAAAAAGAAGAUGAAGAAAAAAAAAUAACAAUAAUAGGUGAAAUCCACCUUGCAACUUCCAAAAAAAAAAAAUUCCUCUGUAUUUUUCUCAAACAUACACUUCGUUUUCCUUAUUUUCCUUCUUUGUUAACCAUGUCCCUAGCCUACGUUACGUCCUAAUAAAAGUCCUUCUUGAUUUAGGGAACUAUAGUCUGAAGUAGAAGCUAGUUAUAUGGGCUAAAAAAAUAUAGUGGUGCAUAAAAAAAAUAAUAAUAAUAAAUAAAUUGGGUUGACUAGCAUUUUUAUUUGACUUGAGAUCGUAUUAUUUCUAAGCUGAGGGCAUAUUUCUUUCAUCUUGGUGAGAGCAUGUGAUAUCAUUUUUUUUUAUUAUUUUCUCUUAAUUACCAUUCAUUGGAGUGACUAUUUUUAUUGGGUUUAAUUUCUUUGUGAGAGUGUCACUACUUCCAGUGAGAUUUUGGGGUUUGACAUGUCAUUCUUGAAGGUAGCUAUGACAAAGUCUACUAGGCUGAUUCAUGUGGAUGGUUGAUGUGGGUGUGAUGUUUCUUUAGACUUGAGAUAAUGCUUAUACUUUUAUUUGAUUGUUAUCAUUAGUCUGAUUGAAUAAACAAGAGUGUUUAAAAAAAAAAUCAUUUUGGAUGUGAAUUUUGUUUUCGCUUUAUUUGCUAGGGACUAGCAAUAAGCUGGUUGGGGGUGUGUUGAGUGUUAGAAAAUGUAUAUUUAUAAAGGAGAAAAUCGUCAUUUUACACUUCAAGUUUUACUAACACCCUUACUUUUAUGUAUUUAACCUUCUUUUGAUUUAAUUCCGUGUGUUUUAUUUUAAUUAAGUAUUUUAUGUAUUUUAGGGGCAUCAUAGUCAUUUCACAAUGAACGAGAGGUCAGACGGCAAAACAGACAUCAAUUUUGAACUCAGGACGGUCGAAAACCUUAGGAGGAGCAUAAAAGGAAAAAUGGCAUUGUUUACAUGUACGGUACUAUUCACAUGUGCGGUACUGUCUACGUUACUGUUCACGACACUGUUCAUAUAGACGGAUCGAUGAUGUGGCAUUGACCGAUGAUGUGGCAUUGAAUGAUGAGGUGUCACGAUCCUGUUGGACUAAAAUUCUUAUGCACUGUUGAUCGAUGACGUGGCAGCAUAUCAGUGGACUAGAAAUCUCGCGUACGGUACGUGCAUUACACAGGAUUAUUUUCAACCAAACCGUGUUACUAUUCAAGCCGGGUCAAACCGUGUUACUGUUCACCCACGUGGUCAAACCGCGUACUGUUGACUGAUGACAUGGCGCAAUCCUGAGCGUCCAAACUGUUUUUAAUCCGAUGGCCAUGAUUUACUCCAUGUAUCUAUAAAAAGGGGGCCUCCCCCCCUAAUUUGAUAUCUCUGAAUCCAUUUUUGGACUCCAUUUUCUGUAAUUCCUUCUCUAUCUUGUAUUUUCUACAUAUUUUAAUAAAUUCUCAUUUUGCCCCUAGUUCAAUUAUGAGUGGCUAAUUUUCUUUCAAGCUUGGGUUGAAGGUGAAGUCUCAACAUGUGUCAUGGGCUUUAUUUGGUAAAUUUAUUUUCUCUUCCCCUCUAGUUUUUGUGGAUGUUUUGACUUCUCGUCGACAAAUAAUAAUAAUCUUGUCUAGUACCGCCCUGGUUUCACCGGCUCCCUAGUACAAGGUUAUUAUUAUUUGGCACGAUAAGCCCUUAGCACCAUAUUGAUUAGAGUGUGGUUCAUGAGGUGUGGAUUCCCCCCUCAUGAUUUAAUUGGUAUUAAUAAGGAAUAUUUAGCCCAUGAUGCAUGUUGAUACGGAUCCAGAUACCCAAGUAUGUCAUUUUAAUAGAUUUCUAUUCAAUUUAUUCUCGCCAUUUAAAUUCCAAUUUUAGGAUAAUCCAAAUCAUUUUCACCACAAAUCCAACCACCUUCAUACAAAAUUAAUUCUACAUAUAAUUAAAAUCCACCUCCUCGUGGGAUCGACAUUCGUCACCAUUGAUCUAUACUACAAUAGAUUCGUGCACUUGCAAGUUCAAUAAAAUUUGCACAACAGUGAUCACAUAAAUACAUAUAAUAUGAUUAAAUAGACUUUAAUACAAAUAUUAAUGCAAUUAAGAUAUUUGAAUAAAAUAUCUCAUUUAUUUUAUUAAUCAGAAAAAUUAUUUAUUACAAUUAAAUAAACACAUAUGCUUUUAAAGAGCAUAUUUUCCCAACACUGAUACCGUGGCCCUAGUGGAGGUUGGGCUUAAUACACAAAGGAUCAUUUGGUACUAGCAGAAAGAAAAUCAGGAGCCCUUGGAGGUGGAUAGAGAUUUGAUUGAAGAAAAAAGAUAAAACGUAGCAGAAAGAUUAGUAGCCUACCAGAAAAUGAUCGCCAAGUAUUAAAACACCAGAGUUAAAAUACGAGGGUUUCAACCUGGACACCUAGUACUAAAGAAAGUAGAAACAAUAUGGGUAGAGGAAACCCUAGGCCCUAAUUGGGAAGGCCUAUACAUGGUUAUAAAGUAAGUAACUCCAGGAACGUAUAUUCUGGCGGAAAUAAAUGGAAAGCGGUUAACUCAAUCUAAGAAAGCAGAACAUCUUAGGCGUUACUAUGCGUAAGAACGGAACAAUUUUUUUUCCUUAUUUAUCACUUUUCUCUUAUGAUCUGCUUUUUGAAGAUGGUUAGUUGAGAAGUUGUCAAGUUUGAAAUGUUAGAUCUAAUAAGCUUGUAGUUGUUUACAUGUCGGCUUUGGACCCCAAAUUGAUACCGCUAAUAUUAGGUGGUCCACCACAAGCAAGAGGAAAAGUCUUUUAUGUUAUUGUCAGUUGUUUGUUAUUCAUGUCUUUGAACCCCACACUAGCAUUACAAACAUUAACUGGGCCAGUUCAAGCUAGGGGGAAGUCUGUCUUCAAAUUUUAUAAAAUAAAUGUUCAUGCACAUUUUGUCAUUUUUUGUAUGUUCAUACAAUUUCACACUUUACAUCAAAAUUUUACCAUAAGAUGUUGCAUGGUACCCCAGAACAAAAGCAAGCAGACAAGAUUCAAAACGCCUUACAAGGCAAGAAUAAUGUUGCCUUUGAGGCAUGAAAAAUACAGCCCUACAAGCCAAGAAAUCAAAACGCCUUACGAGGUAGGAAUAAUGCUGCUCUUGAGGCAUGAAAAAUACAGCCUACGAGGCAAGAAAUAAAAAAUGUCUUACGAAGCAUGAAUAAUGCUGCCCUUGAGGUAUAAAAAAUACAGCCCUACGGGACAAGAAAUCAAAAUGCCUUACAGGACAUGAAUUAUACUGCCCUAAUCGAGGCCGGAAUCAUAUGGCCAUAUCGAGGCCGGAAUCAUAUUGCCAUAAUCAAAGCAUGAAUUAUUCUACCUUAAUCAAGGUAGGAAUCAUUUUGCUCCAAUUAAGGCAUGAAUUAUACUGCACUAAUCAAGGCAGGAAUCAUAUUAUCCUAAUCAAGGCAUGUGUUGUGUAAAUUUUAUUGAACUCGCAAGUGUACGAAUCUAUUGUAAAAUAAAUCAACGGUGACGAGUGUCGAUCCAAUGAGGAGGUGAAUUUUAAUUGCGUGUAAAGUUAGGUUUCUAAGUGGGUGGUUGGAUUUGUGGUGACAGUGAUUUAGACUAUCCUAAAAUUUAAAUUAGAAUGACGGGAAUAAAUUAAAGUAAAAAUUAUUAAAAUGAAGCGUUUGUGUCUCUGGAUCUGCACUCAACAUGCACCAUGGGCUUAAUAUUCCUUAUUAAUGCCAAUAAAAUCAUGAGGGGGGUUUCCACUCCUCAUGAACCUUACUCAAAUAAAUAUGGUGCUAAGUGCUUAUCAUGCCAAAUAGUAAUAACAUUGCACUAGGGAGACAGUUAUACUAGUGCAAUAUCUAGAUAAGAUUAUUAUUAUUUGCUGAUGAAAAGUCAAAACAUCCACAAAAAUCAAAGGGGAAGAGAAAGUAAAUUUACCAAAUUAAGCCCAUGGAACUGUUAGCCUAAAGGGCUACACAUAAUGUAAUUUUGAUGAUAACAAAUAUGUGUAUUAAGUGAUUUAAUAAAUAUUAUAUUUCACAUUUUUACUAAUUUUUUAAGGGUAAUAUUUAUGCAAGUGAAUCAAGUGAAAUCAAGGUCAAGACACUCAAUGGACAACGGCGAAAUUAAGAAUAAAGUUUAGAGCUCAACGGACAAAUUAUUGUGAUAAAUUCUUGUAAAGCCGGUAUGAUUUAAUUGAUGCAUGAUUUAGCAUUUGAGAAGCUCAAGAGAUUUAUUUAAAUAAUUACUUUUCAUAAACUAAAAGGUUUUAUUUUUAUAAGGUAAAGUAUUUUGUGGAUUUGAGUAAUUUGGACUUAAAUGAAAAGUUUUGCAAUCUUUGAUUUUAAUAAGUAUUAUUUUGAAUUUCAAAGUUGGACCUUUUUGCAAACAUUUGAAAUGUUUUGGGCCAUACUAUAAUUUAUGAACAUUUUUUACUAAAGUGAAAGGUUUUGAGAACUUUGGAAAAUAUAGGUAUUAUGUUAAAUUUUAAGUCCAAAAGCCUUGAAAAAUAUGGAUAAUCUCUUGAUUGUAAAGGUUCAUUGACACCUUGAAAGUCAAUUGUAAGAACUUGAAGCUUUGGGAGGUUUGGAUAGUGAAAUCCUCGAGCUUGGUUGGCUUGGAGGCGUGGACGUAGGCGGAAAUUGCCGAACCACGUAAAAAUCCGUGUGUUUAUUUUUCUCUUCCCUUACUCUUUUAUUUUUAUGCUUGUUUGAAUUUAUUGUUUUCUAUUCCAUUAAGGCGUUAGAUUGAUUGGUUGUGCGAAUUGUAUUGCAUAAUUUUUAAAAACUCAAUUCACCCCCCUCUUGGGUUGCGUAACUUGCAUUUCAAGAACAUGUUGAGACUUUACUUUCAAUCCAAGCUUGAAAGAAAAUUAGCUACUCAUAAUUGAACUAGGGGUAAAAUAAAAAUUUAUUAAAAUACGUAGAAAAUACAAGAUAGAGAAGGAAUUGUAGAAAAUAGAGCUCAAAAAUGAAUUUAGGGGUGCCAAAUUAGGGGGGAGCCCCUUAUUUAUGAUACAAUGAGUAAAUCAUGGCCAUUGAAUUAAAACAAUUUGGACGCUUAGGAUUGCGACACGUGGUAAGUUCUGAUUGGAUAGAACACAUUAUCAAGGCUGUCAUUCCGUGUAUAUGCAUGUACUGUACGUAUGUUUUUCGGUCCACUUACAUACUGCCACGUCACGGUCAAUGCCAUAUCAGCAUUUUAGUCCAAUAGGAUCGUGACACAUCAUCGGUCAAUGCCACAUCAUCAGUUAACGCCACAUAAGCAGUCAAUGCCACAUCAUUCGUCCAAUCGAAUACUGCCACGUCAUCGGUCAGUGCCAUGUCAUCGAUCAGUGCCACAUCAUCGUAUUGUAUAUGUGAACAGUGUCGUGAACAGUACUAUGAACAAUACCGUACAUGUGAACAAUGUCAUUUAUCUUUUUAUGCUCCUUUUAAGGUUUUCGACUGUCCUGAGUUCAAAAUUGCUAUCCGUUUUGCUAUCUGAUCUCUCGUUCAUUAUGAAAUGAUCACGAUGCCCCCUAAAAUACAUAAAAUAUUAAUUAUAAUAAAACACACUUAAUUAAAUCAUAAAAGACUUAAAUACAUAAAAAUAGGAUGUUAGUGAGACUUAGAGUGUAAAAUGACGAUUUUCUCAUUUAUACAUAUACACUUUUUAGCACUCAACAGCAUGCAUUAUACUGCCUUAAUCAAGGCAGAAAUCAAGGUGUGAGUUAACCAGCCUUACGAGUCACGGAUUGAGCAAAUCUACAAGGCGCAAAAUAGACAGUCAUCUGAAACACGAAUUAAAUAACCCUCAGAGGCAUGAACUAUGUAAUUCUUCUAGGUGCGAAUUAUACCACCCUAUAAGACAUGAGUUACGCCACACUCUGAAUCGUGUUAAAAGAAACAGUACUACCAACCGUGAUCUGUUACGGCCUAAAUAGAAAGUAGGUAACCACAAAUUUUCACUAUCUGGCCGACAUGUAGAUAGUAAUGAGUUACUACUGUCUGGAUAAAAGAGUAGGCAAUCAUAGAUUAUUCCAAUUUUGACGCAUUAAUGGGCACAAGUUGCUCAUACAAGAAGAUAUGAAUAAUUAACAUUUGAAUGACCAUAUGAGUCAGUACGAAUCUCUACCACCUAAGCAUAAUUCACAGUCAGUUUAACAGCAGAGCAAGUAAACGCGAGUUAUUGCCACUUGAAUGAUUCCAGCUUACUUGGAGGAACAUCAAUUAUAGGGGUCAGAAAAUAACUCAUGCUAGACAAUGAAGCACAAGACGAAGGCAAAAACACCAUCAAAGUUAAAUAUAGGAAAUUGAAAACAGCCCAAAAAGAGAACAUUACAUGCCAAAAGUACCAGAUGGCAGUAAAGUAAUACAUAAAAUAUAAAAAAUUUAAAUAGAAUUAUUGAAUGUUCAAAGCACCAGUAAAGGAGGUUAAAUCGGCCUUAGCUAACUUUGGGAUAUCACUUGGGUAGAUAGCGGCCAAAGGGGGGAUGUUCAAAGAAGAUUCACCCCCUCUUCAUUUGUUUCUCUACUAACAGGUCUAGAAGUAAUAGCAGUAUCCACAGGAAAAGUGGGCUGAGGUGGAACAUGAGCUGGUUCGUCUUGCUGACCAGUUGGCUUAUCAUCACUAUCUCUAGCCAACUUGUCCUCUGGAGACAGGUCAAAGUCGUCCACUAGGGGAGUCUUAGAAUAAUAAUCAUCCAUGAACUUCAAAUCCCAUUUAGAGUGAUGGUCCUUCAUAACUUUCUUGCAAUCUCGACCCCAACAAAGAAUUCCACAUCUUUUACCUGCUUGAAUUCAGCCGAUUGGAGGUAAGCUUCGAUAUGGGUUUGAUAAUUGUUCUGAAGCUGUUGCCUCAAACAAGCUAUCUCUUCAUCCUUGUUCUUGAUCACCCCGCUACUGAUACUAUGCUCUAAUUUAAACGACUCAUGUACAGACUUGAAGGUUGAAAGUUUGGUCCUCAACUGGAUUAUUUCGCCUGCAACUUUGUUUUUCUCGUUCCUAGCUUUUGAGCAUUCAUUUUCUGAAUCACAAUACAGAUUGUAUAGCCAGGAGUGAAAGCAUUGAAUCCAAGAGUGUAAUUAUCAGGAGUAUAGCCAGAAGUAAAGGCAGGAUCUGAAUACACCACAUUUCCUUGAAAAGCAAAAUUUCUUGUCAUGUAGGUCCAAGACCUCUGCCAAACCAUUAAAUGAUCUGCCUCUGCCAUACUAUCGUUGUCUAAAACCUCCAUUGAAAUUUCCUCCGCCAUAGUUCUUUUAACGUACAAAGAAGAAUUAUAUGUGUUAUUGCACCUAUUUGCUCCAUGUUCAGGGAUGAGGUAUAUUUGACAGAGAAUGUCAACUGGCAUGAGAAUUUCCUCCACCAAUGAAUUUUCCAAAUCCAUUAUUAUUAAAUCCACCAUUUAAGCCACCAAAUUUGAAUUAUUGCCACCUCCAAAAUUACCUUCAAAAUUUCUCUGAACUCCACCACUGUUCUUUCCAGAAUAUGAACCUUUUUUAGCUACAUUUGCAGUCAUAUAAUGCAUAACAUCACUAGCAAUUUCACCUUUCAUUUGCUCAGUUCGAUUUUCAUGAUUCAGAAGUAUAGAAAUACAAAUCAUGUAAGGUGAUUGUUCCUUCUCUGGCUAGAACAACAGUUAUCAAAGAUUCAUAAUCAAAGAAGCCAAGGGCAAUCAACACAUGCAUAACAAAAUCAUUCAAUUCAAUUGGCUUUAAAGCUAAAGAUAGUGUGUCUGCUAUACGUUUGAUUUUAGUAAAGUAAUCAGCCAUAUUCAUAAGUCUUUUCUUAAUAGUCUAAAUUUGCAUUCUCAGAGUUUCGAACUUGAGAUUUCGAGAUAAACAUACUGUUAAGUGAUUCCCAAAGUUACUUUGAAAUUGCACAAUUGAUUACUAUUAAAAGCAAGCUUUGCUGAAUAGAUGACAUCGUCCAACUUAGAAAAAGUUGAUCAACUUUUAUCCACGCUGUAAGCACAGGAUUUACAGAUCUAGAUCCACUUUCAACUGAGGCUCUAGCUCCGUUACUGCUCUCAGGUCCGCUCUGGACAGUUUUGAUCUCCAUUAAUGAAGCCUUCUAAUCCAUUUCCUUUAAUUGAAGCUAAGACUUGUGUAUGCCACAUAAUGAAAUUAUUUUGAUCGAGUUCAGCAUGUGUAGCAAAGCUAUAAGAUGAACUAGUUUGAGUCAUGCUUACCAUUGUUGGCUCUGAUACCAUGUUAAAAUCUUAAGAAACUGUGUUUAGCAAGCAAGAAAACUAAAAAGAAUUGAAAGAAAAUUCAGAAUAGAAACUUGUAGAAGCUUCUCAUCAGAAUUGAUUAGAAUGAGAACAGCUUACAUUUAUAUAGCGUGCUAAAAUGAUUUGCUAUAAGUUGUUAAUAAUUUGUCAUACACAUGUGCAUUAAGCCAAACCAAUUAACUAACUAUGCCACAUCAACUAAGUGAGCUAUUUUGCUGCUGUUGAUCAUACAAUAAUAGCAUGUACUCCCUUCCUUUGCUCUUCACGUAUUAUCAGCUUCAUUUACAGGUUAUUAUUGUAAAAAAAAUAAUAAUAAAAAGGAUAGUGGCGUAAUAUAUUCAGCAACAAGGGUAACUUAAGGUAUCAUUUUAAAUAUAGAAACUAAACGGGCACUUAACUCAAAAUAUAGGACCAAGCUAGUAUUUAUCCUUGUUUCGUUUAAUAUCUCUGCCUCAUAAUAAAAGGCUAUGCUUUUAUUUGUAAUCUUCAUGAAAAAAUAACUUCAGUUUUUUAGCGAACUCAAACUUCAAAUUCUUUAGCACCAUCAAUUUUUUUUUCAUAACUAUAGAUUUUUCUUUUUCAUAUCAGUUGUAGUUUUUAAGUCACUCAUCUCAAUAUAAAAAAGGACCUUAGUUGAUGAUUGAAGAUAUUAAAAAAAAAACCAACCAAAAAUAUUAAAAGUGAUGAUAAUUAGGAGAAGAAAGGAGGGGAGGGAAUCGGCAUCCGGUUACUUAUUAUUAAUACUCUACUUAUGUACAUUCUCAUUCCCAUCAUAAUUCUUCAAAGGAGGGGAUGACGAUCCCCAAAUAAUAAAAGAGAAUCCCAUAGGGUACCUAAUUCCCAAAUAAUUGAUAUUUUUAUUUUCUUAUCUUAAUAUAAUCAUAUUAAAGUGAAAGUACAAAAUUGUAUUACCAUACAAAAGCAUCAAAAUAAACUAGUGCAACUUAAAUAAUUUCCAAUAAACUAAGUCAAUGUCAUCAACAUUACAAGAUAAUUUAUGAAAUUAAGCAAAAGCAAAUCUUCACAUUUGGAUACAUCCAUAAAAAUGAAAUUAUCUCUUGCAUUAACAUUUAUCCAUUAUAAAAGUCACAUGGUAUAAAUUAUCAACAAAAUUGUCUCUUAUAUAUGAAUAAAAUAAUUAUGGCAAAUUUCAGUCAAAUGUUUAUAUUAGCUCUUACUUACAUCAUUAUUAUAAACAUGUAUUUGUUAUUUACAUAUGUACUAUUAAAAUUUAAGUUUUAAAUGUAUUUAGAAAGAAAGACACCCACACCUCUGAAGUUUACUUAAAUGGUUAUGUAGACUCUCUUAGUUUUAUAAAUAAUCACAUAAACCCCUUUCUAACUAUUAUAGCCUUGGAUUUUAAUAAGAGAAAAAUUAACUUUAAAUAAAUAAAAAAUGUAAUAUUUAAAAUAAUAUAAUUUAUAAAAAAAUCAUAAAUUACAAACUAUUUUGAAUAUUAGACAGAAUUAUUUUAAUAUUUAAUAUUAAUAAAAUCUUUUUCACAAAUUAAUACUAUAAAAUAAUUGUGUUUAACAUUCAAAAUAACUUACAAAAUCUAUACCAUAUAUAUUCUUUAAAAUAUUUUUAUACUUUUGUCUAUAUUAACAUAAGUUUAAAGCUAUCUUUUGGAUUAAAUGAUUUAAGUACUAAUAAAAUCUAUGAUGAAAUAUUGACAAUAGCUUAAUACUAAAAGUCAUUUGCAUGAGAUAUAACUGUCGUUAUAUUAAUUAUAUUUGUUUUAAUAUUUUAAUUGUAUUUAUAUGCUAUUUUAUAUCUUGCUCUUACCUUAGAAUUGUAAUUAUAUUUAUCAUAAAAGUUUUGACUAUAAUCCAAGGGUAUAAACAUGAAAAAAAUAAUCUAUGUGACCAUUUAUAAAAUUAAAGGAGAUUUUGAUAUUAUUUAAGCAAACAUUUGAGGUGUCAAUGGCUUUUUCCUAAUGUAUUUCCUAAAAAUUUUAGGAAAAAUAAAAAAGGGAAAUAUGAAAAUUUCAAUGAAUCUCCCUUUUCUUUUUCAAAAAAGAUAUUAGGUCUUAAGUUAUUUUUUCCGUUUUUUAAAUAAAGCAUUAAAUAUAAAUCUAUAUCCAUAUCACCCCAAAAUACGAAAAUUCCUCAGGAAUUAUCGUUCCUAAACAAGAAUCUUUGCCAUCCCUAACUCUUAUGCACAAAGUUUAUGUUGCUACAAGAAGUCAAGAACGACUUCGAUGGGUCUACCGACAUUAUUAUAAAUGGACCCCGAUUACAUUUAAAGUCUUCGGCUUCUUUCCCAUUUUCUUCUUCUUUUUCAUAAACAUGUUUUCUAACCCUUGUUCGGUUACUUCACGAAUACGACUGUUUGUGAUAUUCAUUUUUAUGCUUACUUGAGUGCCGCCGGCCGCCGUGAGGAUGACAAUGCAAUCACAUGAGAAAUUUUUCCGAACGCAUGAAAAAUUAACACCUGUCAACAAAUCUUUUGUUACAUAAUAUUUGUAUUUAAUAUGCUAUAAAUAAUUUGAACAUCUAAUAGAAAUAAAUUAAGUUAUUAAUUAUAUUAAUUUAUGACCAAAUAAUGAGCAUGGCCUUUUUUGGUAAUUAUAUAAGUACACUGCACUUUUAUGAUUAAUUUACUAAACAAAUAUAAUAAAUUAUUUCAUAAUUGAUUGUCUCACCAUCUACAUUUUUCAAAAACCUUGGAAAAUUAUUUGUGUUUGAGGAAUUAAAUAGAGCGACCAUGAUCUCCUCCGAGUGAAAGUGAGCAAAUGGUUGAGCAGGUCACCUUGACCAUGUGGUAUGAGCUUGAGCAGAUCACCUCGACCAGGUACAAUGAGGUUGAGCAGAUCGCCUUGACCAGGUGGUGUGAGCUUGAGCAGAUGAGCAUGUGGUAUGAGCUUGAGCAAAUCACCUCGACCAGGUGCUAUGAGGUGGAGCAGAUCACCUCGACCAGGUGCUAUGAGGUGGAGCAGAUCACCUCGAUCAGGUGCUAUGAGCUCGAGCAGAUCACCUCAACCAUGUGCUAUGAGCUUGACCAGAUCACCUCGACCAGGUGGUCUAAACUUGAGCAGAUCACCUCGACCAGGUGAUGACCAGGAAUAAAGACUCAAUUAAAAUAAACCACCACAAAGAUCCUCCGAAAAAUCAGGGCACGAAUUUGAUCAAUUAAUGGUUAUUGGCACGAUCUAAGGUCGUGGGUGUGGGGUGUUUAUAAAAACCCCGAGAAAACCACGCCAAGGAGGCUCUUAAUUUCUCUUGAUCUGACAGAGAAAUUCUUUCUGGAUACUCGACUUUACUUUCCUGCAAAUUAGUCAAAAAGCUUUGGGUUUUAAAGCAAUGUUUAUUAAGCCAUAUGAGGAUGGGCAUAUUUGGUUUUUCCUAUAAACCCCAUAACUGACUUGAGCGUCGGAGGGUUUACGCCGGAAAAACUUCCGGCACCUCUGACCAUUCUCUGUAAUUUCAGGUACUUAUUGAUUGUCAGUUUGAAGAUUAUAUGCUCAUGAAUGUUCUGCUCAUAGUCAGAGAAUAUUCUCGGAGAUCAACCAUCAGCUUCCCACCAACAAAUUUAAUGCUGAUGCAGGGAUCUGAAACUGAGUCACUAACCAACUGGUUCAGAUUUCGGCAUCAACAAUUUGCAAAGUUGACUAUUUGAUCAAAAGUUCAAUUUUUUUAACAGAAAUUAAUGUUGGGAGUAUUUGAACUUAUUAAUUUUUUUUUUUAAACAAUCAAGAGAUACAUAUAUUACAAACUAAAUUCUAUUGGUAGUCUAGAUAGUUGUAUUUCUAACACACCCUAAAAAUCGGCCUAUUACUAAUUCCAUAUUGAAGAGAUAUAUAUUAUAUAUCCACUUUUAUUUGGAUAAGGAAAUGAGAUGCGUGAGGUCACCAUUGGGCUAUGUCAACCUUUGCUCCAAACAUUCACAAUUAUAUUUAGUAUUUUCUCGUGCUAGGUGAUUCAAUUACAUUGAAUUAUAUUAAUGUUGUCAUGUGUUUGGUGUAACGCGAGAUUGGUCAAGGUUUUAUAUAAAAUUUACAUUAUUAAAAUGAAAAUAAAUAGUUGGAUAUUGGUUUAAAUUUUAUUAUAGAAUUUAUAAAUAUUAUUACCAUGUAUUUUUUUCUGUCUUCUAAUUUAUCCCUUAAUUAAUAACAUAAGAGAUCUGUUAUUGAGAAAUUAUUAAUUAAUAUUAAUUUUCAUUCAAUAUUGCCCCCGUAGAUCGAAACAGCGUCAGUUAAGAGACUCUUUCGUUUAUGUUAGCGAUGAUCGAAGCUUCAUUUGAAAGAGAUGCUUUACGGAUUAUUUAGCUUAUGUCAUUAAUAAAUAUACAUGAUCAUAACUAAUUUCCAGCUUCUGGUGAAGUUAAAAUCGUUAUUUUUCCAUUUUGUGAUUCAAGCAUGUAUUUUUAAAAUUUUAUAAUUAAGUUUAAUAAAUUGAAUGGUAUGUGAGUAUCAUUUCAUUACAUUUACAUCUCUAUCUUUAAUUUUAAGGAAGCUAUAUUAGCUGAUAUUUCUAACAGACAAUCGAAUCUGUUCUAAAUAGAAAAAUAGAAAUCCUUUCAGCCAAAAAAAAAAAAAUUCCUCCUUUGAAUCUGGCGACAAAGGAUAACUUGUUUUUUUUUUUUUGCGAAAAAUUGUUCAAAACAAUAAGAGUAUAUCUUGUUUGUAAAGAGAGCACUCCUUUUUUUUUUUGAUAUUUCUAUCUGAUUUAACCAAUGAGUUAGAACGAAUGAACGAAUCAGUCACUACAAGGAUAUUGGUAUUUAGCAAUGAAAAUAUUUCUAUUGCUGUAAGUACUUUUUAGCAACGAAAAAAACUUUUGUCACUAAAUUCAUAAUAGAAAAAAUAAUAUUUAAUUAUCACUUUUAGUGAUGAAAGAUUCGUUGUCAAGGAGGACAUAUUGCGACCAAAAAUUUUGUUCAUCGCCAAAAAAUUAAGCGGUAAAAAAAAUGUUGAUGCCUAAACCUUUAGCGACCAAAAUUUGAUAUAUGACGAUGAAUAAUUUUCAUCGCUAAAUAUAGUUUUAGCGACGAAUAUAUUUCGUCGCUAAAACUCCUUGAUAUGCCAAAAAAAGUAUGUUUCAGCAACGAAACUAAAUUUCGUCGCUAAAAAUUGUUUUAGCGAUGAAAUCUAUUUAUUGCUAAAACUUUUUUAUAUGCAAAAAGAACAUGUUUCAAUAACAAAACUAAAUUUCGUAACUAAAGCUCUAUGAUAUGCCAAUAGAGCAUGUUUUAGCGACGACACUAAAUUUCGUAACUAAAUCUCUAUGAUAUGUCAAAAGAGUAUGUUUUUAGCAAUAAAAAUAAAUUUCAUUGUUAAAAAUAGUUUAUUUCGUCGCUAAAACUCUUUUAUAUGCUAAAAGACCAUAUUUUAGCGAGAAAAAUAAAUUUCAUUGAUAAAAAUAGUUUUGGCGACGAAAUCUAUUUGUCACUAAAACUCUUUGAUAUGCUGAAGAGCAUGUUUUAGGGACAAAAAUUAGAUUUCAGUGACGAAAUUUGUAUUGCGUCGCAAAAAAAAUGUGUAAAUUCAAAAAAAAAAUUUGACGGAUGACUUUUCACCAAAAUUUAAGACUUUUAGCGACAAAACUAAAUUUCGUGACUGCAUGUGUACUUUUAGAAACGAAAAUUAAGUUUUCUGGCUAAAUGUGCACUUUUAGCGAUGAAAUAUUCAUUUCAUCACUAAAAAUGUCAAAAUUUAAAAAUUUUUAGCGGGCUAUUUUCCGCCAAAGUUAAGUUUUAGCAAUGAAUUUUAAAAUUCGUUGCUAAAAACUCUUGUAGCCUAUUUACAUAUCAUUUACUUCAUUUCUUUCGUUAAUUCUUUCAUUCUCUCAUUCCCUUACUUUAAUUCUUUAGUUCUCUCGUCUCUAAAUAUGUAAUUUUUAUUUUCUAAUUUAAUCUCUACUUCUUUUCUCUUUUAUUUUUGAUGUGGUGUAAUUUUUUUUUUAUCUUAUUUAUUUCAACUUAUAUUAUUAUUAUAUUUGUGUUUAUUAUGUUAACUAACUAUUGUGUAUUUAUUUGUAGGGAAUAUUGAAGAUCAAUUACAUCAAGAUGAAGAAAAUUAAGAAAUUUAUAUUCAUUUGUAACAAUUUUCUUUCAAAAAAUAGAUAUUAAAUUUUGUAAUUAUUUUUGUAUUGUUCAUCAAUAAUAAUAAUUAUUUUUAAAAGUAAUUAAUUUUUUUUAUCACAAUGGUUAAUUGUCCUUAUAAUUUAGUAUUAAAAAUAAUAAUAUUUUAAAAAUAAUAAUAUUUUAAAAAUAAUAAUAAUACGAUGAAAUAGUUUUCGUAAUUAUUUUUCGUCGCUAAAAGUUCUUUUGCUGAUGAAAUAGAAUUUGUCGCUAAAAGAGCUUUCGCAUCGUUAAAAGAACUUUUUGCAACAAAAUAGAAUUCGUCCCUAAAAGAACUUUUGGCGAUGAAAUUUAAAAAUUCGACGCCAAAGAACUAACGCGAUCUCCUAUUGCGACGAAAUAGCGAUGAAAAUUUUUUCAUCUCUACAGCCUUUAGCAACGAAAAUGACAUAUUUUAGAGAUGAAAUUGUUCGUCGCUAAGACCUUUAUUUAUUGUAGUGAUUUUUUAUCGUCACUAAGACAUGAUUUUUUAAAGCGUCUGCUUUUAUGUUAUUUUAUAGGGUUCGAAUAGGAUGACGACUUCUAAAAUAUCAGUAUUAAUUUAUUAUUAGUUAGGUGAGAAAUAAGAUAUUUAAUUCUAUAAACUAUUGUACAACAAAUGAUUACAAGUAACGAUCAGUCAAGUCAAUGUGUGUGUGUGUGUAUACAUAUACAUAUACAUACACAUACAUACAUACAUACAGCUAGAAAAAUGUCUUAUUUGUUUUGUCAUUUUUAACUUUCCGGUCAAAUACGAUUGCACUUGGAAUCUCGGACCCACCAAAAAGUUUUCCAUUGAUAAGGACCGAUUGCAACUUACAGACAGAUACAAAAAAAUGUAAAUACAAUUCCAAGUCCUUUCUGAAGUUCUCGCCCUGUUCUAUACGUAAUUUAUGAAAUAUUCGUCGAUUCUACAUAACAAGUGGGCCUUAUCUGCUCGACUAAUUGCUCGUAUUUUUUGUUUUUACUGUUGUUCAUAUCUGCUAGUGGGGUUUUUCGAAAUCAUUGAUUUUUUUUUUCAUUUGAAAUUAAUAUCAAAACACAGCACCAUACUUUUUUCUGUGUAAUUUAGAACUAUCGCAUAAUGUUUUCUAUUCGGCCAUCGAUUAUUUAAUUGAUAACGGCCUAGCGGUCACGUGGCUAGAAAUUCUCUUCUUCUAUUUUAAUUAAAUUUCGUAUAUACUUCUCAUUUUUUGCGAGUAUAUUGAAGACCAAAAUAAUAAUAAUAAUAAUAAUAAUGUAUUACUUCCCAAAUUGCCUUCAUUAUAAUAUUUGGCCGCAAAACUAAUAAAACUGACAAAAAUUGCAAAGAAUAAAUAAAAAUUUAAAUUAAUUGAUAAUGGGAGAAUUACCAUUAAAAAAAAGAUUGAACUAUUUUUUAGGGCUUCUAACCCUUUUAUCUAAUACCGUUAAUAGAGGAUAAAGUUUUAGAUUUAGGGAUUCCCUUAAGGUGUGUUUGGCAUACCUCAAUACAUGGGAUUACAUUAGUUAAUGCAAUGCAAUCCCAUAUUUGGUAAAUCUUCCUAUUCACAUUAUGGUGUAUUACACAAUACACCAUAAUAUGAGGAGUGCCACAUUAAAAUAACUUGAGGGGGGUUGGAUUUGUGUAAUACGAUACUGUUCACAUUUGUUUUUUUUUAAUUUCUUUAAUUAAAAUAAUAAAAAAUAAAUAAAAAUGUAUAAUAUUUAAUUAAAUUAAAAACUCAAGUAUGUAGUCUGCCCGUGUGCAUAACUUCAUGUUUUGCACAAAAAUUUAGUACUAUUAACAUCCUUAUUGCUGAGGUUAAAAAAUAAUGCAAUUAUUCCCAGUACAGUAAUAAAAUUUGAAGACCAAAACUUUGACCGUACAUAUAUGACGAAUGAAAAUUUCUUUGUUGUAAUAUUUGUACCAUUGCAUAGCCCUGACAAUAAUGAUUCUAAUGAUAUCAAAAUAUAGUUCAAAUGACAGUAAAGUACGAUUGUCAACAGUGAAAAGCUUUUAUUUGAAUUAUAAAAGUUUAAAUUAUUAAUUAAAUAUAAGUAAUAAUAAAAUAUAAAUGAAUCUUAGAUUAGUAAUUUAAUAUAAAUAUGAAAAUAAAAAAAUAUUAUUUUAUAUAACAUAGUGCAUAUUAUAUCAAAUAUAGUAUCGCAUUACAGUUUAAUACAAUAUAAUGCAAUACAAUACAAUGUGUCAAAAACACGUUUAAAACAAAAUGUCACAACCACAAGAUUAUUUGGUAGGCCUACUUGUGUCAUCCUUAGUUUUUUUUUUUUUUUUGUGCCAAAUAGUAUAUUGGGAUUAAAUUUUAACAAAAUUAGUCUAUUCCACCAUCCUUAACUGCACCCAAACAUACCCCAAGGAUUAACUAUGAGAAAACUUUAAUAAAGACUUAUGGUACGUAUACUUGGAAUUGAAAUGGGCAGAAAUUGGAACGAGCUGUAAUCAGAAAAGACUGAAAUUGAUCACAUGAGGAAUGAGAAUUAAAAUAAAUUGUUUAUAUAAGCCAUAAGAAUCAAAACCAACAAUAUUACAACCGAUGUAUUUAAUUCUAUCUUGUAAUUCAAAUAAAUCAUUGCAAGUUAUAAAAAUACACCUAGUCAUGAUUAUGUAUUUUUCUAUUACAAAAUAAAUAAACAAAUAUUUUUAAAGAAAACAUAAGCAUAUUUAUUAUAAUAUUGAGCGUAAUACAAUGAUUUUUUUUAGUAAACUAGUUUUUAUUAUUAUUAUUAUUACUACUACUGCUAUUCAUGUUGCUAUUAUUAGUAUUAUCAUUGUUAUUAUUAUUUUUCUUUUAAUAAUCAUAUAUCUAUCCCUACCUAUUAAUAGGAGAGAAAUUAAAGCCCUAAUUUUCUAUUAAUUUAAUUCCUCUUAUUACUAGAACAGGAACCAAAGUUCUAACACUAACUUUUUGUUGUUUGUAGGACUGAAACCUACGCCCCUCAACUUUCAAAGCGUAAGUUCUCCCAUUAGAUUACAAAGCUGGCCUAUGUUAUUGUUAUUGUUACUAUUAAUACUAUUAUUAUUAUAAUUGAUUGUUGUUGUUAUUAAAUUAAUAUUAUUAAGAUUAUUUAAAUAUAUUAAAGGGAUAAGAUCGGAAUUUUAGAAAUUAAAUGAGAGUAAAAUGGUUAAUUAAAAGAACAAAUAUCUUAUUCCCAUCUCCCCAUGGGAAUGAGAUUCCCAUUCCCAUCUCUAAAUUUUAGUGGACCUCACAGAUUUUUUUCACAUUCUCAAAUACCAAAUAAGCAAAAAAAAACAAUGGAAUCAUUCCCGUUAGUUUAUUCCCAUUCGUCCACUCUUAUUUCCCAUUCCAAUACCAAGAAAUAAACAUGCCUUUAAUAGAAUAUUCAAAUAAAAAGAGAAGCCGGGCCCCCAGAACUGACGUCGAUCAAUUAUCUCUUCAGAGUUAGAAAUAUAUGUUAUUUGUUUUGUCAAUUUUUUUUUUUCCUUCCCAUAUGAUUACACUUGAAUCUUGGACCAGCAAAAAGUUUCCGUGGACAAGGACCCAUUGCAACUUAUAAUAGACAAAUACAAAACAAAAAAGUUAAUAUUUCUAGUCCUUUCCCUCGUUAUAGACAGCUGGCAAUGAUGAUGGUACCCCGGAUUUUUCUGAGAUUCUCACCCUGUUCUACACGUUCAUAAGUUUAUCAAUAAAGACUUAAGUAUAUUCUUGUUGCACAGUAUGACUAAUUUUCAAAUUUUAAUCUGAGAAACUGAAAUGAAGUGCCUUCCAGUCUUCAAUUUCUUUUACCUAUUGUCCUUCAUAUCAGUCAUUGAGUUGUCAUUUGGAGGUGAUACCAUUACCAUAGGACAAUCCAUCUCUGAUGGUGAGACAUUAGUCUCCUCUUCCCUAAGAUUUGAGCUAGGCUUCUUCUCUCCAGGCAAUUCGAACAACAGGUAUCUUGGAAUAUGGUACAAGAGUAGUCCGAGGACUGUUGUAUGGGUCGCAAACCGAUAUAAGCCCAUUACUGACAAGAACGGAGUUUUAACUCUGAGCAACAACGGAAGCAUUUUACUUCUCAACCAAGAAAGGAGCACUAUCUGGUCUUCAAAUUCGUCAAGAGUGCUAGAAACUGCAGUGGUGCGGCUCUUAGAUUCUGGAAAUCUUGUUCUCAGAGACAAUGUCAGCAGAAGUUCUGAUGAGUACAUGUGGCAGAGCUUUGAUUAUCCAUCAGACACGUUGUUGCCAGGCAUGAAGCUGGGAUGGAACUUAAGAACUCGUUUUGAGAGAUAUCUGACAGCAUGGAGAAAUGCUGACGAUCCAACCCCUGGAGAAUUCAGUUUCCGGUUCGACAUUAGUACAAUGGCUGAAUUGGUGACUGUCACGGGAUCAAAAAUAGAGGUGCGAAGCGGACCAUGGAAUGGUCAACAGUUUGUUGGCAUUCCAAUGUUUUUUCCCAGGUUAAAAAACAAGGUUUACAUACCAAUGUUGGUGCGUACAGAAGAUGAGGCAUAUUACACAUAUAAGCCUAUCAAUGACAAAGUAAUUCCAAGAUUAUACUUGGACCAAUCAGGAAAAUUGCAGCGCUUUGUAUGGAAUCAGACGAGCUCUGAAUGGCGUAUGUCGUACUCGUGGCCAUUUGAUGCAUGUGACAAUUAUGCACAGUGCGGUGCUAAUAGUAACUGCAGAAUUAGCAAAACACCUAUUUGUGAGUGUUUGGCGGGGUUUAUAUCCAAACCACAAGAUGACUGGGAUUCACCUUACUCUAGGAGAUGUGACAGGAAACCAUCAGACUGCCCGAGUGGAGAAGGGUUUCUAAAGCUUCAAAGAAUGAAACUACCUGAAAAUUAUUGGUCAAACAAAAGUAUGAAUCUCAAGGAAUGUGAGGCAGAGUGCAUUAGGAACUGUUCAUGCCGAGCUUAUGCAAAUUCAGAUAUUACCGGAGGAGGUAGUGGUUGUUUGGUGUGGUUUGGGGACCUGAUUGAUAUCAGAGAGUGUACGGAAGAAUUCAGCUGGGGACAGGAUAUUUUUAUUAGAGUACCAGCUGCAGAUUUAGGUAAGUGUUUUAAUUGAUGUACAGCAGCUUAUUUCAUUUUUAUUACUGUUUUAGAGUUCGCCCACAAGUCCCCUAGCCAGAAUGUGAAUUAAAAUUAGUAUUAGCUGAUUCCUAUACUCAAUAGUUUGUUUUUAGAAGGACCUCAGACUAAGAUUGACCUUGUAUGGCAAAACCAAAAUAGAAAAUGAAUAGACCAACAACAAACUGAUCUCUUUUCUUGACGUUUUAUGUUCUAGAAUCAACUCAAUAUUCAAGUAAGCACUCGAAUAAAAAGAAAAGAUUAAAGAUCAUAGUGGCAAUGUCAAUCAUCUCCGGUAUGUUGAUCCUGGGCCUUCUACUCGGCAUGGCAUGGAAGAAAGCAAAGAACAAAGGUAACAUAUUCCUCUGACCUUAUUAAUUUUUAUGAAAAAUUUGAUGGUCAUUCAAACUGCUGCUCUUUUAGCAGUGGUGCUUAUAGGGGGCUAUUAAAUUCAUAAAAGCAGGAGACAUGGGUAAAAUUUGCCCUAUUUGCAUUCAAAAAUUUAUAUUUGUUGAUACCAAAAUUUGGCUCGAUAGUAAGAGUUGAGAAAGAGUUAUUUUACUUGGUGAAUAGGCUAUGAGAAAGCUUGAUGUCCUAGGGAUUGUCAUUAUUGAGAGUGAAGAGCCCAGUGCUCGUAAUCCUAUAAAACAAUAACCCAUUAGGGAUUGUUGGGGUACUAUCAACGUACACCCUCCAAUGUUUAAGUCAGAGAUCGAAAAUAGAAAGAUAACAAAUAAAUAAUAUAAGAGAGAAAAGAAAUUAAGAGAAUGGCCUGGAGAAUAUUGUACCCCCUCCUUUAAUAUACCUAUUUCUCUAUAUCCCACCUUUGAGUGAUGCCCACUUUAUAUAAGAGAGAUAAUUAGAAGUAUAAUUAAGUUAGAAAAACUUUUCUUUUAUCUUGUAGGAUUGGAGUUUAGCAAGAAUUAGGACCUAUAUUUUUUAAUGCUGUUUAGAUUAGGAUAUGUUAUUAGAUGUGAGUCCUUGAGUUCGAGGCCCUUUCGUUAUGUCAUUAGGUAGAAUUUGGUAAAAAUAUAGGUAUAACAUGAAUCCCCAAAUUAUAGUAUUCACGAAUUUACAAGUGAAUGCUGUAAACUGAUAUAUUUUAUAGUAUGUUAGAUUUUCUUAUUGUCCCUUGUAUGAUAUAAAGACAUCUCAAGUGUUGUGAGGAAAUCUUGAACGACAUGAGUGAAUCUUAAAUAUGAUGAGGAAAAUCUCGAAUGACAUGAGAGAAACACGAAUGACACGAGGAAAUCUCGAGUGUCAUGAUGACAUCUUGAAUGGCAUGAGGACAAUAUGAAUGACUAGAGGAAAUCUCGAAUGCCAUAAGGAUAGCUUGAAUAACUUGAGGAGUUCUCACAAUAUGGGUCAUAAAACAAUUUGAAUGGCAUGAGGAUAAUAUGAAUGACAUGAGCAAAUCUCAAAUGUUAUUAGGAUAACUUGAAUGACAUGAGGAGAUUUUGAAUGUUACGAUAUGGGUCAUAAAAUUAAAAUAAUACUGCAAUAUGGAGGUAUAAAUUAAAAUAAUAUUGCCAUAAGCACCAUUAGAUUAAGAUAAUGCCACAAUAAAGGGCCAUAAUUAAUAUAAAAAUGAAGUCGUGAUAAGGGCCAUAAUUAAGAUACAAAUGAUGUUGUGAUAAGGGCCAUAACUAAGAAAAAAAUGAUGCCGCGGUAAGGGCUUGCAAAAUGUGCUGCGAUGAGGGCCAUAAUUAAAAUAAAAAUGAUACCGUAGUAAGUGCUUGCAAAUUAUGCUGCGAUAAAGGGCCAUAAUUAAAAUAAAAUGAUGCCGCUGUUGAUGCGAGAUUCUGGUUUUCUGCUCGUCCACGACCAGGAUCUCUCCUCAACUAACUCGUUCACGACCAGGAUCUCUCUUCGUAAGACUUCCUCUCCGCAAACUCCUGUGUACACAAAGACAGGUCAGAGCACGCCGGGUGUUUUCCCGGCGUAAACCCUCCGACGCUCAAGUCAGAAACGUAGGCUUUGCCUUUCUGGGAAAAACGGCCACUAAUCUUAUGGCUCUUUUAUGAUUUCUCAAUAGAAAGCUAUUUUCCUUAGUUCUAAUCUCAAAAAGUCUAACCCGUUUACCUUCGUUGGUCACCUUUUUAUAGCCUUCCUCUGAAUACGGCCCUUCCUGCAAUCCACGUCCAUCACCCCUCUCAACACUCGGAAGUGGGUGCGUCAUUACCGUAGUUUUGGCUGAGUGGAUUUCGUGCCUUGAUUCUCGGGCAGCAAUGCAUCUCUUGCCAACCGUCAUUGACCAUGUCUCCCCCCCUUAACCUCUAGCAGGAAUGGCCUUAUGCUCCUAGCUGGAGGCCGACUUCCGCUAUGGCCCCGUGGAGGGUGCAUUUGUGAACGAGCAGAAAAUUCCUGUUCGUGGUCACCUGCUACCAUACUUCUGCAGAAUACUCCUGUUCGUAACAUCCCGCUACCAGACAUUUUCUCAUCAUGGUUGGUCUUGUCGAAGUUUACCCCCCAAACAUCGGUCCCUCAGUUUCUGAUGUUGGGUAAUGUAGUGGACUGACAGUAGAAACUCAACAGUUCUGGCUUGCGCAGGAUAGGAAAAGGCUGUCAGGAGUCGUGUCGCAUUUAAUUACGGGCGAAGUGAUGUGGCAGAGAUCUAUCCCUCCAUUUGAAUUUCAAACCGAUGGUUAUGAAACCCUUGGAAAUCGUGCCGUUAAAUGAUGACAGCCCAAGAGUUUGCUCCUCAUUAGGGAACCCAAAAUCCCAAAAGGGAAACUCAUCUCUAAGCCCUCUUCUACCUCUAUCCACUUCGUGAAAUAGUCUAUCGCUACUAUUGCAUGUGUUGCUGUUCCUCGUCCCUUUGGCAACGGCCCAAUCAAAUCAAUUCCCCAUUGAGCAAAUGGCCAUGGCGAGGCCAUAGAAGUGAGCUUCUCUGGUGGUUGGGUAGAGAAAUUUGUAAAACUCUGGCAACUCACGCAACUCAUGGUUUUCUCCUGCGCAUCUUGGUGCAUUGUCGGCCAGAAAUAUCCCUGCCUUAGAGCCUUGUGGGCAAGGGAUCUCGCGCCAGAAUGAUUUCCGCAAACUCCUUCAUGUACUUCUCUCAGUACGUAAUCUGCGUCGUCCUCAUCCAAACACCGAAGGAACGGUAGGGUAUAUCCCCGCCGAUAUAAUACCCCAUCCAUCAUUAUGUACCUCAACAUUUGGGCUUUGAUCUUUCGAGCUCGUAACUUAUCUGGUGGUAAUACCCCAUCCCUGAUGUACGAGAUUAUCGGGUCCAUCCACGAGCAUUUCUGUUCUAUCUGCAACACCUCCAAAUUCUGCUUGAUGCUAGGGCUGGACUUCACCUCCAAAGGGAUCGACUUAGGCAUUUUUGGAUCUGCUACCGCUGCCAUCCUGGCCAGAAUAUCUGCUCGACUAUUCUCCUCCCUUGGGAUUUGUAUCACCUUAACCGCCUCAAACUUCCCCAUCAUCUGUUUGACUUUCUUCAAGUACUGUUCCAUUUUCCCAUCUCUCGGCUGAAACCUUUCACUGACAUGAUUUGCAACUAGUUGGGAAUCAGUUCAGAUUUUCACCUUGUCCGCUUUCACUGCCUUAGCCAAUUUCAAGCCCGCUAUUAGAACUUCGUAUUCUGCCUGGUUAUUUGUGGCUGUGAACUUCAACCUUACAGCAUAAGAGAUCUCCUCCCCUUAUGGGUCCUCCAAAACAAUCCCUGCUCCAGACCCCUGCUCCCCUGAGGAUCCAUCCACCGACACCUGCCAUACCCGAUCUUCGUUGUUGGCUGUAGCAGCAUCCAGCUGGUCGAAGCCUACUUUGGGCUCUGCGAAUUCUGCCACAAAAUCGGCCAUUGCCUGGGCCUUUAUUACUGCUCGGGGUUUAUAACUUAUAUUGAACUCGCUCAACUCUAUGGCCCAUUUCACUAGCCGACCAGAAGCAUCCCGCUUGUGGAGAGUCUGGCGUAACGGUUGGUUUGUUAUUACCGAGACGGGGAAUGCUUGAAAGUAUGGCCUCAGCUUCCGAGCAGCAACCAUAAGAGCAAGUGCGCAUUUCUCUAACGGUGGAUAUCUGGUCUCGAGUAGGGCCUUGCUUGUGUAAUAUAUAGGAUAUUGAACCCCUUCUUCCUCUCUCAUUAGAACAGAACUCGUGGCAUGAUCCGAUACCGCCAUAUAUAAGAACAGCACGUCCCUCUCCUGCGGUGUGGACAACAAAGGUGCUUGCUGCAAAUAUUGCUUCAAAUUUUGGAAGGCUUCUUCGCAUUCAGGGGUCCAUUCUGUUUUCUUUCCCCUUCUUAUCACUUGAAAAAAUGAGAUCUGCAUUGUGUCCAACCUAUGGCAGGCGACCUCAGGGUCGAUUCUCGGCGUGUCUUCAUGUGUCCAAGCAAACACAUCUGCGUGAGCUCGCAGGCAAUGCACCAGCUCUCGUUUAUGCUCUUCUUUAAGCCUCGACCCGAUUCAGAUUGUUUUUCUUGAAUCACCUUGUUCCAAGCUCACUAUUUCCAGCUCCUCUAUAGGCUCUUGUCUGCCAUUCUUGACUUCCACUUGAGUAUCAAGUGAUGUGAUCUGCAUUGCUUCCCUUGCUGCUGUGGAGUAACAGCUUCGGGCAAUUCUCUGGUCUCCUCAUACCACCCCAACUACUCCAUUCACUCGAUACUUGAGAGCUAAAUAAUGGUUGGAAAGUACCGCUUUGCUCAUCCUCAGAAAAGGGCGGCUUAAAAUCAUCUGGUAAGGACCCUCUUCAUCGACAACCACAAAAUCCAGGAUCAUAGUCUUUUCUGUUGGGGAGCUGCCAAUUGUGAUGGGCAGUUCGACCACGCCUAGAGUAGAGGAACCAGCUUUCCUCCACCAAAUCCCUUCAAAGAGGUAUUAGUAUGCUCUAACCUCAGGUCUGCUAUUCCCAUCUCCUCCAGAGUUGAGUUGAACAGAACAUCGACUGAGCUCCCCGUAUCUACCAGAAUCCGGUCAAAAUUCUUGCUAGCAGCAGUGCCUUUAAUGACUAAGGCAUCCUCAUGUGGAUAUAGAAUCCAUUCCUCGUCCUCAUCUGUCCACAUGAUAAGAACUUGCCUGAUUCUUGCUCGCUUGGCUGCUGGGUGUUGAAGAACACUUCUUUGCUUGUCAUGGCAUACCUAGCGUAGUUCUUCCUCGAUCUGUUGGAAUCUCCCGCCAACGUUGGGCCCCCAAUAAUUACUCUUACUAUAGGCUGCUCGUGGCUCAUGUUCCUAUCACUCUGCUCCCCUUCACAUGACGAGGCCAUCAUCGGGAAUGUCCCAUCUACGAAUUUGUCCAGGUAUUAAUUUCUCAUCAAAUCUUCAACCUGAGUCUUGAGAUCUCUGCAUUCGGUUGUGGUAUGACCGUGGGUGCCAUGGAACUUUCAAUAGCGUCCCCUAACUCUCCUGCUGGGUAGCUUUGUUAUUGGGGUAGGGAGGUACAAUAAUCCUCGUUCCUUUAUGGCCUCAUACACCUCGUCUAGGGGCAUCUUCAAGGAAGUAUACCGCCCAUAGUCUUGGCUCUGGUCGAUCAUGUGUACCGCCAUUUCCCUGUUGCUGCCAUUCUGAACUGGAGGGGGUAGCGGUGCUUCUGGUCUGCUUCCUCUACCACCGUGUGGGUGUGGAUGAGGAUAACCAUAUGUCGGGUCAUGCCUUCUCCAUGAAUCCCUGGCUGGUGAACGAGGAAGUUGCGCCCUGCUGCACUGAUAUUGGGGUGGCCUCUGAUGAGGCUGGUAAAAGGUGACCCGGCAUCCUGCACCACUGCCUGAAGCAUGAUGGUCCUUCCUCUUAAUUGGCCCAUUUCCUGGUAGAGCUCUAUUUUCUUUCCUCCUCAACCCUUCCAGCUGAUCUGUCUUAAUCUGUGCUUCCUUUUCCUCCUCAAUCUCUAUGUCCCUCUUGACCUACUCGUAAGCAGCUGAAUAUGUUUGAAUAGCAGGAUUCCUCAAAUUGUACCACAGCCGUCCUAUCUUCACCCAUUCUUUCAAUCCCCUUAAUGCUUGAGGAUGGUUGAAAGCUCCCAAAUCGAGGACAACACGAUGGAACCUUUUGAUGAAUUCCCGAAGGGUUUCCUCCUCUCCCCGCUUCAUGCUCGUCAGCUCCAUUAUGUCAUCUUCAGGCGCCAUUGCCCCAUAAAACUGCUCUGUAAAUUCCUGGCAUAUCUGCUCGAAGGAUUUAACGCUCCCUCGAGGAAGUUUCUGGUACCACUCACGUGCUCGUCCCUCUAGAGACAGUGGGAACACCCUACAUCUUUGAGCUUGGGAUAAUCCUUGCACCCCAGUUAUGUCGUUAAAGCGCUCUAUAUGCACCAACGGAUCGGUUCCCCCCGAGUAUCUAAGGUCUGGGAGGCAAAAAUCCCUCGGAAUGAUUGCCCUCAUGAUUUCUGUUGAGAGCGGGGAUUCUCCGUCCAACAUUAUCCUCCAACCAGGUGCUCUGCUCCGUCCUUGCAUGUCAUCUAUUAUCUGCGCUAAUCUGCGCACUUCUUCUUCCAGUUGUACGGCACGACCAAGGUCACAUGCUGCAACCUGAUCUCGCUCUUGCUCAACAUCAUGCAGGUGUUGCCGGAGUUCUCUUUCCUCUACAUUCGCCACUCUGUCAUCGUUAUCAAAGAUCUGCCUCCCCGGGGAUUGAUCUUCUCCUCUAUGGUUUUCUCCUCGUAGAGAUGAGUUACCCCCCUCACCACCAAAUCUUCUGGUGGUCCGACCUCUCAUCAUAUUGUCGUGCCCUGGUGUCAUUCCGCCACUUCUCACCCCUUCCUCUUGAACUCCCUUUUACUCACUUCUCAGCUCGUGUAGGAUGGUUGUCGGGUCUCCAUCUGUUUCUCUAUCCGUUCCAUCCGCUCAUACAUUGCUUUUUCCCGUGCUUCAUUGGCUAUCUCUCUCAACGUCACGGACUCGUUAAACCUCGAGUCAUCUCCUUGGGCACUACCUCGGCCUACAUCCAUUGUUCCCUCACUUCUUUUCCUCUUCUUCUCUCUAUUAACAGACGCUUUUUGCUCUCCCCCCACAGACGGCGCCAAAAUAUUGAUGCGAGAUUUUGGUUUUCUGCUCGUCCAUGACCAGGAUCUCUCCUCAACUAACUCGUCCACGACCAGGAUCUCUCUUCGUAAAACUUCCUUUCCGCAAACUCCUGCGUACACAAAGACAGGUCAGAGCACGCCGGGUGUUUUCCCGGCGUAAACCCUCCGACGCUCAAGUAAAAAACGUAGGCUUUGCCUUUCUGGGAAAAAAGGCCACUAAUCUUAUGGCUCUUUUAUGAUUUCUCAAUAGAAAGCUAUUUUCCUUAGUUCUAAUCUCAAAAAGUCUAACCCGUUUACCUUCGUUGGUCACCUUUUUAUAGCCUUCCUCUGAAUACGGCCCUUCCUGCAAUCCACGUCCAUCACCCCUCUCAACACUCGGAAGUGGGUGCAUCAUUACCGUAGUUUUGGCUGAGUGGAUUUCGUGCCUUGAUUCUCGGGCAGCAAUGCACGUCUUGCCAACCGUCAUUGACCGGGUCUCCCCCCCUUAACCUCUAGCAGGAAUGGCCUUAUGCUCCUAGCUGGAGGCCGGCUCCCGCUAUGGCCCCGUGGAGGGUGCAUUCGUGAACGAGCAGAAAAUUCCUGUUCGUGGUCACCUGCUACCAUACUUCUGCAGAAUACUCCUAUUCGUAACAUCCCACUACCAGACAUUUGCUCAUCAUGGUUGGUCUUGUCGAAGUUUACCCCCCAAAUAGUCGCGGCAAGGGCUUGUAAAUAAGGGUCAUAAUUAAGAUAAAAUGAUGCCGUGAUAAGGGCUUACAAAAUAUGUCGAGACAAGGGUAAAGACAAAAGUGAUGUCACAGUAAAGGGCUAUUUAACAUCUUUGUGUUCCAAAUUUUCAUGACCUCGGGUCAAUUAGCACUCUGCAAUGUCAUGAGAUCGAGACUUAAGAGCGUGGGUUAGGGUACAUGUUAUAAGAUUGAGGCUUAUGAGCAUAAGGCCGAGUUAUGUGCGAUGAGAUUGAGACCCAGAGUAUGAGAUCAAGAUACAUACCAUAAAAUCGAGAUAAAAAAAGUAUGAGAUAUAGAUACGUAUUACGAGAUCGAGGCACAAGAGUAUAAGGCCAAAAUUUGUAGAAUAAGAUCGAGGCCUCUAGCACACUUAACAGAGAUUCCAAGCAUUUAAUCUUUGUAGCCAUGUGUAUGGUUUUAAUCCAAUCUAGAUUAUUUCGAAUAAUCAAUAACAGAAUAAAUAUUAAAGUGAAAGAAAAUGGGCAAAAUAGUAAAUUUCACAUAGUGAGGGUUUACCUUCCUGGCCACCAGUGGGCGGAGAAUCAAGUGAAAGUGGUCGUGAUAUAGGCUUCAGCCUGCGAAGAGUCCAACGGUGGUGGUGGUGAGUCGUAUCGCGCUGUGGCGGCGGCAGAUCGAGAUCCUUAGCCGCAUGUGCUUCAGCGGCUGUUAGCGACCAAUUUGGUGACUUCUGGUUAGUGUUGAUGGCUGGAAUUUGAAAGCAGCAAAACCCAGGUGACGAUUAGUCGUGAUUCCGGCAUAUGUGCAUUGGGUCUUGGCGGCGGUUUCGCGAAGAUUGUGGUUUCGUGCAGCGGCUUUCUGGACAUUUUUCGGCGGUGUCGAAGAAGGUAUUUUGUUAGCCGGAAUUGGAGGCUUCGAUAGUGGCCAUCGGAAAUUGAAUCGGGGGGGGGGGGUAGUGAUUGCCGCGAGUGGUGGCUUGCUUUGCACUCGAGUUUGGGAAUUUGUACCCAACCCGUUUCCUCUGGUCCAUUGAUAUUUGUUUAUUUAUUUUGUUUUGUUGCUUUUCCGACCUUAAUUGUUGAGAUAUGUAGGCUUUUUGUAUGAUCCCCCAAAAAAUGGCGCGAAUUGUUGGUACUUAAAUUUGAAUCAACAAUAAGAAUCAAAAAAUAAUUAUUUUGGGAAAUAGGUUGUGAGAGAACUUGAAAUCCUAAGAAUUGUUUUUGUUAAUUUAUUUUUUUUUUACUUUUCUACCAUUAUUGUUGGGUUCUUUAGGUUUUUUGUUUCAUCUCCAUAGACAAAGUCAAACUAUUGAUUUCUAAAAUUUGGAUCGACAAUAAGAGUUUAGAAAGAGUUGUUUUAAUCGGGGAAGAAGUUGUAAGAUAAAUUGAUGUCUUAGGAAUUGCUAUAAUUGAGAGUGAAGAGCUAAGUGAUCAUAAUCCUACAAAACAAUAAUCUAUAAGGAAUCGCCAAGGAUAUUAUUGGCGUAGAUCCUUCGAUACUUAAGUUAGAUAUUAAGGGUGUUAUCGGCAUAAACCAUUCGAUACUUAAGUUAGUGAUCUAAAGUAGCACAAUAACAAAUAAAUAAUUAAAGAGGGAAAAGAGAGCAUGAAAAAGGCUUGGCUCCUCCAAUAUACCUAUUUCUCUAGAUACUACCUUUGGGUAGUGACCUCUUUAUAUAAGAGAGAUAAUUGAAAAUAUAGUUAAGAUAGGAAAAUUUAUCUUUUAUCUUGUAGGAUUUGAGUAUGGAGAGAAUUACGACUUGUAUUGUUUAACCUAUUUAGAUUAGAACAUGUUAUUAGAUGUGGGUCCUUGGGCUUGAGCUCCUUUAUGUUAUCAGGUCAAGUUUGGUAAAAAAAUGGGUAUAACAAUAUUCAUUUGUUUCCUUUCAAUUAAUUUUUGCAAAGGUUUUCCACUAAUGGUCUUUAAACAAAUUCUUUACCAAAUAGAUAAUUCUUUGUAUACAUCGAUACCUGUAUAUCUGUCCCAUGAUAUAGAAUUAAGACAACAUGUCACCUAGACCUGGGCCAAGGUAUUUGAACUUGUAAAUUUUUUGUAGGAAGAAGACUUAUAUGUAUUUAGUAUUUUUUUUCAAACCAUACUUCUUUCUCACCUAUGAUUCUGCUUGUACUUGCAAUUUCAUAUUGGUUGGAAAAUACAUAUUUGAUGAAUUAAAUAGUUUCAAUGCUAUUUUCCUGAGAAAACAGGAUACAACAAGAGAACUGGUCAGGAAAAUGAAGAUCAAAAUGAAGACCUAGAGCUACCACUGUUUAAGUUAGCUACAAUUGCUAAUGCCACCGGUAACUUUUCAAUCAACAACAAGCUUGGAGAUGGUGGCUUUGGACUUGUAUACAAGGUAAAAUUGCAACAUGCUAGUGAAAUGAUCCCAAGAAUAAAGUACUUAUUUUACUCGGGAUGGCAUAACUAAUUUCUUCAUAUAUUUUUUUAGGGUACACUAGCGGAUGGACAGGAAAUUGCUGUGAAAAGGCUUUCAAAGAUUUCCGAGCAAGGAUUGAAGGAGUUGAAAAAUGAAGUUAUACUAUUUUCCAAAUUACAACACCGAAAUCUUGUAAAGCUUCUAGGCUGCUGCAUUCAGGGAGAGGAGAAACUGUUGAUUUAUGAAUUCAUGCCCAACAAAAGCCUCGACUCUUUCAUUUUUGGUUCAGAUCCCUCUAAACCUUACAAUUUUCAGCUAGCUUUUGCCUUAAUUAUGGGUGUUUAUUGUAAUCAGGCGCAAUUUUUUCUAAUUUUUUCUUCUUUUAAGGAAAGUUCAAGCUGGGAAUUAUACUAACCUCAACAUCAUAUUUUCUAGAUCAAACAAGACGUACACUAUUAGAUUGGUCCAAGCGUUUCAAUAUUAUUUGUGGGACUGCUAGGGGCCUUCUCUACCUUCAUCAAGAUUCUAGGUUGAGAAUUAUACAUCGAGAUCUCAAAGCAAGCAAUGUGUUACUUGAUCAGGAUAUGAAUCCAAAAAUUUCUGAUUUUGGCUUGGCUAGAACUUUUGCUAGAGACGAAACAGAAGGAAACACAAACAGGGUAGUUGGAACGUAGUAAGUAUUUCCUUUCAUGUGAUCUUUACAACUCACUUGCACUGAUUAAUGAAAAUUAACUUAUAUAUUUUAAUCCUCUGAAGUGGUUAUAUGGCACCAGAAUAUGCUAGUGAUGGGCAAUUCUCAGUAAAAUCUGAUGUCUUCAGCUUUGGAGUUUUAUUGCUAGAGAUAGUAAGUGGAAAGAGAAAUAGAGGAUUUUACCAUUCAGACAACAAGCUUAACCUUAUAGGACAUGUGAGUAAAAUGCACACGAAAUUUUCUGACAUAGUUUAAACUAGUAAAUUAUGGAUGACAAAAGAGUUUUGAUAUGUUGUAGGCAUGGAAGUUGUGGAACAAAGGCAUGCCUUCACAAUUGAUCGAUGCGUGUAUUCAAGACUCAUGCAAUUUUGCCGAAGUGAUACGAUGCAUUCACAUCGGUUUGUUAUGUGUGCAACAGCAUCCAGAGGAUAGGCCAUGCAUGCCCUCAGUGAUUUUGAUGUUGGGCAGUGAGACUGUGUUGUCUCAGCCAAAGCAACCUGGUUACUUAGCGCACAGGAAAUGUACCAGACCAGAUUCUUCAUCAAGCAUGCCUGAAUCAUCUUCCACUAAUACAAUUACGAUAUCUGAAUUGGAGGGUAGGUAGAGAAUCGAUUAGUAGUAAAAUGCCUUAUUCUACAUUUUUAAGAACAAAAUCAGAAAUGUUUCAACCAAAUGGAAAGUUCAGAUAAAUGAUUGAAUAAAAAAUGAUGAGAAUCAUCCAACCAUGUAGUAUAUGCAUGUUGUGGAUCUAAAUACAACGUAUCCUAUUGUUUAUAUAGAAACUAUUAACUAGAGGAACAGUAAACGGUGUUGGAUUGAAAAAAAUGAUUUGCAGGAGAUUGAAUUAGAUAACAACAAGAUGUAAAUAUUGAAACUUUGAUUAUAUAAAAUAUAUGCUAAUACAUUUAUGCGAAUGUUUUGGUGCUUUUGGAGCAUUACUCUUUAUCCAUUUAUUAUUUACCAUGUGUAUAUACAUAUCAUCGUGGUUGGUUAAAACACACACAUGAUAGGGAGUAAACAAAAAAGGAGAAGUGCUCUUGUAAUACCCAAGAAUUUUCUACAUUUUUAAUUGUUCUCAACGUGCUUUCAUAAAUAAAAAACCUUGUGCAAUAGACUUAUUGUCAAUACUAUUUAAUACAUUAUUUUUCUACAUAAACAUAAAAACUAAGGGUCAUCCAUUCAUCUUCAUCCGAUUUUAAAGUUGAUUCUUCACAAACUUAAUUGCUGAAAAUGUACUAAUGUGGCUGUGAAAACUAGAAGAAUUAAAGCUAAUGUCACCAACAAGCGAAUGUAACGGAUAUACUAUGUCUUUUUUAGUCUCAAUUAUUCUUUCAGCAAGUCAUUGAUUUCCUUCAAUCCUACAAACCCGCUUGCUUGCUCUUUUCCUAAUAUAAUCCAAUCUCUAAUUUUCUUUUAAGAACUUGUAAGAUAAAAUUUGUGAUUGAAUAGCGGGUAAUUAUUGUUUUUAAUAAAUUUGAAUCUAUUUUUAUGAAUAGAAAAAUGUUUUGGGCUAUGGCUUAUGGGUUAUUAUUAUUUUUAAUUAAGAGGGGAGGUGGCACUCCGCUACAUCCUAUUAAAAUCCCUUUAUUCAGUGUACCCCAUUAAAUAAUAUUAGAAAAUUCAUCAUAACUAUUAACACCCUUUUUAAUUCUAAAAAUAGCCUUAUUUCAAUUGUUACAAACAACAUUCUCUCUCUGAAAACCCUAAAUACAUGUAUCUUCUUUCUCUUAAUCUUCCCAUCAGUCUUCCCAUUUUUAAUUUGAAUCAAAUGUACAUUCUAAUUUAGAGUUUAAACUAAUCCUCAAGGAAAUAAUUAACUUAUAAGAAAACUAUUAAAAAAGAGAGAAAGAGAGAUUGAUCUUGAAGUUUAUAUGAUAACAAUAGGGUAAUCAUGAUUCAAGAGGUGUUGAAAAUAGAAGAUUGUUGCUUAUAUGGCAGUUAUUGUUGUGUAGACUAGGGUAACCUACAAGUUUAUAAUUUUCAACUUCAAUUGAUGUGUUUCUUCUUUCUUUAUUCUUUCUUUAAAAAUAAAAAAUAAAUAUAAUUCAUUAAGACUAAAAAAGCCGAUUAAGACAAUACAAAAAAUUCAUCUCAUACUCCUAUUUUUGGAUGUCUCUUAGCCAAUUUUGUGUGCAUUUAACUUCAAAAAUAUUUUUGUUGGUUGCUAAUUCUGAAGCAAUUCGUAUUCAUCCAAUCUUGGAUUAGCAAAAAAUUAUAUCCAUAUAGUAGCGAAACAGGAUGGAUAAUGAAUGCAAAGUGUUGGCCAAAAAAACAAAAGAUAAAAUAUGCGGGAAUGGGUAUGAAGAAUUGGUGGAAAGAGAAAUAAUGAUAGGUUUAAAUGAAUUUAUAAAUAUCCUUUAAUGUAAUUUUAACAUAAAGGUGCUUUAUAAGAAUAAUAAAGGAGUGUUAAUUAUAGCUCAACUCUUUAAUCAAAGUGUGAGUUUUACAAUUCAAGUUAAAAUUUAAAGUUUAUGAGUUUAUGAAUGUAUAAAGGGUAUUUUAACAUAUCAAUGGGGUUAAUUAAAAGCCUUCAUAAUUUUCUCUUUUAUUUUUAUUUUUUUCUUUUAGGUAGCUUGAGCCCCUGCUUGUCACAUGUUAGAUGUGCUGCCCCAAAUUAUGAGAAUUGAGAUGAUUUAAUUUUACCAUAAUGUCAUAACAAAAGAUGUUUUAAUAUCUUCGUAGUUUUGUCAAAUUACUUAUCAUUCAAUAAUCAUAUUUACCUCAACUUUCUUCAUAACUACAAUAUUUUUUUCCGCAAUAACUAAUAUAUAUAUAAAGCUAUGACUAAAAGAGUUGAUGUGACAUCACUAUUCCUCAUCCUUUUAUAUUCUCUAUUAUCUAAUAUAUUCAUCAAUAUGUAACCAUUAAAAUAAUUAAUUAUAAGUCUUAGAAACAUUCAUUUCUUUUAUUAUGCUAGCAAUUAAACUUUCAUGACUUAAAAUACAUCAGUCAACUAAUUAAUAUAAGAAGGAAGACUAUUUCAUCUUCCCUCAACAAUAUAUAAAGCUGGGACUAAAAGAGCUAAUGUGACAUCACUAUUCCUCAUCUUUUUAUAUUCUCUAUUAUCUAAUAUAUUCAACAAUACGUAACCAUUAAAAUAAUUAAUUAUAAGCUUUAGAAACAUUCAUUUCUUUUAUUAUGCUAGCAAUUAAACCUUCGUGGCAUAAAAUACAUCAAUCAACUAAUUAAUAUAGGAAGGAAGCCUCCUUCAUCUUCCCUCAACAAUGCCACUACCAGGGCCUAAUUUUAAUGCAAUAAUCUCAUAUUUAAUUAUACAACCUUUUGUUUAGUGCCUUUUCGCUUCUUCAAACUCUCUAAACACUAAGUAUUUAAGAUUUGUUAUGUUUGGAUUUUUUUCUAUUUAACCAACAUCAUCUUUAGAAAGAUUCUUGUGUUUUUAUUGUUUGACUUAUUUGAAUUUUUAGUAUUGUGUGCUUCAUGUAGUACUCUUUUCUUCAUGAGUUGAACAAUGAUAGAGACAAUUGGAUGAUAAGGGUUAGGCUUUGUAGGAUGUGGAAGUCUGUUAAUACCAAGAAAAAUGGAGAAUUGAUUAGUGUGGAUAUGAUUUUUAUUGAUGAAAAUGUUGUAUAAAAAAUUCAUUCUCCUAUUGUUUUCUCUAAUUAUCUUUUUUUUUUCCAAUUGUUUUACACUUAAUGUAGCAUUUUUUUUCGUAGGAAAAUCUAAUGCAUGCAACAAUCAAGAAAAAAUUAGUGACAAGAUUUAGGCACAUGUUGAGUGAGGGUUCUUUGUACAGUGUCAAGAAUUUGAAAGUUGUUUCAACUACAGGCGAGUACAAACCACUUUCAAAUUAGUAUAAGAUUAUUUUCUUGGUUAUAACUUCGCUUAAGAGGUUAAAAAAAUGAACUGUUAAGAUUCCGAUCAAUGGAUUUCGAUUCGUAUCUCCGAAUUUGAUUGAUUUACGUGUGAAUGAUAACACAAUCCUCUCAUGUAUUUAUUUUAAUUAUUACUGUUUGUUAAUCUUUAAGUGUAUAUUAAAAAUUAUUGAUCCUUAUGUUUUAACAUGUUUAUGUUAUUUUUCCAUGAUAUUACAGAUGUUGUCGGAAGUUUAUGGGGUGUUGGUGACAUUGAGAUCAUUGGAGCUGGUUGGAAAAAAAGAGAUAUAAAAGUUCUGACAGAUUAGUAAGUUGAAUAUAAUCAAGAAAACUAUGAUUAUAUUUUUUUGGGAAAUUAUCAACUAUAUACCCUUAAUUGACACCCGUAUCAAACGUAUGUGAACACUUUUCAAGUGUAUCACUCUUAUACCCUAAGUUGACAAAACACUUCUGUCAUCCACCAAUCCGUUAACUUCCGUUUGCAAGUGCUGACAUCAUAAGGGUAAUCUAGUCCUUUAAGAUGGAUGAAACUUUGAUUAAAAAAAACAUGUCAUCCCAUUUACCUAGUAAAAAAUGACAUGUCAUAUGAUAUAUAUUGAUAAAAAUGACAUGUCAUCCCAUUUAUCGGAUACUUAUUAAUAAUUGCUAAAAAAAAACUAUUUUACAACCAAAUCUACUCCUCUAAAAUUUAACCUAAGUUUUUGAAGAUCUACUCAUCCAAGCUCCAACUGGAAUUUUUUAUGGUAUAAUAUGUAUAAUUGUAAAUAAUACGUUGUUAAUAAUUUUUUAUGGUAUAAUAUGGAUAUUUUUUAUGGAUAAUUGUUAAUAAUAUGUACCAUUAAUAAUUCAUUUUUUUAAUCAAAAAAUUUAUUGUUAAUAAAAAAAUAAAAAAAUAAAAAAAUUGUGUAUUGAAAAUUUACGUUAAUUUUUUGGGCAUAUUUAUCUUUUUACCUCAUUUUGAGUUUCAAGGGCGAAAUAGUCAAUUUGCCACAAUUCUAUUAACUUUCUAAUGGAAGUUAACAGAUUGGUGGACGCCAGAAUUGUUUUGUCAACUUAGGGUAUACGAGUGAUACACUUGAAAAGUGUUCACACACGUUUGAUACGGGUGUCAUUUAAGGGUAUAUGGCUGAUAAUUUCCCUAUUUUUUUUUAGUUAUUGUUUUAUCAUAAGAAUUGAUCAAUAGUUAUUACUUAAUUUUUAAUUUUCUUUUUCAAUGAAUACAUCCAAUAUUUGUUGAAGAAAAACUGUUAAAAGUACAAUGAAAAAGGGUAUAGGCCUUAGAGAUUAUUCAACAUAUUCACAAGAAAAAUGAAUAAUACUAAAUUCUUUUUUCAAAUUCGCGCGAAGCGCAGUUCUAUUUCCUAGUUUUUAAUAUAACUUGUGUAAAAAUCUAACUUUCAUUCAACCAACCAUAAUUAUCAUGCUCAAAUUCUACGUUGCUACAAGAAGUCAAGAAAGACUUUAAUGAGGGAGAAAUUAUUUUCAUUACCGACAUUAUAAAUGGACCUCGAUUAUAUUUAAUGGAGGACAAAGUAUUUUUCUUACAUUUACAUUAUCUUCGACGGGACUCCACUUGUAUUCGAAGAUUUUCUUCCGUGUCUCAUUUACCAGGUGUUUAAAUUACCAUUUUCUUUUUUUUUUCUUUCUGAAAACCUUAUUUUCUAACCACUGAUUCGAUUACUUUAUGAAUCCGACGGUUUCCCUUGUAUGUGUGUGUAUAUAUAUAUAGACACACGUUGAUGCUUUGAUGGCUCUAAACUAUUUUAGAUUGCAGUCGUGGUCAAAUGAAAGAUCGUCUAAUAUUGCCUAUGAGAUUUUAGUAUCAUAAUCUUGUUCAUAUUUUCAUAGAGAUGUUGAAUUUUCAGGUACAACUCAUUCUAUUUCAAGGUCCCAUCACUUUACAAUAUUAUAUAAUUAGUUCGUAAGGGAAUCUGAGCCUAUGCAGGCAGAACAUGCCAACUUCGCUGCUGGCAUUGACCUGAAGGUCAACAAAACUUCUAAUUUAAAUAAGCAUUGACCUCAAGGUCAAUGCCUCCAAGAUAGAUCAUUAGUCAGGGUGUUUAUAUGUAUUCAACUUGUGAGAGAGAUCUAAGUCUAAAUAAUAUAAUCCAAUGGAUGCACUUUCGCUCUUGCUAAUCUAUUGCAAGUUACUAUUUAUCUUGUUAGGAAUAUUGUAGAAGGCUCCAAAAGACUCUAGUAAGUUCAGUGUUGCUUCAGGUACAGAUGCUGAUGUUGAAGAAGCUUAUGCUCAGGAAGUUAGUUAUCAUUCACGUGUGUGUGUAAGCCAGCACGACAUUAGUCUGUUAUGAAUAGUACAACUGUCACAUUGUUAUUGGUUGUACAUUAGAUGAGUUUGUUACAUUGAUAUUGUAUAAAUACCCGCCUCUGUAUACAUUCAUAAGCAGUUAAGAAAUGAAUUAAAAUCUUUUCUUCUUCAUUCAAUAUUUUCUCUCAGUUUCUUGCAAACCAACACUUUACUAUAAAUCUUUGCACGGUAUCACAACCAUACAAGGGAAAUUUAUAAAAAUAACCAUAAAAGUUUAACAAAUUACAAAACUAACCACACAGAUUUUUUUUUUAUCAAAACUAGCCUAAUAACAAAAUUUUGGACCAAAGUACCCCCGUCAAUCUCACCCAAGCUCACUAAAAUCUCUCACUCACUUAAACCUCUUACUUAUCGCCAACACCGUAGAGCAACAUCGGAGUUUAUCGUCGGCGGCCAAUCUCACCGUAACUACAUCCAAUAACACCAAUUCCACCAAAAUCACGUCUAAUAGCAAUCAAGAUCUCCGAGAUCAACAGUUGAAGUUCAAAAACCCUAGGUUAGCAAUUUCAAAUACAUGCUUUAUUUUAUUCUUAUGUUGUGUUGUGGUUGUGUGUUGUUGUUGUUGUGGUGGUGUUGGUGGUGGUGGUAGUGGAGGUUGUUGGUGGUGGUGGUAGUGGAGGUUGUUGGUGGUGUUAAUGCAUUAUUGGAGUGUGUUGCCUAGAAAGUCUUGCAAUGGGUGUUGACCAAUUCGCGAAGAUUCGCACAAUGGGCAGCGCCCAUCGCAUGAAAUUUUGUGCGACAGGUGCUUGUCGCAACAACUUUUGUGCGACAGGCAAGCCGUCGCACAAAAAUUCAGAUUACAUAAUUUGAAUUUUUGUGUGCAGGGUGGUCGUCGCACCAUGUUUUGUGAGACAGCUCGCCCGACACCCAAAAAUUCAGAUUUGAAAAAAAUUCAACUUAACCCAAAAUUAUAAUAUAUACGGCGACUAUUUUUUGGAGGUCAUAACUUAGGCUACAUGUAUCCAUUUUUUUUUUCGUAUAAUAUACCGUUUUGAAGCUUGCGACGAAACGACUCAAACCCACAAGCUUGUUUGCCGGUCUCCUCUAUGGCCAAAUAAAAAAAUUGCCUCAAGUUAAGUGUGACAAGCACUUGUUAUUACUGUUUCUGCAAUAUCCAUGUAAAAUGUGUUGUAUAUUCACUUUAUCAUGCUUUGUAGUGUGUAACCACAUUUGUUUUAUUUGUUUUAAUAUUUUCAGGUUUAACAAAUUUAAUUAUGCUUCAAUUGUAUUAUGACGGUUGGUGUGAGACGUUGGCGGAUGGACGUAUGGAGUAUGUGAAUGACAAUAAUACAACUUUUCUAAUUCAAAAAGAUUGUACGUUUGAUUAGUUUCUGACAAGAGUUGAUGAUGUUUGAUAGAUAAAUCGUAAUGAAUACAAUAUCACCAUGAAGGCAACUUUGAGGUCUAGAAAUACAAUAUAUCGUACAUGUUCACUACAUAUGGACAUAUUUAACGACGAAAUGGUCAAGGUUGUGUUACAUAUAGCCUCAGAUGUGAUAAAUUACGGAUGCAUCCCUGUAUUUGUUACCACGCCUCCUCGAGUUGAGAACCAAAAUGUUGAGCCACCUGUAAAAAUUGAAACUUCCUUCAGAGCAAAUGUCUCUGUCCCCGAUAGUGAAGAAGAUGUAAGUGGUUAGCAGCUCUCGGUUUGUGCAGGAAUUGGCAAGCACAGCUUCGACCCGCUUGAGCGGCUCGAGUUUAAGCUGGUAGUGCACACCCCAGGAACCUGCAAUGCGAACAGAUAUUGGGUUAGAGAAAAUACAGCAAAAUGAGAACCACUAUGGAGACAAGACAUCUGAAGCGAGCAGGCAACCUGGGACCACGAAACGGGGUGGGACGCGGUAAUCCUUCCCGUCAAUCUGUGCAACUUGACCCCAGGGACCCCCAGCAAAAAAGAAUUUUUUCUUCCAAGUCCCACCACCACCAGUUGGAAGCUCAGUUAUGGGUUUCUUGGUCUUGGUACUAGACUGGAAGUAAUACCAGCCGGCAUCUUUGGGGCUGCUCUUUAGCUGGUACAAGUGCUUCACCUCGUCAACUGUUGGCUCGCUUUGGCAACAUAUGUCCCACAAUAUGAACAGACCAGAAAGUACCCGCCACCCAUUGGGGUUCAGUUGACCAGGAGCUAAAUUCAACCCAUUGAGUAUUCGGGCAAAGUAGGGCUGCAUGGGGCACCUUAACCCAAGUUUAAAACUCUCUAGAAACAGAGUAACAUAUCCCCUAGGAGGCCGGCUGGGGGUAUCCUUCUUUCCUGGGACCCUAAGAGGUACCUCAUCAAGAAUUCCAUACCUAACCCGGAGAUUAGUAAGCUCGUAUACUGUGGUCGUGCACGUGAUGAAAUCAAUAGCGUAAUGCUGUGAUAGAGCUCUACCUCCUACUGUGCUCCUCCUAUUUGGCCGCGAUGUUCCUGGUGAGGACAUCUCACCAGAAUCAUCUCCCUGAUCAUUACUCAAGGUGUCUUCCGAACUAGAAGAACCCUCGUCGUCACUAUUACCGAUUGAGGAGGUUAUUUGAGGGGACAUCCUCCUAGCACUAGUCCCAACACUAGAUCUAAUGGGUUCUAGGGGGAUCCCGGGGUCAAAAACAGAAUCAGCGAGCAGACUAGACAAGAAGUCUAACUCGUCGUCAUCAAUCUCAAUGACCUUCUCUUUACCUUUUGACAUUCCCUAGACUAUAACCAGAACUGCAUCACCAAACACUACCCAAGCAAAACGUAAAAGAAAUUGUCUACAACUAUCCACGACCGAGGUAAAAAGAAAUAAUACAUAAAGUUGUGACUUAGUCAGAGAGAGACAAUGAAAGAAGCUUUUACGCCGAGGGAGAGGAAGGACUCAUUCGCCGGAGAGACAGAAAUAGAGUAAAUGACGAGUUUCUCUUUUGGGGGUUUUGGGUUUUCUAAUGAGGAACAAACUCUUGGGCUGCCAGCAUUUAACGACGCAAAUCCCAAGAGUUUCAUAACCGUCUGUUUGAAAUUCAAACGGAGGGGUAGAUUUCUGCCACAUCACCUCAUCCGCAAUUAAAUGCGACACAACUCUUGGCAGCCUUUUUCUACCCUGCGUAAGCCAGAACCGUUGAGUUUCCAAUGUCAGCUCACUACGUUACCCAACACCAGAAACUGGGGGACCGAUGUUUGGGGGAUGUACUUCGACGAGACGAGCCGUGAUGAGCAGAUAGCUAUUAGCAGGGUUCGCACGAACAGGUAUAUCUUGCAGAAGUCUGGUAGCAGGAGAACAGGAGCAUGAAUAUUCUGCUUGUCCACAAAUACGCCAUCGGCGAGGCCGGUCUCCUGCUAAUGGUUGAGCCUCCCGCUAAGGGUUGAGGCGAGGAGACCCGGUCAACGGCAGUUGGCGAGACGUGCGCCCCAACCCGAGAAUCAAGGCACGAAGACCACGCGACCACCCACGAUUACGAAAAUGGAGCAUCCACUUCCGAGAGAUGGGAACGUAAUGGGCGUGGGUUGAAGGAGGGUCUGAACUUAGAAGAAGCCUAUAAAAAGGUGGCCAACGAAGGUAAAAGGGUUAGAACUUUUGAUACUGAAACUGAGAUAAAGAGAGCAUUCAAUAAUCGAUACCAAAAACAAGCCUUAAAAUUAAUGGCUAACGUUCCCAGGAACACAAAACCUUCAUAUCUGACUUGAGCGUCGGAGGGUUUACGCCGGGAAAACAACUGGCUUGCUCUAACUUGUUUCUGUGUACGCAGGAAUUCUUGGAGAAGAAAGCAUACGAGGAGAGAUCCUGAUCGUGGUCGAGUUGAUUGAGCAGAGAUCCUGGUCGCGGUAGAAAGGGUAACCAGAAUCUCGCAUCAACAAUAUGUAAAAUAGAAACGUUUCGCAUACAUCAAUAUUCAGAUGAAUACAAUAGCCUAAAUUCUGAUAUCACCAUUAAAUAUGUCCACAACAAUCUUCUUCCUAAAGUACUGGCCAUGGAUACCACUAAAAUCAAGUGUAAGUCCGAACAUUAAAUAUAUUAUAAACAUCAACCAAAAACCACCGGAAAGUCCUGUAACUAGGCACCACUCUCCGAUCGAUAAACAUGUCAAAUGCUCUCUUAUUUGAAACCACAACUGAUCUUUACUGGUUUCUUCAUGUGUGACUAGCCUAAGCAAUAUGUUGUGGAUUAUAACACCAUUGAACGCAUAACUCUCGAAAUCCAUGAAGUGCCUGAAAAUAUCAUUCUUGAAUAACGAUAAUUGUUUUCGCGUUAACUUACUCUGGAUAGCUUGGACGACUCUCUUAAAUUUCGAUGUCUUUAUAAUACGACCCGGGAAAUGAUCAUCAGAGCCUAACUUCAUCAUGCUUGGAUCUUUUCUUCGUGCGGGUGGAUUACGCUUUGCCAAUUUAUUUUUUCGCCAUGUAUCUAUAACAAAAUCAAAUUUUUAUUCGUUAUUUAAAUUUACAAAAAUAUUACAAUAAAAAUUUAAAAUAAAAUUUAUGAAAAAAAUACAAAUAAACACAAAUUAUGCAACAAAAUACACAAUUUGUGCACAAUCUUUGUUUUUUUACGACGAGAGCCCCUUGCAUGUAAUUUUGUGCGAGGGGCAACCCGUCGCACAAAAACACAUCGAGUGUGAAGUACAUAGGCUCUGUGUUUUUGUGUGACGAGAUGCCAAUUGCAUAAUGCCAUCGCACCAGAUUUUGUGCGAUGGGCUAGCCCAUCGCACCAAGUUGGGGCGAUGGCCAGCCAUCGCACGAAACUCACGCGAUGGGCUGCUGCCCGUGAACGAGUUUGGCGUGAUGGCAGAUGUUGCCCAUCGCACAAAAUUCGCGCGAUGGGCUAUUGCAUGUCGCGCGAAUUCUGUCCAGUGGGCAACAGCAGCCAUCCAACACCCACAAAAUACAUACAUAACAACAACCUCACCCACCAUCGCCAUAAAAAACCAUAAAUAUUCAAUCUAUCACCACUGCCACCAACAGAACACAACAACAGCAACAACAAUAACAACACAAAAUCACAACGCAAAUAAAAAAAAAGUAAUAACUCACCUAGGGUUUUGAAUUUUAACUGUUGAUUUCAGAGAUCUUAGAAGAUUUUGAACGUGAUAUAGCUUAUUUUGGCCACUGACGAUGGACUCAAAUGCUGAUCUACACCACCGACGAUGUGUAAGGGAUUUCAGCGAGAGGGAGAGGAUUUGGUGAGAGAAAAUGGUGAGAAUGAUAGUGGUAGUUUGGUUCUCAAACUUGGUGUUUGGCUAAUUUUAAUUGAAAAAAAAUUGGGAGGUCAAAUUUGAAAAAUGCAAAAGUAUUGUGGCCAAUUUUGUAAAUUUCCCCAAUCAUGGCAAAUACAAACACUAAAACAUCAUCUUCGUUAUCCUUCAGGUUCAUGCAACCUGUCAAGCUAGAUCGAGCUAGUUACCUUGUGUGGAAAACACAGGAUCUUGCAUCAAUAAUUGGAAAUGAUCUUGGAGGUUUCAUCAAUCGUGAUAAACCUUGUCCUACUUAAUUUUGACUGAAUCAUAUGAAGAAUCAAACAAAUUUGAGAUCAUUCCUACAAGGAAAACUGAAAAUCCAGAAUAUAUUGUUUGGAAGAAAAUUGAUAAGUUGAUUUAGAGCUUGAUGUUCUCUUCAAUGGUAGACAAUGUGCUGAUAAUGGUAAUGAGAUGUGAGACUUCACAUGAAGUAGGGAAGAGACUUGUUGAGAUCUUUAUGUCUCAAUCUAAGGCACGUCACAUUCCUCUGUUGAUCCAAAUACGAGCACAAGAAUACAGGGACCACAUUGCUCAAAGGGAUUGCUAGAAAUGGACUUUAUCAAGUGGAGGGUUUAACCACAUUCUAUCAUUCAAAUAAAUCUUAUGCCCUGUCAUCUUCUAAAUCUUUGUCUAUUGUCAAUUCCAAGUUUAAUCCUUUGUCUACGUUUUCACAAUGUACUGUAGCAAAUGCAAUGCUUUCUUUUGAUGUAAACUCAUUUAAAUUCAAUAAAGAUGUCAAAGUGGCCUUGUUUACUCAUCCUGUCAAAUCUUUUAAUUGCAAUGUAAUGUAUAAAUGAUUGGGACAUCCAACCAUUCAUGCUUGAAAUAGGUUAUGAAAAAUCUUGAUCAUACAUUCCACCUAAAUAAACAUAUCACACUUAAUCUUUGUAGUGUACGUUAGUUUGGUGAAAGUCAUAUGCAACAUUUUGUAGUGCACGUUAGUUUGGUAAGAGUCAUAUGCAUAAAUGAUUGGGACAUCCAACAAUUUAUGCCUUGAAAAAGGUUAUGAAAAAUCUUAAUCAUACAUUAAACCUAAAUAAACAUAUCAAACCUAAUCUUUGUAGUACAUGUUAGUUUGGUAAGAGUCAUAUGCAAUAUUUUCCUUCAAUUGCAACAAUAAUACAUCCCUUAGAAAUAAUAUAUACAUAUAUUUAGGGACAAGCCCCUAUUUUGUCAUCCCAAGGUUACCAAUAUUAUCUGUCUAUUCUAGAUUCACUAGGUUCACUUGGAUUUUUCCCCUCUUUGCAAAAUCCAAAGCCCUACAAACAUUCAAAGAAUUCAAGGCAAUGAUUGAAAACAGUCUAUCUAGUAAGAUCAAGUAUUUAGAAACUGGUUUAGAAAACAAUCUUUCACUCCUUUGAGAGGGAUUCGUCAAGGGGACCCCUUAUCACCUUAUAUUUUUGUGUUGUGUGUAGAACGCCUGAGUCAUGGGAUUAAUAGUGAAGUCAAAAAAGGGCGUUGGCAGCCUGUUCGUUUGAAUCGCAAUGGAGUCCCCCUCACUCAUUUGUUCUUUACAGAUGAUCUCUUACUACUUUCGGCGGCGUCUCUAGACCAAGCCCAAGUUAUUUCUGAGGUGCUUGAUUUUUUCUGUCUCGCAUCUGGUGAAAAAGUCAGCAAAGAAAAAAUCAAUAUUUAUUUCUCUAAAAUUGUUAGAGUUGAUGAUAGGCGUGAGAUUGUUUCUGAGCUUGGUUUUUAUGUGACUGAUAACCUAGGCAAUUAUCUUGGUGUUCCCCUUUUACAUAAUAGAGUUAACAAACACACCUAUAAGGGUGUCCUUGAUAAAGUCCAACAGCGCCUCACUGGAUGGAACGCCCUUAAUCUUUAUUUGGCUGGCAGAGUCAUGCUUGUUGUUGAGUGUUAGAAAAUGUAUAUUUAUAGAGGAGAAAAUCAUCAUUUUACAUUUCAAGUCUUACUAACACGCUUACUUUUAUGUAUUUAAGCUUCUUGUGAUUUAAUUACGUGUGUUUUAUUUUAAUUAAGUAUUUUAUAUAUUUUAGGGGCAUCAUGGUCAUUUCACAAUGAACGAGAAAUCAGACGGCAAAACGGACAUCACUUUUGAACUCAGGACAGUCGAAAACCUUAGGAGGAGCAUAAAAGGAAAAAUGUCACCGUUCACAUGUACGAUUGAUAACUCUAGGAAAUGAGAGUUAUUACAUCAAUUCUAGACUUGAAUCAAGAUCAUAUAGAGAACAAAUAAGGUGUUUUUAUUACAUUUUGAUUACAUUUUGCUUAAACAUUCAUUUUAGUUGAGUAUUAGUAAGUUUUGCUAGAAUCAUAGUAAUUUGUGCUAAAAACAUAUGCAUAAUUGUAGGUUCUUAGAAAGUCUUAAUUCAUGAGGGGAUGUUGAGACAUUAGAUGAGCAAGAGGAGGAAAAAAGACGGCCAUAAAAGAAGAAAAGCACAAUCGAGAGCAAUGCAGUGCUGUUGCGGAUGUUAGAGCAACUCGUGCUGUAGCAAUCUGGAAGUAAAUGCGGGAGAAAACUUAGGCGCGGGUCAGCACAUGUUUCCUAAUUGAAUGCAUGCACGUUCAUGGGCUUGUGUUUAACCGAAUUUGCAAUAUAAAAGGGAGGCAAUACUACAAAGAAAGGCGGCAAGGGAAUUAUCAUUGGAAUAAUUACAAAGGAACGAAGAAGAAGAAGAUCAGAAUUAAAGGAGAUUGUUUUGGCAGCAUUGGAGAAUCGGGCAGAAUUACUUGGCUUUGAUCUUCACCGUGCUCAACUUAUAUUUAUCUUCUUCCUCUAAUUGUUUUGAUGUAUUCCGAGAUUCAAAUAUUUAUGUUUAUUUUUCUCAUCCAGAUUAUGAACUAAAUUUACUUGUAGUUGAGUGACAAAUAAUCCAAUGGGUUCUUAACUGUUCUUAUAUGUUGUUAUGGUAUUGCUGUAGCAUUUUACUCUGGUAGUUUUUAUGAAUAUAACUGUUAUUUUGGUUGACCACCCAUUUAAUAGUUUCAGUUAAGAUAGAGCAGCAAAAGGGAAUGUCUUAGCGGACAUUAUUAGAGUAUUACUUGUUCUUAAGUCGAGUUUCCUGGAUUAGGUUAUCUUGAAUCCCAUAAGGGCAAUACUUGACGUUAAGAUUUGUGACACUCUAGACAUAGGUGUUCACCUUGUAGGGUAGAGAGAUUAAAGGAUAUAAUGUCGUACCAUGAAUAUAUGAGCAACUGGUCAUUGUCAGUAGAUUUAAAGGUAUGAGACUUCCAACAUGCGAUAGCUGAGGAUGCAAAUUUAUUCUGCCCAGUGCUACAGCACUUAUUGUAACAACUGAUGCUAAUUUGGUAAACAACAGUCACCCCAUUAGGAGAGUUUGAUCAUUCAACUACUAUAAUCUCAAUUGAAUCUUAGACACAUUUAACUUAGUUUAUUUCUUUACAAUAUUUUUUUAUUUCCAUCUUUCGCAAUUAUUUAUCACGAUAGAAUUAUUAGACAAUUGUUUGUUUUGGUUUUUAAUUGAUUUGCGAUAUCGUGAUUGCUUUAGCAUUUUGAGUAACAUCAAUCCCUGUGGAGACGAUCUUGAAUACUCAUCACUUUAUUACUUGUUGUGUAUACUUGCACAUUGGCAUUGAUAAUAAUUGAUUAUAAAAAUCAACCAACAAGUUUUUGGCGCCGUUGCCGGGGAUUGAUUGUUUAUUUUUGAAGUGUGAAGUAAAUCGUGAUAGCGCCAAAUUUGACUUGAUUCAUUCUAUUGAUUGGUAGAUCAGUACGUGCAUGCGCAAGGACAGAUAUGUGGUAUUCCAAUUCGAUCUUAAGAUUGAAAGGACUGUCAGGAGAUUACGAAGAGAGCAAAGAAAUUCAAAGACUGUUUCAGGCAUGAAUAAUUUGCAGGAUGAGGGAAAUUUGAACCCUCACGUGCCUUUACAACCAGUCAACAUUCAAGAAGAGCUGAACGAACAUGCUAAUGGGAGACAGCUAGGCAAUAACAAUAUUAUUUACAUGGCUGAUGAUAGAGACAGAGCUAUAAGAGAUUAUACUGUGCUAACUCCUCAAGUUGUACAUCCUGGCAUCAUCAGACCUGAAGUAGACGCUGCAAAUUUUGAGUUAAAGCCAGUAAUGUGUCAAAUGUUGCAAACAGUUGGGCAAUUUAAUAGAUUGCCAAAUGAAGAUCCUCAUCUCCAUUUUAAAUUGUUCUUGGAAGUAAGUGAUACUUUCAAGAUUGCUGGAGCAACACAAGAUGCCUUAAGGUUGAGGCUCUUUCCUUAUUCCUUAAGAGAUCGAGCAAGGGCAUGGUUAAAUUUAUUAUCAUCUGAUUCCAUCACUACAUGGAAUGAAUUGGCUGAUAAAUUCCUAAUGAAAUAUUUCCCACCGACAAAGAAUGCAAAAUUAAGAAACGAGAUUACUUCCUUCCAUCAACUUGAAGAUGAGAGUUUGUACGAGGCUUGGGAAAGGUUAAAGGAAUUGCUCAGAAGGUGUCCUCAUCACGGUAUUCCUUGUUGCAUUCAAUUGGAAACUUUCUACAAUGGAUUGAAUCCGAGUACAAGGUUAAUGGUGGAUGCUUCAGCAAAUGGAGCUUUGUUAUCCAAAAAAGAAAACUACUUUCUGUUUGUCAAUUUGUGUGUUAUUUUCUAAGGUCUUCCAUAUCCUUGUCAGUUUGUGUGCCUUUGUUAUCUAUGCUUGUAAGGACACAACACCUCUCAAGUUUGGGGGGGUUGUGUUUCCGAAUGCAUAUGUGUAUGUUUGUAUGCAUGUGUUUAUGUGUGUGUGGUGUAAAGCUCUGUUAUCUAAUAUUUGUGUAUGGAAUUGAAAACCUAAUGAAGAGAAAUUGAGUGCUAUUCAGUAUUUAUAUGCCAAGUAGAGAUAAUUAUAGAUGAAAGUGAAAUUCUGUCCUGACACUUAGACUUUGGUUGAAUUGUAUGAGACUGUUAGAGCAAAGCCAAAAGAAUAGAAAAGAUCCUAAGUUUGGAGGGAAGAAGCAAGUUUGAUUAACUGUGAUAUCUAUGAAAUACAAUUUGUUCCAAUGGCUCAAGUUGCUGGGUAACCAGAUCUGAAUAUGUACCCCAUAUGCAGAAUUGUGUUCAAAGAUAGCGAGAGUUAUGAGCAAUGCUGUAGCAUGUUAUAAAAAAAAAAAUCUUCUGUCUACAAUCACAGUUUGAGUAUGUGAAAUUUAUGCUACCCCAUUUAUGAAUGAAGUGUAUCAUUGCUGAAAGUUAUGCAGUCCUGUGGUGAUGUUAUAGCAUAUUUAGAAUUCAAUCAAAGGAAGCACACACACACUAUGGACAGAAAGAAGCUUGAGUCUAGAACUGAUUUACUAUAGGCAUUUUGUAUGAUUGGAAUUGUUAUCUGAAGGUGGAAGAAACCUUGCAAAUUUGAUAAAAGAGCUAAAAUUAUAUACAUGUUUGUUUGCGGGAAAUGUUAGUAUGUGUCAUUACUUGAGGGCAAGUAAUGGUUUAAGUUUGGGAGUGUGAUAACUCUAGGAAAUGAGAGUUAUUACAUCAAUUCUAGACUUGAAUCAAGAUCAUUUAGAGAACAAAUAAGGUGUUUUUAUUAUAUUUUGAUUACAUUUUGCUUAAACAUUCAUUUUAAUUGAGUAUUAAUAAGUUUUGCUUGAAUCAUAGUAAUUUGUAGGAUGAGGAAAAUCAUGCGCAAAGACAAAUCUGUGGUGUUCCAAUUCGAUCCUGAGAUUAAAAGGACUGUCAGGAGACUGCGAAGAGAACAAAGAAAUUCAAAAAUUGUUUCAGGCAUGAAUAAUUUGUAGGAUGAGGGAAAUUUGAACCCUCACAAGCCCUUACAACCAGUCAACAUUCAAGAGGAGCAGAAUGAACAUGCUAAUGGGAGACAGCCAGGCAACAAAAAUAUUAUUUACAUGGCUGAUGAUAGAGACAGAGCUAUAAGAGAUUAUGCUGUAUUAACUCCGCAAGUUGUACACCCUGGGAUCAUCAGACCUGAGGUAGAAGCGGCGAAUUUUGAGUUGAAACCAGUGAUGUUUCAAAUGUUACAAAUAAAGGGACAAUUCAAUGGAUUGCCAAAUGAAGAUCCUCAUCUCCAUAUUAAAUUGUUCUUGGAAGUAAGUGAUGCUUUCAAGAUUGUUGGAGCAACACAAGAUACCUUAAGGCUGAGACUCUUUCCUUAUUCCUUAAGAAAUCGAGCAAGGGCAUGGUUAAAUUCAUUACCAUCUGAUUCCAUCAUCUCCAUAUUAAAUUGUUCUUGGAAGUAAGUGAUGCUUUCAAGAUUGUUGGAGCAACACAAGAUACCUUAAGGCUGAGACUCUUUCCUUAUUCCUUAAGAAAUCGAGCAAGGGCAUGGUUAAAUUCAUUACCAUCUGAUUCCAUCACUACAUGGAAUGAUUUAGCUGAUAAAUUCCUAAUGAAAUAUUUCCCACCGACAAAGAAUGCAAAAUUGCGAAAUGAGAUUACUUACUUCCAUCAAGUUAAAGAUGAGAGUUUGUACGAGGCUUGGGAAAGGUUCAAGGAAUUGCUCAGAAGGUGUCUUCAUCAUGGUAUUCCUUGUUGCAUUCAAUUGGAAACUUUCUACAAUGGGUUGAAUCCGAGUACAAGGUUAAUGGUGGAUGCUUCAGCAAAUCGAUCCCUGUUAUCAAGAUCUUACACGGAAGCUUAUGAAAUUCUGGAGAGAAUUGCUAAUAAUAAUUAUCAGUGGCCUUCAGCCAAGCAACCAGCAACCAGAGGAUCAGCAGGGGUUCAUAACAUAGAUGCAAUUACAGCCUUAUCAGCACAAGUAACUUCAUUGACUAACAUGGUAAAGGCCAUGACAUCUGCUCCAGCAACAGUAAAGCAAGUUACUGAACUUUCUUGUGUAUACUGUGGUGAAGAACAUGAUUUUGAUAAUUGUCCUGGAAAUCCAUCUUCAGUAAACUAUGUAGGUAAUUUCAAUCGACAACCUCAUAGCAACCCAUAUUCAAAUACUUACAACCCUGGCUGGAAACAGCACCCAAAUUUCUCAUGGAGCAGUCAGAAUCGAACUACUCCAGCAUUAAAUGGACAAAAUAGAAACACACAACCACCUGGCUUUCAUCAGCAGAGUCAAGGGCAAAAGCAUAUCAAUCAAGAUCCAAUCACUUCACUGGAAGCACUGAUUAAGGAGUAUAUUGUUCUCGCUUGGAGAAAUGGGAUUAGAAAUCUAGAAGUGGAAGUUGAUAGCUUAUGUGUAACCCAACUUGUCUUGAAUAAAAUGGUCGCUCCUAAUGAUUAUGGUCCAAUUCUACAUGCCAUUAAAGAAAUCCUGACUCGUGAUUGGAAUGUUAGUCUCCACCAUGUGUAUAGAGAGGCGAAUCACUCUACUGAUUCCUUGCAAAUUUGGCUACGUCUCUCCCCUUAGGUCUUUAUGUACAGGAUUCACCCCUUGUUGGUUUAAAUUACUAGUUGCUUCAUGACAUGUACAGGGUCUCUUACACGCGUUCUGUUCUUCCUUAGCCCUUGCUAAGUGCUCCUCUUGUACCAAAAAAAAAAAAAAAAGAAAUACUUCUCUUACAAGAAGUAAUUACUAUAUAUAAGGAGGUUAAUUUGUUUAUAUAACAUAUGACAACAAUAUGUUUCUCUUCAAGUAGACAAUUUCUAAUAUAAGAGAAACAGUGGGUCUAUUGAGAGAUUGUGUGUUAUUGGGGUUUUGGUACGAGGAAAAUAACAAAGUGAUUGUAAUAAUUUUUCACAUAGUAUAUUUUUCUCUUGUCAUCCUUGGCGACCGUGUUUUUUCUCCAAUAUAAAAUUUUUUACAUAAAUUCUUGUGUUGUGUGAUUAGUUUUAUUCUUCAUCUAUUUUUUAUUUAUUAUUUGUUUGAUAUUUUUGCUUGUAAGAUCUUGAGUGAGAUUAAAAAUUCCUAACAAGUGAUAUCAGAAAAAGGUUAUUCUAUAAAGCAAUAAUGUCUGCAUAUAAAAUUCCCUAAUAGAUUAUAUCUACUCUCGUGUUUAGUAAUGGGACAGAAUUAGAUUACAUUAAUAUUGUCUUAUGUUUGGGGUUACAUAGGAUUGGACAAGAUUUAUAUAAUAUUUGAAAUUACUAAAAUAAAAGUAAAUAAAAAUUUAAUAAAUACUUAGAUAUUAUUGUAAAUUUCAUUACAAAGUUUAUAAAUGUUAUUAGAGUGUAUAUUUUCUUAUUUCUACCUUUAAUUUAACAAAGUUGGAUAUCUCUUAUCGAGAAAUUACUAAUUAAUUUUUGUCUUCAUUCAAGAUUGCCCCGUAGAUCGAACCAGCGUCCGUUAAUAGACGCUACCGUUGUUCUUAACUAAUAUGGAAGCAGCUUUAUUUGGAGGAUAUGUUGUACUUAUGAUUUAGCUCACGUCAUUAACAAAGAAUUUAGUGGUCCAAGUUUUUGCAGUAGAGUAACUAAAUAGCAAUGAUGACCCAGUCAAGUCAAUGUAUAAAUAUUGAAAUGACUAUUACCUCAAAGUUUUCAAAAUGAAAUUGGACCACCAAAAAAUUUCCCACUAAUCACUACCGAUUGCAACUUGUAGAUCGCAAUUUAUAGACAGAUAUAUAUUUAAAAAAUAAAAAAAUAAUAAAAAAGUGUUCCAAGCCCUCUCUGAGGUUCUCACUCAGUUCUACAUGUAAUUUACGAAAAGUUCUUGCGAUUUCACUCGGUUCUACACGUAAUGUAAGAUAGAAAGAUUCCAAUCAAAAUUUUGAUUCUUGUUCAAACAUAACUACGAUAUCCGCGAAGUCUGUGUUGCCACAAGAACCACUUUUAAUGGAGGAUAAAAUAUUUUUCUUACAUUUACAUUAUCUUAGGUGGGACUCCACUUAUUAUCGAAGAUUUUGUUAUGUGUCUCGUUGCCAGGUGUUUAGGUUGUCAUUUUCUCUUUUCUUUCUCAAAAACAUUUUUUUUUAACCAUUAAUUCGGUGACUUUAUGAAUCCGACGGUUUCCUUUUUUUUUUGCAUAUAUAUAUAUAUAUAUAUCUCUACUGAUGCAUCGAUGCAUCUAAUCUAGUGAACAUUGCUGUCGUGGUCAAAUGAAAGAUCGUGUAAUAUUGCCUACAAGAUUUUAUAAUCAUAAUCUUCUUCAUAUGUUCACAGAGAUCUUGAAGUUUCAGGUGCAAGUCAUUGUUUUUCAAGGUCCCAUCACUUUACAACAUUAUUUAACUACUUCGAAAGGGAAUUUGAGCCUAUGCAGGCGGAACAAGCCAAAUUCGGCUACAAGCCCUGACCUGAAGGUCAAUAUGAACUUCCAAUCUAAAUAAGCAUUGACCUCACUCCAAGAUAGAUCAUUAAUUAGGGUGUUUAUAUGUAUUUAACUUGUGAGAGAGAUCUAAAUCCAAGUAGUAGAAACCA
This 152060-nucleotide long non-coding RNA is filed under the name Citrus x clementina. Its description in RNAcentral is "Citrus clementina (C. clementina) long non-coding RNA (CCLE_LNC006733)". Lineage: Eukaryota; Viridiplantae; Streptophyta; Magnoliopsida; Sapindales; Rutaceae. The record is from RNAcentral.